RNAcentral lists this long non-coding RNA (118926 nucleotides) under Brassica napus (rape). RNAcentral describes it as "long non-coding RNA (BNAP_LNC017442)". The record is from RNAcentral. Lineage: Eukaryota; Viridiplantae; Streptophyta; Magnoliopsida; Brassicales; Brassicaceae.
UCUCAAUUGUGUUGUUCUCUUAACGUUAAGCUCUGUUUUAUUAGCUCUCGGUUCGAGCCAAGAUAAACCGGCCGGUUUAACUAAAACCAAAUAUUUCAUCGGGUUUUUAUCCACGAUCGGGGCCGGUUUACUCUUCGCGCUCUACCUGCCCGUGACGGAGAGGGUCUACAGGUCCGUUUAUUGCUACGCGAUGGUCAUGGAGAUGCAACUGGUUAUGGAAUUUUCUGCCACGGUUUUCGCCACAAUCGGUAUGGCUUUCGACGGCGGGUUUAAAGAAAUGGUUAAGGAAGCGAACCAAGUUUUCACUAAAGGACCGACGGUUUACUGGACGGUGGCGAUUUUAGCGAAUGUGGUGACAUGGCAGCUCUGUUUCGCGGCCACGUCAGGGAUGGUUUAUUUGACGUCUAGUAUCACCGGAGGUAUCUGCAUGACGGCGUUACUAGCUAUGAAUGUGAUUGGAGGUGUGGUGGUGUACGGCGAUGCGUUCGGCGGCGUGAAGAUUGUGUCGACGGUGCUAUGUAUUUGGGGAUUCUCGUCUUAUGUAUAUGGGAUUUACGUGAAGAUGAAGAAGGAUGAGGAGAAGGAGGAGGAGGAGGAGGAGGGACACACCGGUAUGAAGACGGUGGAAGACGGUGGAGAGUUAGAGUUGGAGAUGGGUAAAAUUAAAAAUGACGUGGCGGCGGCGGAUGAAAGGGUUUGAUGAUAUGUGUGAUUGAGAUAGUCGUUAUGAUUUUUAGGAAGCCAAAUAAAAAGUAGUAUCUUUUAUGUGUUCUUUCUUUUUCUUCUCAAUUUUUAUUUUUAUUUUUACUUAAUGCAUCUGCUUUUUUUGUUUUUGUUUUUAGGUUUUUUUUCCCCUUUUGAUUAUAUUUAUGAAUUAUCUAACAAUGAAUACUGAUUAUGUAAUCCUUUAAGUGAGUUUCAAUGUCGGUCGAUAGUCAUAUCUAUAUCUAUUGUAUGAAAUUACGCAUUAUUAUUUCCAUUUAGUAAAAUAUUAAAUUAUAUAAAAGGUUUAUUUGACAGAACAAAAAACAAGUAGCAAAGCAAAAAUCAAGAUCUGGCGAUUUUAGCGAAUGUGGUGACAUGGCAGCUCUGUUUCGCGGCCACGUCAGGGAUGGUUUAUUUGACGUCUAGUAUCACCGGAGGUAUCUGCAUGACGGCGUUACUAGCUAUGAAUGUGAUUGGAGGUGUGGUGGUGUACGGCGAUGCGUUCGGCGGCGUGAAGAUUGUGUCGACGGUGCUAUGUAUUUGGGGAUUCUCGUCUUAUGUAUAUGGGAUUUACGUGAAGAUGAAGAAGGAUGAGGAGAAGGAGGAGGAGGAGGAGGAGGGACACACCGGUAUGAAGACGGUGGAAGACGGUGGAGAGUUAGAGUUGGAGAUGGGUAAAAUUAAAAAUGACGUGGCGGCGGCGGAUGAAAGGGUUUGAUGAUAUGUGUGAUUGAGAUAGUCGUUAUGAUUUUUAGGAAGCCAAAUAAAAAGUAGUAUCUUUUAUGUGUUCUUUCUUUUUCUUCUCAAUUUUUAUUUUUAUUUUUACUUAAUGCAUCUGCUUUUUUUGUUUUUGUUUUUAGGUUUUUUUUCCCCUUUUGAUUAUAUUUAUGAAUUAUCUAACAAUGAAUACUGAUUAUGUAAUCCUUUAAGUGAGUUUCAAUGUCGGUCGAUAGUCAUAUCUAUAUCUAUUGUAUGAAAUUACGCAUUAUUAUUUCCAUUUAGUAAAAUAUUAAAUUAUAUAAAAGGUUUAUUUGACAGAACAAAAAACAAGUAGCAAAGCAAAAAUCAAGAUCUUAAUUUGACUUUCACUACUCGGAUUUUAUUACAAUAGACAAGAUUUGAAACGAGUAAAUAAUUCAUUAAUAGCCACUAGAUUUUUUCAACAGUCGCCAUUAUUUCAAAUAAUAUCAAACUCCAAAAAAAUUAGAACUUUAAUUUUUUAAAAAAUAUAUAGUAUUAUUUCAGAUAAUGUUUGCAAUUUAUGCGAUUUAGGGUAAGUAAUCCACGUAGCUAAAUAAUGAUGAUUUUUCCACAACACUCUACAGGAAGAAAUCAUUUAACAAAGAGAAAAAAAUACAUUCUCUAGUAUGCUUCGCUUUCUUUUCUUCCUUUUAGGGCAUUUUUCACUGAUAAGAACCGCUUCAACAAAAAAGUAUUACUCUUUUACUAUAGAUCUUUAAUAAAAUAUUUUUUUAAAGAAAAAACUGUCAUUCAUACAUGUAUAUUGAGUAUCUCAAAUAUCUCUUUUUGUAACUGGCAUCAAAAAACAACUUUUCUCUCUUAUUUUUAUUUAUUUAUUAUUUUGAAUUAAAACAUACAUUAAAAUAUUUUUGGAUGGACAUGCUUUUAGCUUCAGUUUAUUUCUAGAGGAAACUUCUCGAGUUGUUGAGUUAGCAAGUUUGCCCUUUUCUCUCAUUUUACGGCAUGUUUGCAAUUUGUUUGAGGGUUUUGCGACGAGUUCGUUGGCAAAGCGAAAGCAUUUAUGGUACUUCGUUUAUUAGGACAAAUACCUAUCCUGCUUAUUUACUUUAAAUAAAAAAAUUAUAUUGGAACUAAUCUGAAAAUAUAUUAUGCGAAACUGUGAUAAAUAAUUAUGUCGGUCGACGGUCAAUAUCUAUGUAACUACGUACUAUCCCCUGUAUAUUAUUUGAAAAACAUUAUAACUUUUUUUUGUAACCACAUGUCAUCAAUAAGAUGAUUCUAAGAAUUAUUAGAGAAAUAUGUUGGUUCAUCUAAUUAUAUAAUAAGUUUUUUUAUUAAACUAACAAUAAUUCAUCAUUAAUGUACUUUAUUAUUUCCUUAAAUAAAAUUUACGGAAUUGUCUAAUGUAGCUAAAGUAUAUAUGGCAAUUAAUGAUUUUGAAUAAUAAAGAAUUGAUAAAAAAAUAGUGUAUCUUCUAUCAUAUUUGUUUAAUUUUAUACUAUUAAAUAAAUUAAACAAAUACAAUAACCAUAUAAUAAAAAUUUAGAUUUUUAUGUAUAUGUUAUAUUUUAAAUUUUUACAAACAGCUUUAAAUUACUAAAACUGUUAAAAGUCUCACAUUCAAAUUUUAUGAUCCAUGGUUUAAAAUUUUUGUUAUGACAAAAUGCAAAUGAUUACAAAAAUUAUAUAAAUAAAAAAUCUAAUUUAAUUAAUUAUUUAGAUUAAUAUAUAUAUCGUUUUAAAUUAAACUAUAAACCAUAUAAAAUACAAUAUUUUAGUUUCAAAAUUUACUUUGAACAAUUUUUUUGAUAAAAGUUUUGAACGAUCAUUGACAACUUAUUUUUUAAAAAAUUAUAAAUUACUAAAACUAUUAAUCCUACUAUAAAAAUUUUGUUAUGAGUAAUUUAAAUUUUUUUCUAUAAAAGAUACAAAUGAUCAAAAUAAUUUUUAUAUGUAAUGUUGAUCCCGCGCAAAUACAAAGCGCGGGUAUUAACCUAGUUUACUCUAAAUCACAUAAUCUCUGAACCGUUACUUUUCAUCAACUGCCAUUAUUUCAAUUAAUCUCUUCUUUUUUUAACUUUUCAAAAACCUCAAAACUACCAAAAACUUAGCAUUUAAUUUUUUUUCUUAGAAAAUAAUAUAUUUCGGAUCAUACAUAAGCGGCAUUGAAAGACUAGUGAAAGUCUUUUCAAAAAAAAAAAAAAAAAAACUAGUGAAAGUGUGAUCAAACUGAAAUGGAUUAAAAACAUAUCAUUUCACUCUCCUGGACGUAAUGGCUUUGCUUUCUUCUCCUCCUUUUAGCUUCGAUUUAUUUCUAGAGGAAACAGUUCUCAAGUUGUUGAUUUAGCAAGAUUUGCCUUUUUCUCUCUAUUACCGCAUGGUUUGCAUUUUGUUUGAGGGUUUUUACGAAGAGUUCAUUGACAAAAAUGAAAGCAUUUAUGGUAUUUAAUGUAUACAUAUACAUGUCCAUUUAAAGAAAAAUAUAUUGGAACUAAUGUUAAAUUUACAAUUGCGCGAAACUGUGAUGAAUAUUAUAAAUGAUGAUAUCAGACAAAACAUAAUUUCAAUAUACAAGUGACAUCCAAUAGGACCAUUCCCAUAGAAAAUUAUAAAACCUAAAAAAGGAAAAGUGUUGUCGUUUAUGGGUCACAACAUACCCAAAAAUAAAAAGAAGUGAUCACGAUCAUCAUCAUUAAUUUACAGAGAGAGAGAGAUUAAGAAAAUAACAUUUGAAUGUGUGAAAUAAAGAAGAGACAUGCUUAAUUGAUGAUGAUGCAGCUUGGCAUUAACUCGGUGUGGAUUACUAACAUUGUCUCCCUAAUGCUCCUUUAGUUUUUGUAUUUUUCUUGGAGCACUUUCAUAUGAAAAGGAUUGUUUUAUUCUUAUUAUCCUUUUGUGUUUUAAAUAAGGUUAUGACUCUUCACUAAUAUUGUAAGCCCUUGUGAAUAUUUUAGACCCACAAAAUCCAAAAUUUUGUUCCUUUUGAUUCAAUGACAAAUUGAAUCGAAGUUAUGACCCCGAUGUAGGGUUAUGUAUGUUUCCAUUAUAUAAAUACGACUUUACAAUGCCCACAUAUCAUUUAACAUCUCCUAAUCUCACAUAAAUGGAUAUACUAUAACCGUUUAACAAAUGCCCGUCGCUCUACAUGCUCCAAGUAUUAAUCUUCGUUUUGCCUCAAACCCUAUGAUUACAAAACAAGUAAAAACAAACGACUUAGAUAUCAUAUGUAUUAUCAGCUGGUAGUUCAACUAUUAACAAAACGAAAUAAAACAAAUAAUAAGCAAAUUCAUAUGCUAUAUAACCACAUACUUUGUAGUUGUAUCAAUGGUAAGGAUGGGCCAGUGUUUGUGUCGUCGAGUAGCUCGAGUGAAUGAGCAAAUACAGGAUAAACACAAGACAUUUCCUCUAUAAAAGGAAGAGAGACGAUAAAGAGAGUCACCGAAAAAAUUGACUCUAUAAGUGUGAGAAUAAGCAUAAUUCCUAGAAAUGGCAAUUAAGAUCUAGUUGUUGGUACUUCCUUGAUUCACACAUUUUAUAUGUGCUUCUAAAUCUUUAUUUGUUGCAACACUAUUCAGUUAGAUAGAGAAGUUUUGUAAUCUCUUGCUUUCUGUAGAUUGAUCACAAAUGAAUCAAAGAUUUCCCAAAACAAAAAUCAUCAGCAGAAAAGACAAAGUUUAUUCAAGUUUUGUUAUAGGUAUAUUAAUCAUUGAAGUUGACUUGUACUGUAUAACGUAGAUUGAGCCUAUAGACGUUGGAAAAAGCGUGAAGCUCGUCGACCCAUAUUUGUUGAUGUUUAAAAUGUUUAGAUAAGUAAACCAUGUUUUUAUAUAAUAAUAUAAGAUUAUCUCGUAACGCCUCUGGAUAACGACUGAAUAAAUCCAAGUCUUCAGUUAUGUUCAGUUCUAAGGUUGUAGAGUUCUCAAAAACUGACCUGAAAAGGUCACUGGCCAUUAAUCAAGAAGGUGGAAUGGGCAUGUACAUCGGACUACCGGAAAAGAUAUGUGGCUCUAAGAAACAGGUGUUUAGCUUCGUCCAAGAGCGCCUCUCGGAUCGUACAAACUCAUGGUCGACGAAGCUCUUAUCAAAAGGCGGCAUAGAGGUUCAGAUUAAAGCCGUAGCCCAGGCAGUACCCUCCUACACUAUGUCUUGUUAUCUACUUCCAAAAGGAAUAACAAAAAAUCUGACGAGCACUGUCGCACGAUUUUGGUGGAGUACUAAAUUCAAUAAUAGAGAACUUCAUUGGGUUGCUUGGGAUAAAAUAUGUGUACCAAUGAAAAAGGGUGGACUGGGUUUCCGUGAUUUUCACGAGUUUAACAUUGCCUUACUAGCAAAACAGCUGUGGAAAUUGCUAAAGUACCCACAUUCACUCUUAGCUCGAGUACUCAAAGGAAGAUACUACAGACACUCUACUUCAAUGCAAGUUGAAAAAGCAAACAACCCGUCAUAUGGAUGGCGAAGUAUAGUAGCAUCGAAAGAAGUUCUCCGGAAGGGUCUCAGGAAAAAGAUUGGGAAUUGAUAUGAUACAAAGGUAUGGGACGAACCCUGGCUUCCGACGAAUCCAGCGUGACCUCCGCUAAAUGCUGCAGAUCAUCGGGAUGAGAACCUCCGUGUCCAUCACCUAAUCAACGAGCAGAACCACUCUUGGAACCUUGAAUUGUUAAACGAUCUUGUGGCAACAUAAGACAUACCCAGAGUAACCUCGCUCCGCCUUAGUCGUACAGGUCGCCAGGACAGCUACUGUUGGGACUUCACAAAAUCGGGGCUAUAUACAGUUAAGUCAUGCUACAUAGUUGCUCAUGACCUCUAUUAUGCGGCCUCCUCCUAUGAUACAACAGAACCAAGUACAACGAGACUUAAGAAAGCAAUAUGGAAAAUCAAAGCUCCAAGGAAGCUUAAACAUUUCUUAUGGCAAGCUAUGACAGGGUACCUAGCUACCGUGAAACAAUUGAAGGACUGGCACUGUGCUAGAGAGAGUACAUGUACUCGAUGCGGUGGUGAAAGCGAGUCGAUUAACCGCACUCUGUUCGAAUGUCCACCGGCGCUGCAGUGCUGGACCCUAUGCUCGAUACCAUCUCCUCCGGGGUCCUUCCCGUGUAACUCUUUAUUCUCAAAUAUAGAAUUUCUGCUAUUCCGUGCAAAGGCAAGUGGAGUGAGUCCAGACGUGCUGGCUGCAUUUCCAUGGAUUGCUUGGUAUAUCUGGAAGGCACGCAAAAAGAACGUUUUUAAGGACAAGGAUAUCUUGGCACGCAAAAAGAACGUUUUUAAGGACAAGGAUACCUCACCAAUGGAUACACUCCAACUUGCUGUUAAGGAAGCUGAAAGCUGGCUGCUUGCGCGGAUAAUAGAUGUGGAACCGCAAAUAGACGCAGAAGAACAACAUAAAGCUGUGAACAUCGUGUUGCAGGCACCUCAUUCAGCUCGUUGGAGAUGCCAAACGGAUGCGUCUUGGAAAACAGAGAAUGACAGAGCUGGAUUGGGAUUUGUAUUACUUGAUGAUGGAACUCGGUCCUCUUCGGAGCACAAGGAACAAGACAGGCGACAUCCCCUCUCCACGCAUAAGCUGAAGGUUUAUUGUGGGCUAUGCACGAGGUAUUGAAGCUAGGAAACAGAGAGAUCCGAUUUGAAUCAGAUUGUGAGCAAUUAAUCAAGCUAUUAGAGGAGGACAAAGAUUGGCCAGCAAUGGAGCCAGAACUUGAUGAGAUUAAAGCUCUUUCCGCUGAUUUUACCGAAUUCUCAAUAGCAUAUAUCCCAAGAUCGAUGAAUCUCCGUGUUGACUCUCUUGCUAAAGGAGGAAGAUCACGAGUGUUUGGAUCCCAUUUCGUCAACUGCUUUGCACCAAGCUGACUAGCUCCUUACGCUGGCCACGAAGCUGCUAACUAGUUUUUUAAGGUUUUAUUUUCGAUGUAAAAAAAAAAAAAAGAGGGAAUGGACUUUUGGGGUGAUUAAAGAAAUGGUGCCAUGAUUAUCGUAAGUGCGUUGGUAAUGAAUUACGCAUUAAACAACUAAAAGAAAGUUAAAGAGGAAUUAACUAAAUCGAUACUUCAAAUUAAAAAAGGUUCAUUGAAAAUGCCCUUUGCGUUGUUUUAGGUUGUGGGAUUACAGUUUACAAAGGGAUAAGCUCCAAAGAUUAUAGAUCAAAAUUUUGAGCUGUAAUUAGGAGGUUCACAGGUCUAUUAUCAUACCAAAUUAGAUCAAAAUUACUCGUAACUGACUUGGUACCUAUAUAUGGUUGUGCUUAAUCAAGAACCAAAAUUAGGUACAUCUAUAAAAAUUAAAGAUUCCAUAAACUCAAUGCAAUUCCAAAGAUCAAUCAUACUAAUCUUUUGGGAAUCGCAUUCUACAUUACUUAUUGUUAGAUUUAUGCUGGUUGAACAUACAUAAAACCGUAUAAUAGAAGCGUCUAAUUUCUUUUAGUAUAUACUGUAUGGUGGAGUGGUUAAAUGAUAAGCUACAAACACUAAUUUUAAAUUUACGGAAUCGUAGGAUUGAUAAAUCAAACCAAAAAUAGAGAUAUUCUUUGAUGAUCGCUGACCUGACCAAUGAACAAGUACAUACACGCAGAUAGAGACAUGUGAGGGCAGAUGACCCCGGUAAAAUUUGGGAAAAAACAUUUUAGUGUAUUUUUCUCUAAUUUUUUAAUAAUAUUUAGUUAAAAUUUGGCAUCUGACCUUAUUAAUUUCUGUAAUUUGUAAAAAAAGUUAUUUUAUUAUAAUAAAAUAUAUAUCUCUAAUUUAAAUAUUAAAUUUAUAUAUUAUAACUGAAGUCAAAAAAGUUUCUUACUCUACCACUGAGUACAUACAUAACUCCUCAGACUACACAAUACAUAGAUGAAGUGAUCCCUUACUAAUAAAACCUUUGGUAAAAUAUAUUGAUAUCCCGUUGAGUUACUUAAUCAGAACAUUUAAUAUUAUAAAAUUCACAAUAAAUUUCAAUGAUUUUUCUCAAUGAAUAUCACAUUAAAAAGGUUAGGUCUAGAUGCUAUUUCUACAUCUCAAAUCUAAGGUUCUUUUUGUUAAAUAAAUAAAAAGAUAAGUACUGCAGUUAGAGAUGUCAAAGAAGAGACUGGACCGCGGGCCAGGCCCGUUAAGGCUUGGGGCGGGGGNNNNNNNNNNNNNNNNNNNNNNNNNNNNNNNNNNNNNNNNNNNNNNNNNNNNNNNNNNNNNNNNNNNNNNNNNNNNNNNNNNNNNNNNNNNNNNNNNNNNNNNNNNNNNNNNNNNNNNNNNNNNNNNNNNNNNNNNNNNNNNNNNNNNNNNNNNNNNNNNNNNNNNNNNNNNNNNNNNNNNNNNNNNNNNNNNNNNNNNNNNNNNNNNNNNNNNNNNNNNNNNNNNNNNNNNNNNNNNNNNNNNNNNNNNNNNNNNNNNNNNNNNNNNNNNNNNNNNNNNNNNNNNNNNNNNNNNNNNNNNNNNNNNNNNNNNNNNNNNNNNNNNNNNNNNNNNNNNNNNNNNNNNNNNNNNNNNNNNNNNNNNNNNNNNNNNNNNNNNNNNNNNNNNNNNNNNNNNNNNNNNNNNNNNNGUUCGUUGAUCAGAUCCUUGAGCCAAAACGGGAUGGGCCUCAUGUUAACCGCGGGAUUUGGGUGUCCCGCAACACUAACCUCCACAGCUCCACUCCAUUUCUGUACAACCUUAAACAACGAGAGAGAGAGAGAGAUGAGAAAGGCGACAGCGACAAAUGAAGAUCCGGUGACCUGCGAGUUGAAGGUCGAUGAUACUUCCGGACUCCCAUGUGUCUUCUAUCUCCAAGAGUGGAGCUUUUUUAAGCCACCGGAGACCGCGAACCCACUCUCCACCGAAGACGAAGAUCCAGCUCCGACGAUGGGUUCUUUAGUGACAGUGACUGCAUGCAUGCCACAGGUAAAGAAAGUUCAAACAUGAUUUGUUGUGGAUUUAUAUUUUAUCGGGUCUAACACUCUGUCUCUAACUCCUUAUUUCAGGCGUGUUAUCUUCUUCUUCUGGAUCUCCUCAUCUUUGAUCCACCACCGGAGCUGCUAGUCUUCUUAGCUCCAUCACUGGAGCUUCUAUUCUUAUUAGAUCCGCCACUGGAGGUUCUCCUUCUCCGCACCGAGAAGGUAUGAAACUCAUUAUGUAUCUUUGGUGAUGGCAAUUAGAAUGUCUUGUUAAGCUUGUAAUCUGAUAUUGAUAGUUUCUUGAAGUGAAAUUACUUAUGUUCAGUCUCUGUGUUCUUUUUUUGUGUGUUUGGAAGGUGAACAAGGAGUAAAGGAAGAUACGAAACAUAGCUGAAAGCGUUGUAAGUCUGACUACUCUGAAACAUAGCUGAAAACGCUUAGCUUACUUUGUCAUGUUCUGUCUCUGAAGAGUGAUUGUUCAUAAGAUGAUUAUAGAUGAUCUAAAUAGACUGUUGUGCCUCUUGUUGUCAUUUUCUAUUUGAUGUUAACUCGAUUACUAGACUGUUGUGUCUUAUUGUCAUGUCUUGAGUAGGGUAGCGAUUUUUCCCUUUUUCCUGGUUCUCAGAUUUUCGUUUGUUGUUUGAUGUUGUUAACUGCUAAAUAUGAUGUUAUGUCUAUGAAGUGAACUUUUAUUACUUGAUUAUUAGCUUGAACUUAUUACAUGUUUGUCUGUCUUAGUGCUGGUUCAUUACUCAAUGUAAAUUGCAUGUCUUCUCUUUGUUUAAUCUGAUAUUGUUAGUAUAAAACUCUUCAUUUAUCAGUUUUGUUUGAUGUUUAGUUUCAAUUGCCUCUUUCUAGGUUUGCUUGAUCUUUAAUUGUUGUCUGAAAUUGUGAAAUGGAGAAGUUAAGAGAGGACUAAUGUAGUUUGUUUAGUUACAUUAGUGUAAUUUGAUAUUGUUUAUUGGCAUUACUUUUGUAUUGGAAUUGUGAUUUACUUGCAUUACUUUUCUAUACUUGAUUCAGUCUUUCAUAUGUCUUUUGUUUCUGUAGGUGAGCAAGGAGGCGGCUGGUAAUGACCGUGAAAGCCGGUGUAGGCUCAAAACGAUAUAGCAUGUUAUGGUGUUGGCUUGAUGUAUGUGUUGAUCGCACACCAGCUUGUCUGGUUAUUACCAGACGCCUCUGUGUUCAAGAAAAAAAGAUACAACACCGAGCUGAAAGUUUUUUAAAUUGUAGGUUGUUACUACUCUGAUAAGAUAAUAAGUAUCCGCUAGGUUGAUGUUUAGUUACUUGUUGCUUGAAAUAGAGAUUGACUUGUAUUACUUGUCUUCACAAGUUCACUGUGUCUUACUAUAUUGUGUUGAGUAGUUUAGCUACUUGCAUUACUUGUCUUGACUAUUUCAGCGGAUCUUAGCUGCGUAGCUGAUGAAAAAAUCAUUCAAAGGAAUGAAGAGUGAUUGUUCAUUGGCUACGCCGCAAGAUCCGCUGCGAAGUUAAGACAAGAAUCAUAUAGUUUGUUUAGUUACAUUAGUGUAAUCUGAUAUUGUUUGUCAUGUGAACUGAUAUAUCUUUUGUAUUUUUUGUUGUAUGUCUCGAGGUGAUGGCGUAAUGCUGAAGAAGGAAGGAUAGCACGAGUACAUACACCAGUUGCUCGAGUAGUUUCCAGUUUCAUCCGAUAUAGCAGCUUUAAGGACCUCACGUUAGUAAGCUCUUAAACGUGUGAGACUUCUCUUGACUAGGUUACCGGAUCACUGUCUAGUUUAGCUUGCUUUGCGUAGGUUAUCGGAUCACUAUCUAGUUUAGCUUGAUUUACGUAGAUGAUAGAUCACUCUGACUAGAUGGUAUUUUUAAUUUAGUUGUAUUUGUGUACUUGUAUAAAUAUUUGAAAAUUUAAAAAAAACAAUAGUAACAAAUUUUAAAUAAUAUAUUAACAAAAAUUUUAAAAUAUAGAUAAAAUUUAAAAAAUCCUAAAAAGGUUAGUUCAUUCACGUCGUCACGUUGAAAGUUGAAAAAAACCCGCAAAGCUUGAGAGAGAGAGACCAUGGGAUCAAGGAGCGAGUCAGAAGAUCAGUUGACGUUUGAUCCGAAUUACUCCCCGCCAAAUACUGUGGACUUUGGAACUCAUGAAGUCUUAGGUUCUCUUGCUGCAGCAGAUGAGUUCGUUGAUCAGAUCCUUGAAGGUGGUGUAACUCGUGAUGAUGGGAAGAAGGAAGGACGCAGAAAAAGGAUUAUCAGUCUUGUCGAUGAUACUGAUGAUUCUGAUGUUGAAAUCACUCAACCAACCCAAAAAAACCAAGCCUCGCAGACAGACCAGUUUCAAAAUAGUCACGAGGAAACCCAUGUAGCAAUCCACUAUAGAUGGUGGUGUUGGCUCGUCUGCACAGGUGUGUAGUAAGGGGAAGUCUAUGAUUCGUGGAGGGCUAAGAAAAUCGCCUACAAAGUCGCAAAAGAAUAAGGCUGCGCCUACUCAGUCGCAAAAGAAGAAGGAGAAGGUCGCAGAGGACAUAUCGGAGCUUGGUGAUGAACUGGAUGAAGAAGAGGUUGAUGAGGAUGAAUUCGGUGAAGAGGAAAGGGAAGAGAGGCAAAGAUCAGAUGUGUGGGCCGAUUUCAAGGUGGUCCAAAAACCCAAUGGAAUGUUGAAAGCUGCAUGCAAUCAUUGCAAGAAUGAGUAUGCAUGGCAAUCUCACUCGCAUGGAACCAGUGGGUUGAGAAGACAUCGUUUGAGAUGUAAAAUGUAUCCAAAGAAUCGAGGAAGGCAUCAACAACUCAACACCGAAGGGAAAGUGGUAUCUUGCAAGUAUGAUCAUACUGUGUUUAGGCAGAUGGUAGCUAAGACAAUGGUCCAGCAUGAUCUAUCUUACUCGUACGUGGGGUAUGAAAGAGUGAGAGACACCUGGAAGUAUUUGAAUGCUGAUGUCCAAACCAUUUGUCGAAACACAGCGAGAGCAGCUGUGUACAGACUAUAUGAAAGUGAGAGAGACACACUCAAGAGGUAAUUAGCGGGUCUCCCUGGACGAGUCUCCUUCACGUCUGACUUGUGGACAUCCGUGAAACAGGAAGGAUACAUGUGUGUGACAGCAAAUUACAUUGAUCAGAAUUGGAAGUUAAACAACAAGACCUGACGUUUUGUGCUCUACCACCACCACAUACCGCUAUGAGUAUUGCGCUUCAGCUCCUUGAUUCACUGAAAGAGUGAGAAAUUGAAAAGAAGGUGUUCUCAGUCACAUUAGAUAAUGUUACAAGUAAUGACUCGAUGCAGGACAUUGUGAAGUCGCAGCUGAAUUUAAAUGAUGAUUUGUUGUGUGGAGUAGAGUUUUUCCAUGUAAGAUGUGCAGCUCACAUACUUAAUCUCAUAGUACAAGAUGGGUUGAAGGUUAUUGGAGACUCUUUGCAGAAAGUAAGAGAGAGUGUUAAGUAUGUAUUAGGAUCGGAAACAUGUGAACAAUUGUUCCAAAAAUGUGUGGAUGAUGCGGGUGUAGUAGAAAGUGGAUGGCUAAUACUGGACGUGUCGACAAGAUGGAACUCAAUUUACUAUAUGCUUGAAAGAGCCAUCAAGUACCGUAAAUCACUUGUUAAGUUGGAGACAUUUGAUAAGAAGGGUUAUAAAACAGCGCCCACAGCUAAGGAAUGGACUAGAGCAGUGAAUAUCUGCGAUUUUUUGGGUCCUUUUGCUGUGAUCACAAGCUUGAUGGCUGGUUCGAAUUACCCGACCGCAAACCUGUAUUUCGAUCAGGUUUGGUUGAUCCAUGAUUGGCUUCGGAGAAAUGAGGAAAGUGAAGAUGAGAUUGUCAGAUACAUGGUGCCACCGAUGAAAGAGAAGUUUGACAAAUAUUGAGAUGAAGCUAGUAGUGUUUUUGCAAUGGCAGCAGUCUUUGAUCCACAGUUUAAGCUUUCAAUUGUUGAAUUUUGUUUAGGGAAGCUUGACAUGAGUACAUGUGAUGCAAAGGUGAAGAACUUGCGUGACAAGCUCAGUAUUAUGUUUGAGUCAUACGACAAAAAAUCCAAGAAUAACUCACCUUCCACUGAGCCACGUGAGACUGUUUCACAAAAAGCAUGUGCGGCAGGGUCAACGGGAAUGUUUGUGAACUACAAUGUGAGUAUUUUUUCAAUUUUUUUACCUUUGCUUUUGUUUUUUUGCCUCUCUGAUUUUUUUAAAUAAACUUUCUUAGGAUUUCUUUGCAUUUCGCAAAGUCAAUGGCAUUGUGAGUGGAAAGACACCUCUAGAAGCUUAUCUUGAAGAACCACCUUUGGACAUUACUAAUUUCCAGAGCUUGGACAUCCUCGAUUGGUGGAAAGAUAAUGCGCAUCGGUAUGGUGACUUCACUACAAGAAAAAUGGGUUUUAAUAGCAGACCGGAAUAGCGUUUUUUCAAUUGUGUUAUGCUUGAUAUACGCGGGUUUUAAAGAUAGCGUUUGUAUAUUUCGAAACGCUAUGUUAGAGUUGUGAACUGAAAAAGAAAAAUUAAGUGUAUGUUAAAGAAGAAAUAGGAGUGUAAUAAUAGCAAUAAAUGAUUAAAAGUGUUAUGGUUGAGUUUCGCGGUUAUACCCGGGACACUUGGUAAAAUUUUGGCUCCUAAACAAGAUUAGUGUCGAAAAAAAAACCCAAAUUAUUAGGGUUACGAUCUUCCCUCUCUCUCGUAUCUCCUUGCCUCUUUUGUGCUGGAAAGAAUCAAUCUCAAUCUCUAUCACUUCUAAUUUCAUUUUUAAUUCCUAAGCUCUUACCUUUUCUCAUCUCGAAUCCACUUUCUCGUAAUGUCGAAUCCAUUUUAAAUAUAGAUAAAAUUUAAAAAAUCCUAAAAAGGUUAGUUCAUUCACGUCGUCACGUUGAAAGUUGAAAAAAACCCGCAAAGCUUGAGAGAGAGAGACCAUGGGAUCAAGGAGCGAGUCAGAAGAUCAGUUGACGUUUGAUCCGAAUUACUCCCCGCCAAAUACUGUGGACUUUGGAACUCAUGAAGUCUUAGGUUCUCUUGCUGCAGCAGAUGAGUUCGUUGAUCAGAUCCUUGAAGGUGGUGUAACUCGUGAUGAUGGGAAGAAGGAAGGACGCAGAAAAAGGAUUAUCAGUCUUGUCGAUGAUACUGAUGAUUCUGAUGUUGAAAUCACUCAACCAACCCAAAAAAACCAAGCCUCGCAGACAGACCAGUUUCAAAAUAGUCACGAGGAAACCCAUGUAGCAAUCCACUAUAGAUGGUGGUGUUGGCUCGUCUGCACAGGUGUGUAGUAAGGGGAAGUCUAUGAUUCGUGGAGGGCUAAGAAAAUCGCCUACAAAGUCGCAAAAGAAUAAGGCUGCGCCUACUCAGUCGCAAAAGAAGAAGGAGAAGGUCGCAGAGGACAUAUCGGAGCUUGGUGAUGAACUGGAUGAAGAAGAGGUUGAUGAGGAUGAAUUCGGUGAAGAGGAAAGGGAAGAGAGGCAAAGAUCAGAUGUGUGGGCCGAUUUCAAGGUGGUCCAAAAACCCAAUGGAAUGUUGAAAGCUGCAUGCAAUCAUUGCAAGAAUGAGUAUGCAUGGCAAUCUCACUCGCAUGGAACCAGUGGGUUGAGAAGACAUCGUUUGAGAUGUAAAAUGUAUCCAAAGAAUCGAGGAAGGCAUCAACAACUCAACACCGAAGGGAAAGUGGUAUCUUGCAAGUAUGAUCAUACUGUGUUUAGGCAGAUGGUAGCUAAGACAAUGGUCCAGCAUGAUCUAUCUUACUCGUACGUGGGGUAUGAAAGAGUGAGAGACACCUGGAAGUAUUUGAAUGCUGAUGUCCAAACCAUUUGUCGAAACACAGCGAGAGCAGCUGUGUACAGACUAUAUGAAAGUGAGAGAGACACACUCAAGAGGUAAUUAGCGGGUCUCCCUGGACGAGUCUCCUUCACGUCUGACUUGUGGACAUCCGUGAAACAGGAAGGAUACAUGUGUGUGACAGCAAAUUACAUUGAUCAGAAUUGGAAGUUAAACAACAAGACCUGACGUUUUGUGCUCUACCACCACCACAUACCGCUAUGAGUAUUGCGCUUCAGCUCCUUGAUUCACUGAAAGAGUGAGAAAUUGAAAAGAAGGUGUUCUCAGUCACAUUAGAUAAUGUUACAAGUAAUGACUCGAUGCAGGACAUUGUGAAGUCGCAGCUGAAUUUAAAUGAUGAUUUGUUGUGUGGAGUAGAGUUUUUCCAUGUAAGAUGUGCAGCUCACAUACUUAAUCUCAUAGUACAAGAUGGGUUGAAGGUUAUUGGAGACUCUUUGCAGAAAGUAAGAGAGAGUGUUAAGUAUGUAUUAGGAUCGGAAACAUGUGAACAAUUGUUCCAAAAAUGUGUGGAUGAUGCGGGUGUAGUAGAAAGUGGAUGGCUAAUACUGGACGUGUCGACAAGAUGGAACUCAAUUUACUAUAUGCUUGAAAGAGCCAUCAAGUACCGUAAAUCACUUGUUAAGUUGGAGACAUUUGAUAAGAAGGGUUAUAAAACAGCGCCCACAGCUAAGGAAUGGACUAGAGCAGUGAAUAUCUGCGAUUUUUUGGGUCCUUUUGCUGUGAUCACAAGCUUGAUGGCUGGUUCGAAUUACCCGACCGCAAACCUGUAUUUCGAUCAGGUUUGGUUGAUCCAUGAUUGGCUUCGGAGAAAUGAGGAAAGUGAAGAUGAGAUUGUCAGAUACAUGGUGCCACCGAUGAAAGAGAAGUUUGACAAAUAUUGAGAUGAAGCUAGUAGUGUUUUUGCAAUGGCAGCAGUCUUUGAUCCACAGUUUAAGCUUUCAAUUGUUGAAUUUUGUUUAGGGAAGCUUGACAUGAGUACAUGUGAUGCAAAGGUGAAGAACUUGCGUGACAAGCUCAGUAUUAUGUUUGAGUCAUACGACAAAAAAUCCAAGAAUAACUCACCUUCCACUGAGCCACGUGAGACUGUUUCACAAAAAGCAUGUGCGGCAGGGUCAACGGGAAUGUUUGUGAACUACAAUGUGAGUAUUUUUUCAAUUUUUUUACCUUUGCUUUUGUUUUUUUGCCUCUCUGAUUUUUUUAAAUAAACUUUCUUAGGAUUUCUUUGCAUUUCGCAAAGUCAAUGGCAUUGUGAGUGGAAAGACACCUCUAGAAGCUUAUCUUGAAGAACCACCUUUGGACAUUACUAAUUUCCAGAGCUUGGACAUCCUCGAUUGGUGGAAAGAUAAUGCGCAUCGGUAUGGUGACUUCACUACAAGAAAAAUGGGUUUUAAUAGCAGACCGGAAUAGCGUUUUUUCAAUUGUGUUAUGCUUGAUAUACGCGGGUUUUAAAGAUAGCGUUUGUAUAUUUCGAAACGCUAUGUUAGAGUUGUGAACUGAAAAAGAAAAAUUAAGUGUAUGUUAAAGAAGAAAUAGGAGUGUAAUAAUAGCAAUAAAUGAUUAAAAGUGUUAUGGUUGAGUUUCGCGGUUAUACCCGGGACACUUGGUAAAAUUUUGGCUCCUAAACAAGAUUAGUGUCGAAAAAAAAACCCAAAUUAUUAGGGUUACGAUCUUCCCUCUCUCUCGUAUCUCCUUGCCUCUUUUGUGCUGGAAAGAAUCAAUCUCAAUCUCUAUCACUUCUAAUUUCAUUUUUAAUUCCUAAGCUCUUACCUUUUCUCAUCUCGAAUCCACUUUCUCGUAAUGUCGAAUCCAUUUUCAAUUCCUCUUCUCUUGUCGUAAUCCAUUCCCAAUCCGUCGAAGGUGAGUUCGCUUUUACUAACCCAUCAGAUUAUAUUUCGAUUUUCUUUUUCUUAUAUAUGUUCUAGUGUUAUUGCAUUGUAAAUUGAUGCGUUUCUGUAUACUAUUUUGCAGGAAGGAUUUCGUUUGUAGAUCUUCGGAUUAAGGUCCAUUUUCUUCUUUUCAUCUCUCUUUUACUUAGUUUUUUUCUUUCUAUUUUAACACAAUUCUCUUAUUUUGUAGCUGACUCGAAGCAAAAUUGAAGAGAUUUUAUCGAAAGGUAAAAACAAGUGACACUAUCAUCUUUUAUUUACAAAACUCGUUCUGUUUUGGUUUUCUGGGUUGAUAAAGUGAGCGUCUUGUAUGUACAAUUGCUCGGAGCGGUAACAUGGAUAAAUCGUGGGUCUGGUUACCAAGGUAUUAACUUCACUUCACUAUCUUUUAGAAAUUGUUUUGUGUUGAUCUCAUUUAUUUGGAAGACUGAAUGUUGUAUUCUCAUUUGUUCUACAUGACAGGAAUAGCCUUGAGUAUGAGAAAGGAGCUAGUGAAUUUGUGUCUUCUUCAUCAAGACGUUUAGGAGAUCCAGCUGAAAUGUUCUGCCCUUGUGUUGAUUGUCGCAAUGUCUGCCAUCAAGCUUGUGAGACAGUUUUGGAGCACCUGGUGAUUAGAGGAAUGGAUCAGAAGUACAAGAGUUGUGUGUUUUGGACAAAACACGGGGAGACAAGAGGCAAGCAAGCGUGUAAUGUUUGUGGGAAGGAUACACCACAUAGGUGACUAAAGUUCAGUCGUAAACAUGUAUACAUGAAGAACAGGAGGCGGCUCAUGCCUAGUCAUCCAUACAGACGAAAGAAAGGAUGGUUUGACAAUACGGUUGAGGUUGGUUCUGCAAAGAGGAUUCAGAGCGGUUCAGAAAUAUUAGACAGUAUAAGGGACUUUAAAAACGAUUUUGGAAAACUCUUACCUAAGAAGAGUAAGAGAAAGAGGAGUGAAGGAGAUGAGGAUGAUGUUGUUUCAGCUGAGGAGUACGAAGAAGAUCAUGAUAUGUGGCGGUGGAAGAAAAAAUCUAUUUUCUUUGACUUACCUUAUUGGAAGGUAUUUUAUUUGAUUUACCUUCUUUAACCUACCUUAUUAGUCUGAAAUUGUUAAUAUUAUUUAUGCUAAAUACUUGUAAAAUUUCUUGUAGGAUAUGCCUGUGAGGCAUAACAUCGACGUGAUGCACGUGGAGAAGAAUGUGAGCGAUGCCCUGUUGUCUAUUCUGAUGAAUAGUUGCAAAUCAAAGGAUGGCCUGAAAGCGAGAAAGGAUUUAGAAGAUAUGGGUAUUCGAAGCAGCUUACAUACACAAGUAAGGGGGAAGAGAACUUAUCUGCCUCCAGCUGCGUAUUGGCUCUCUAAAGAAGAAAAAAAAAUUUUUCAACAUUCUUCUUGAUUUCUUGAAGUGAAUGUAUAAAAAGAAUCGGUAUUGGCCUACCUAGCUCUAGCCAAAUGUGUACAACGUAUUAAAUGAAAAUAUUUUAAGAAUAAAGAGGGUAAGAAACAAUUAUUUUCAGGCUGUAAUGGACCUAUGGGAUAACUUGUGUGCUCAUAUUAUAUUUGUAUAAUCAUUGAGUUGUAUGAAAAAAUGUUUCUCUGAGUAAAUGGUCUCCAAGCAAUCGAGUGCUUCUAGAAACAUCAUUUUGACAUAAAAUAGGCUAAGACUUGGUCGCUUCAUCGGUUAACCCAUUCAUAAGUUUGCUCUAUGCUCCUUCAUACGUGUGUGUAUUUUACGAAGAAAUAUGAUCAAAGAAGGGUAGUAUUGUAAAUAAAAGCGAACAGCAGGGAAGUUUACAAAAAAUGACAAAGACUUAUACUCUUCUUAUUGUUGUAUCUACUUCUUCAGAGCGAAGCAAGAGACAAAGUACGUAUAUUGUAUUUGGUAAGGAAGAGGAAGAAGCAGAGGUUCUUGAGAGAUGGCCUGAAGAAGCUAACUUUAAAGAGUGCCAAUGUCAUAAAAGGGGUCCUAUGGCACACAGGGUUAAGUCAGGCGAAAGAAGAAAUUAAAAGAAAAGGUAUAUAAAAUUAAAUUUCAUAUAUAUUGUUAUUAACGUUAAUUAGGAUUAUGAGUUGGGUAGAUUCUUGUAAUAUAUGUAUUAGCAUAAAUAUGGAGCUUGAAGCUCACUUCGACUAUGUUCUUGAAUGUAUACAAUAAUAUUAUUUUUCACUAUGAAUUGUAACAUUCAUGUUCAGGAAUCCAACUCAGCCUAUAUUGUUAUGCAAGUGUUUCAGGCAAGGUUAUUGUUUAUUGUUCAUGAUUAAGUUUAUUGGAUAACUUGGAUUAAUUGGAUUUUCAUGUUUGACUUAUUAUAAUAUGUGUAUAUAUCUUUUAGAGGUAAGAACAAUUUGAUUAACAAUAGAUAGGGUUGCUUACUAUUAGCAGAAAGAAUGAAAUUAGAUUAUUGUACAGAUGCUAGUAGCUGAAUGAGAUGAAACACGUACGAAGGUCUUCAAUAUGUGAGAGUUGCUGUAAUGUAGAUAACCGAUAUAUAUCCAGUUAGAAUAGAUGAGUUGGUGAUGCGAGUGAGAUUGAGAAGAUGGAUUUCAUCUUUCCUUUUUCAACGUAUAGAAAUGGUAGAUCAUCGGUUUCAAAUGUGCGGUUUUAUUAAAAGCUAUCUACAUAACCCCAAACUUCAUAAUCUCUUCUUGUUUAAACAAACAUAUGAAUCAUAUCAUCAUGUCGGUUCGCAAAAUAAUCAAGCUCUGAGAUAUGAUCAUGUGAAGUUCAUUGAUUCCCUUGACUUAAAAAGUUCAUUGAUUCGAAUCAGUUAGGAUGUUCUUUUUUUUUUCCGGCAGACGGUAGAAAAUAAUUUAGCAAAAAAAAAAAGACGAGAAAAUAAAUAUGAUUUCAUGGACUUACACCAUUUUGCAGAUAAAAUAAAAUACACUCCACAAUCCAUUAGAAUAUUAUAUACAAAUUAGUACAGAAAAUACAUCAUGUGAUGUGUGAAACUACUGGUAAAUACACUAAAACAUGAAAAUAAUACGUCUAAAAGCAGUUUUAAGUUUUUAUUAAUUAACAUAAUAGAGCAGUUGUUGCUACUAUGAUAGUUUUGUUUAACCAAACUCAUCUCCUCCUUACAAACAAACUAAAUUAACCUAGAUUUAAGUGUAUUAUCUUAACUUAACUAAAUUUAAUAUAUACUUUUACUUUAAUAUUUAACAUAAGCUUUGACUAACAAACAAAACAAAGUGAAUCCACAUCUCUUUCUUCUUCGUCUUGAAUGCGCAAACAUUUUUUAUAGAAUAAAAUUUGUUUCUUCGAAAUUUUUAUUUUCAAGAAAAAUUUAAUCAACUAUUAUCUGUAUUAUUAUAUUUAUCUUUUGAGAUAUGCAAGCUAUAUUUCUAAUGGUGGUGUAAAGGUCAUGUAUACAACAAUGUCAAUGGCGAAGAUCGCUUCAACCAUGGUGUCUUUGUCUCCUCCUCUUCGUGCUCAGCUCCUACGUCCAAGAUGCCGUCGAUGUGAGGUCUCGUCCACCGGUGGUCAUUGCUCUUCGUCGCGUCUCGUCAACAUCGACUUCUCCACGUCUCAAGCCCACGACCUCUCCAUCUCCAAAUCAUGUUCUAUGGCGUGUCUCUGCUGCGUCAUAGCCGACUCUCCAUUGUCGUAAACGAGAUGGGACGAGAAGUGCGAUCUGCAACAUCAACGGAGGAGUAUCAUUUUUUUGUAAUUUUGGUCCUCUAGUUUACUCUUUCUUUCACAAUAUGCUUCAAACUUCCAAUCUGAUCAAAUUACUUCACAAAUUUACCCCAACAUUGAUGUACAUAUAUGGAUAACAUACUAGUAUGCACCGGUGUACAUGUGAGUCGUUGUACAAGUGGACAACGAUAUGUGUGUACAUUUGAAUGCUAUUUAAAUUUGCAAAUGUUAUAACUUACAAAUGUAUGUUAUAUAUCUUUAUGAAAUGCAUCAGGAAAACCAUUUGGUCAUGCUCCUCCCGGGUACCAUAAGCAUCUCUUCGAAACCAUUAUCAUCGUGGAACCAGAAACAAGGGAUGUCCGUUUCAUGUACAUAUGAAUCAUUGUAAAUAUGGAUAGUGUAAUUGUAUGUACAACAUAUGAUAUACAUAUGAAUCAUUUAUUUUUUCAUUUUUUAAUGAGUGGUAUUUUCGUAAAAUGAGAUAUCAUAUAUGUACACAUGAGCAGUUUACACAUCGAUGUACAUAUAUAGAUAACAUACUAGUAUACACCGGUGUACAUGUGAGUCAUUAUACAAAUGGACAACGAUAUGUGUGUACAUUUCAAUGCUAUUUAAAUUUGCAAAUGUUAUAACUUACAAAUGUAUGUUAUACAUUUUUAUGGAAUGCAUCAGGAAAAACAUUUGGUCCUGCUCCUCCCGGGUACCAUAAGCAUCUUUUCAAAACCAUCAUCAUCGUGGAACCAGAAACAAAGAAUGUCUCGUUUCAUGUACAUAUGAAUCGUUGUACAUGUGGAUAGUGUAACUGUAUCACAUGAAAUUGAAUAAAAACUUUAAAAUAAGAUUCAAAUGUUAUGGAAUAAUGUGGGAUUUUGGAAAUAAUUUUCUGUAAUAAUGUUGUAUUUUGUUUGCAAUUUAAUAUUUCUAUUUAAAUUUUGUAUAUUAUUUUUAAAUUUUAUUAAUUAAUAUUAUUGCAAUAUUUUAUAUAUGCGCUAAUUAUUUAUAAAAGUUUUAUGUAUUUAAACUUAAUUAUGAUAAAUAUAAAGACCAUAAUAUAACAUAUAAAUAUUUUUGAAAUUAAGUUUGAAGUUUUAGUUUCGGAGAAAAAUAUUUUCAUACUUUAAAUAUGAAUUUUGCAAAUUUUAAAGUAGAUUGUCCAGAUGUUCUAAAUGCAAACUUUCAUAAACAAUGAGAAAAUAAAAGGAAAACAUAAACCUAGAAGCUUAGAACACCGAACGAGUGGGCUACGAUUUUCGGUAAUUAAAUAAUAAUCGAGUGGCGUACAAUUGCAAACCAUUCAUAUUCAUAUCUCCUCUUUCUCCCCUAAACACUCUGCCACGUGUCUGACCUUUCGAGCAUCCCAUAAGACACUUUUGCUGACUCGGCGAAAAAGUGCAACCAAAGUUAUGUUCUUUUCUUCCUUUAGUUUGAGACAGUUGUACAAGAAAAAGUCUAAAUGGAUAAAUAGUUAUUUUAGACUAGAUAUUUAAACAAUUUUGUCCUUCACAUAAAAUAUCUAUUUUAUUUAUUAUCAAUUUGUUUAUGAAGUUGACGGCUACUGAAAUUGAAAUAUCACAAAAUGUGGUUAAAGACUUGGCUGGUAAAAAGGUAACUUCGUUAUUCUUCUUGUUUUAUUAUUCAAACUUCUGAUAUGUAUAAGGUUGUAACAAAAAUGAUUGUGGUUGUUGGGUAUAGGAAAAAAACGGAUUUGAUUCUAAUUCUGAGAGAAGCGAUGUGAGCAAGGGCGGAGGAAUAAGGUGCCAAAUACUGGAUUGGGUUUCGAAUGAUGAUUUGGUUGUUGCUGAAGGAGAAUUCUACUCUAGUGAGCCCACAUAUAAGAUUGGUCGCAUUCCACUGGGUCCUAAUGCGGCUGCUGUUAUAGUGAAGUCUGUAUCAGUCGUAACAGCGCCUAUAUGGAGACCUACUCCAACUUGUGUAUCGCUUAGUCAGGCUGUUGGAGUCAAAAUUGCAUGGCCAUCUGAGAAGCUCAUCUUGGAUGAUGGCAUUGACAUUUCAAACAAUGGCAACAACGACGAGUCGGAGGUAAAUAAAUUCCGUCCUCCAAAUCUUGAUAAUCAUUCAUUAAUGUACUCCUGAAAUGUGUGAAUAUAUUUUACAUGAUUCAGGAUGUAGCUGCAUCUUUAGGAAAUGUUAAAAUAUUUGAUUACUGGAAAAUAGAAGAGGAGUUGAUAGCUGAGGGUGUCUUGUUGACAACCGAACCUACUCACCUCGUCAACCAAAUUCCACUGGGACCGAAUGCAGCAGUUCUUAGAGUCGAAAUGGUUUUUAAACCUAAUGCCUAUAUCUGGAGACCUACACCUGAAAUGACAAAGAUGGGUGAUGCAGUACAUGGGACAAUAGCGUGGCCUCUAGAUAAGAUAAGACUACCCGAUCAAAAUUCGCCUACUGAUCAACAUUCACCUACUGAAUCAAACAAGAUAUCCAAUCAGGUAAGUUUGUAAAUUCUUAGAAGGUGAUUAGAUAUUGAAUUGUUAGGUUGCCGGUGUUGAUAUUGUGGUGAAUGUGUUUGUCUUUUUUGGUUUUAGAGUGGUGGUAACAGCACUAGUAGUAGCAACAAAGGUGGCAAACAGAAGGUUGCUCUCUUGGACUGUCAUAACUUAGGACAGAGAGUUGCUUUAGGUCGUGUGUUCUCAACUGAUCCAGCAGAGAAAGUGCAUUUCGUUCCUUUAGGUCCCAAUGCUACGAAGGUUUGGGUAGAGGUUUCCGAGUUCGAUGGGGCUCGAGUGUGGAGGCCAAACUCUGAAAUCGAAUUCAUGGGUGAUGCAGUAGGAAGCACCGUGGCUUGGCCAAAUGAUAACAUUGUGUAUCUCUAAGGAUUACAAUGUUGCUUUAGUGUGAACUUAUAAUGUAAUCUCUAAGGAUGUGUGAACAACUAUGUAAUCUGUUUAAGUUGAAUCUAUGAAAUUUAUGUUUAUUUAUAUAAGUUGAUAUUUUGUUUCAAAAUCCCAGAAAACGAAUUUGUGUAAAUUUAAAAAUAUAAAUAUAUAAAAAUUAAAAUUUAAAAUAUAUAAAUAUAUUAACAUUAUAUAUACAGCACAAAUGAAACUGCUAUAGUAGUACAUAUAUACAUUGCACUUUGGUAACUGCUAUAGUAGAAUUAACUAAAACAAACAGAAAACGCUAUUUAUAAAAUUAGUAAUAGCAGUAAAAAGACGCUAUUAAAUAAUAUUUAAUUGCAGAAAUAAAAGCGCUAUCGUAGCGGAAGAAAAGAUAGCACAACGAAAUACCGCUAUUUAAUGUCCUCGACCUAUUAUGACGGGCGAUGAUACAGCGCUUAACAAACCGCUAUCCUAUCGUUAGAUAGCGUUAUUCGUCCGCUAUAAAAACGCGUUUUUCUUGUAGUGCUUGGCUGCAAUGGCAUGUGAUCUGCUAAUUAUCCCAAUCACAACAGUGGCUUCAGAGUCCUCCUUUAGUAUUGGAUCCGAGUUCUUAACAAAUAUAGGAGCCGUCUACUCCCAAAAAAUGUGCAAUCUCUGAUAUGCUCGAGGAAUUGGAUCAAAGGAUACGAAUCUUAUGUAAAUAACUCACAUUAUAAUUUAUUGUAGAGUACCAUAUCCUCAAUCAUAAGUAAAUGAAGUUUUUGAUAUUUACAGAAGAAGAAAUCAACAGUGAUGGUGAUGGUGAUGGUGAUGGUCAAGAAGAGAAAUUACCAUCAUUUGAGUCUAUUGUCGAUGGGAAAGAUGAAGAUGAGCGCGUUUGAAAUGUUAUCUUUAGUUGGUAUUUUGCUUUAAUUACAAUUUGAGAUUUUUUGUUUAAGUUGUUUGGUUUUCUUUUAAGUACUAUGAUUUGGUGUUUUUUAAAAAUUUAAUUUGCUUCAGACUUAACAUCUUAUCUUCUGCAUGCACUUUAAAUUUAGUUAUAUAUAUAUAUAUAAUCUCAGCUUAUACAUGCACUUGUGAUAGAAGAAAUAGACUUAAUAAUUUCAAGAAUAAGAACAAUAUAUAACAAAUUUAGUUGAGCUUGAAUAGUAGAUGCUUGAAUGUAUCUUCAUUAUGUGCAUUUAGGUGUGUACUGAACUACUGGAUCAGCUUGAAGUGUCCUGGAGGACUGGAGCAGCCUGCAGCGUAUAGAAGUGUCCUGAUGCACUCAUUUGCCGUCCAGCCCGCGCGACGAUCUGUAAGGGAUUGUGCACUUAUGUGGGGCGGGAUCGGGCUGACCUUUUGGUAACCGCAGCCCGCGUGGGCCUGGCCUGCCAUGAUCCGCGAAAAGACGAGCCCGCAAUGGUACGGGACAGGACAUGACGUAUCAACGUGUUUGACAUUCCUAACUGCCACAGACUAUAUAAAAGAAGACAAGCGAAGCACUUCGGAUAUCCAUAAUCCAAUUACGAUACAAAUAUACAAUUAACGUUUUUAAUAGGCAAUAUAAAUACUGCCGCAGACUAUAUAAAAGAAGACAAGCCAAACAUUAGUCCUAUCGUCUCUUUUAAGCAAAUAGCUAAACUAAAUUAAAGAUAUAUAUGUUUUUUUUUAUAACCGAGUGUCUUGGCCCCACCGAAGUGGUCCAGACUAGAAACCGAAGCAACCAAAGACUUAGCAUGCGCUGGUCACCAUGUGGGUCACCGUAAACGGUCUUCGGUCUCGGGCGUUGGGGUUCCGCAUAUGAAUUCUCCAGUGGCCGGGAUUCGAACACGGGUGGCGGAACUCACAGCCGUGAGCCAUUUACCAUCAGAGCUACAAAAGAUAUAUAUGUACCUAGGCUAUAUAUGACCCUAGCCAAUUAUCUUCGACCUCUAAUGCAAAGUGUGCCCCUACUUUCUUUCUUACAUCAAAUUCUAAUAAACUUUAAGGAAAUGUAACUAAAAAUGGAAAUUAGUAAUGUGCAUCGCGACUAGAGAUAUAAGAUCAAUCAUUAAAAAAAAAAAAUUUUGAUAGAUACAUAUACAUAUUACAUAGUAAAAUAGAAAUGUGUUCAGAUCUCAUGAAUCGAAAACACCUUGACAAGAACAGAAGAUACAUUUUGUUCUUGUAUAUUGCUAAAGAAGGCUCAAAUAAUUCUAGCAAAAGGCUGCUCUUUGAACUUCGGAUGUCCACCGUUUAAAAAGCUUUGUCCAACAAAUAUAUAUGCUUCCAAUGAUGAAAUGAUUAUGUGGAAGACAUAGGAAGGUUUUCACUUUUCACCAACUACUCUUCAUUAUUCCCCCACAUAAUGUCUAAUAUUAUUGGCUUCAUCAAUAUCUAACUUUUGUGUUUUCUUUUCCUUGUAUCUUCUUAUUUUACAUGAUUAAGAAAUCUUGGAUUGAUUAAUUAUAUAUACAAAGAAUACAACCUUGAACGUACAGUGUAUCAUUUAUCAAGUCGUGUUUUUAAAGUUAGUCCAUCGAUGUGUACUGGAAAAGAAUGAUCGAUUUUUUUUUCUUCAGAAAUAUAAUUUAAUAAUUAUAAUAAGGUCUCAUAAACAAUCUUUUUUUGUUGAUGAAAAAAUUAUUAAAUUUGGAAGUGCAUGUAUUUCCGUUAUAUACGCCUCGUUUUGUUCGUUUUUCAUUUUCUUUUCGAAAAGACGUUUUGUUCGUUCUUUCCGUUACAUUACGUAAGUACGUAACGGGUUUCAUUUCAGUUCUCUGGCUGAGUGCAAAACUGCAAAUGAAUUCUUUUAAAAGAAUAUUUGAGUACCAAACUAAACUAGAAAAGACAGAUUUACUAGGAACUGGUUUAAUCACGAAAUGGUUUGAAUUGGGAACAUUAAUAAAAAUGGACUCGUCUAUAUACAGUCACGCCCUUCAUAGGCUUGUAAUUCAAAUAACACUAGGAUCGAACCCGCGCACCAGCGCGGGUGCUAUUUUUUUAUUUGCAAUGAUAUAACAUCUGUAGUUGUUUAUGUUUUGUAUCAGUAUGUUUCAAUUUGCUUAAACGGUUUCAUUCACGUUUCAUUAACAUCUGAUUCAUUCAAAUUUUGUAUUGUUUGUUUAAAAAAAAAAUAAGAUAGAAACAUAACUUUUAUGGAUCAUGGUGUAACUAUUGGGCUGGAGAUAUUGAAUAUUUACUGACUAAUUUAUAAAAGGCCCAUUUAGUAAGUUAACUAAUUAGCGUAGGAAAAAAAAUAGUUAGGAUCAAACUCUAACAAAAAAAAACAGAGCGAUCAUCUUCCCCGAUCAUUCCUUAAGCUAGGGUUCUUACCUUUCUUGGGGAUCAGUGGUCGUUCUUACAGUACUGAACCCUUCAACAUAACAGUUUAACGAUUCCUCAAGAUUUAAAUUGCUAAAGAUUCAUCAACAUGCAAUCCAUGGUGAAACAGGCGGCUCCAAAGGUUUUGAUUUUUGUUGUUUUGAAGUUAAAGCCUUACGGAUUAUUGAAUUUUAUGGUUUAUCUAUGUGUCUAAUAGUUUUAUUGUAUACAAUUCCAGAUGAAUUUAACGCUACAAAUAGAGAUUGAAGAUGUCCAACAGAUCAUUAAGAUUCGUCUCGUUUGGAAAGUUCUGGGAUCUAAGAACAUAGGUGCAAGCCGUUCUUUUGAUUACGAUAAAGAAGAUUAAAACCAUAAUCAAGUAUAAGGCAAAGUUUAUGUUCUGUUCUGUCUUGAAACCAAAACAAUCUUUGUUUCUAGUAUGUUUUUUUUUCUGACUUGUAACUAUCAAUUGAUUGUGUGCACGGUUCUGUUUUGAUUAAUCAUUUAUGCGUGUUAUCAUCUUUAGUAAUAUCUAUGUUUCCUACUGUUUGUCCAUGUUUACUAUCCUUUAAAUAGAAGUUGGCUUAAGAUAGAUGUAUAUUGUUUCAAAUUAUAAAUGUUAUGUUUCUCGAUCUUAAGAUGUGCUGAGUUGUUUCCACUUUGCUUCAGAAUAUUAUCAUGGUGGAAUAUAACUUUAAUUGUUUCUCUGUAAUUGUGUGCUUAUAGCUGAUGUCCGUAACUUCGUAAAUCACUUGUCAACUGUUUAUGUUCAUUCUUAUAGCUGAUGUAUGAAACUUAGUAUAUCACUUGUCCACGGCUUAUGGUAAAUGUUGAACAUACUUCUUUGCUUAUAACUACAACUAUCUGUAAAUUCAGUAUCUCGUAUGCUUUUGUUUUCAAAAUAUCCCUUGAAGAAUGACUAACUUGUGUUGAUUUUUUUUUUCUGUUUAAUUACAUGACACCAAAACAUAGUGGAAAAGCAAAAGUGAUACAAAAAGGAUAUAACUGAAGAGGAGCAUUACACAUAAUUCUAAAAGUAAAAAGGUUAGUAAUUUAUUAAACAAACUUUUAUUAAUAUGCGCAGAUUAUUAGUCUUAAGAGUAGUAUUAGUAGGAUUAUCGGUUUGAAUGAAACAUUGCUGAAUGAAACAUAGCAUUAUUUCUGAUUGUGGACUGACUCCUAAAAGAAGAAACAAAACUUGUCUCAAGUUUGAACAAAUAGCAUAGUAAAAAGUAGAAGUCCAUCGCAUUCCCUCUUCUCGACGAAACCUGCAACUAAUCACGAAAUAUAUUUUACAACCUUAUAUCAUCCUAAAAUUUCAAAAAAAAAUUGAUCCAUAAGUAAACAUACCUGUCGUUUCUUACAUAUACAUAUCAUAGGUUGUUGAAAAUCUCUUUGAAAACAACAUUCAUAGUCUUCUUCUGAGGUUUACCAUCUUUGUCCACAAUCAAAAUCUUCAAUCCUUUCUUUGAUGUGACCCUAGAAAUAGCCACAUAUAGCUGUCCAUGAGAGAACACAGGUCUGGGUAGGAAGAUGCCAACUUCAGAGAGAGAUUGUCCUUGGCUUUUGUUGAUUGUUAUAGCAAAUGCAACUGCCAAGGGCAAUUAGAGAUAAUUUUUCAUUAGAGAUAAUUAGAGAUAGUUUUUCAUUUAAAAAUUACAACAAUAUAUCAUCUAAAAUUUUGAUUGUUUGCAGCAAAAUUUCUAUUGCUUGAAUCUUCAGGUAAUUUCUCAAGUCGAAUUUUAAUUAAUGAAAUAUAAACAAUAAAAACAUUCCAGACAUUUAGGUUAAUAUUAGAUGAUUUGUUAUAUUUUAGUUACGAUUUUGAUCUGAUUAGAUUUUAUUUUAAUAACUAAAAUUUAAAGUAGCAAGAAACGUGUUGAAUAUUUCUAAGUCAGAAACAUAUAUUUUAUCUAGUUAUAAAACAAUGAGGAUCUCUAGAAGAUGUGUUCAUCUGUAUAACUCUAUAUAGGUUAUUUAACUCUGUUUGAUGUAUGUGCUUUUUUUUUCUAACUGCUAGGUUGACCCUGCAAGUGCCGAUAAUGUUGAAGUUAUGCUUUGGGGAGUAAAGAUGCUCUGCCUCAUAUGAUGCCGACUCCAUUAGACACAUACCCGUAUUCAUUCAAAGGUAUGUUGAUAAUUUAGAAGAUAUGGUUGCAUUUAAAUGUUUUAGAUGAAGAAAUAAUCGAAUAUUUAAAGUUUGUUUCAUUUUUUCAAGUUGAUUGUUAGUUAGAUAUUAAAAUUUAGAUGAAGAAAUAAUCAAACUUUUAUUAAUAGAUAUUAAAAUUGAAAAUACGAAACAUCAAUGAAAAACACCAGAAAGCUAAAAACAGAAUCAAAUAAAACUUAAAUGUAGAAAAUAUCCAAAUUACUCCAGAACAUUACAUCCAUACCCACCAAACUUCAUCACUUAGAACCGUCCCAAACUAAUCCUUUUUCGAUUUCUCCACCUUGACAAUCUUGGUGCACAGUUUUUUUGAUGAUGAGGACAUGUCAGGUAGAUCACCAUCUUUGCGUUUGGAGAACGGGGUUGAACAACCUUCAGAAGUUGUUUGACUGUUUGGAUCCAACUUAGAAACCUAAAAUAAUGAAAAUGCACACAAAUUCCAUGUCAAGAAGUAAUAAAUAUAUACAAAUAAAAAUUAUAAAAUCGAUAUAUAAGACAUUAACCUCGCCACCAGAGAUCAUGGAGGAUUCUCUGCUGACAACAGAAUGUGAUUCUGCUUUGAGAAGUUUAUCUCCAGACCAGAUUUGAGAGACCAUAAAUAUAUCAGAGCCGUUGGUCACAUUAUCAUUUUCCAAAGAAACUCCAAAACAGAAAGAUUGGCCAACUAAUUCUUUGAUUGGUUCUGGCAAAACUUCUGGAUCUUCAAUCUGGGUUAAGUAAAUAAUAAGAACAUAGUUAGCCAAAGAAACAAAGUUUAGCAGAAACAAAGUUUAGCAGAAACAAUAUAGGUAUGAUAUGUAAAUCAUAUAAUAAUGUUAAGCAUGGUUCGACAGUAGCUCAUCAUAUGACCCAUCCCAUAGCUCAACAGCUUUACAGCCGACUAUGGCCUCAGCUUCAGUAUCCAGCAACAUUAACUUGCAUGUACCUGAGUUAUCUUGCACAACAAUAUGCAGUUUGUAUCUGUACAACAUAAAAACUCACAUAUUAGAUUUAGUUGAUUUUCCCGUAAAAUAUUAUUCACAAAUACAUUCAUAGAAAUGAAACUCAAUCCAUGGGUAAACUUACUUUGGAGACACAUUUGUGACAUUACAACGGCAACGUUUACAAUACCAUAAAGGUUUAUCUGCAACCGACAAAUUUGCUGAACCAUUCCUAACAAUUUGCUCGGCACGUUUGUUACACCUGUCAUGACCAAAAUAGAACCAGCCCCAAUCUGUAUCUACUGUUUCAAUAGAAACAAUGAUUUUGCAGCUUUCAAUCUACAAACAUAAUUAGUUCAAGAUUAAAAUAGUUGACUAUAUAGGUGAUGUAAAUGGUUUAAAAUUAUAUAAAUGUAGAAAUAAUUAUACCUUCAUGGCCACCAAUAUUUCUGAGAUUGAUUUGACAUCAACUUCAUUCCAGUCCACCUUUGGAGCCUUGAUUGCCUUACUGUUUGAAUUUUGAUCGAAAGGAGUAAUUGCAGUAUCAUUUUGUGGCAUCCUAAGUCAAAAGAAUAUAAUUAUUGGUCAAGACUCAAUGUUUUUCAUAUAAAUAUUUCCAACGUAGACAUACUUACAUGCUUUUGAAAGUCACGACUUCAGGCAAAUCCGGAUUGAUCAGAACCAAUGAUGCAUCAAAUGCGUUGGUAAUUUGAACUUCUCCUAUAAGAAGAAAACAAAUAGUAGUAUUAAGAGUAUUUGAGAUGAUAAAUUCAAUCCUUGAGAGUUUCAUUUUCAUUUUAAAUUAUUUGUAUUACCUUGAUAAAAUCCGAUCUUUGCAAAUCUUAUAACCAAAAUCAUAUUUGGGUCAUUUGCCUCUUGAACAUGAGAUUCAAUUUGUUCUGCAUAUUUUCCCCACAGACAACAUGCAAUAGUCUCACUCCUAAUACAGUUAAGGUGUUAAAAAAAUAACAUAAAUAUAACAUAAAUUAAAGAUAAUCUGCAGGGUACAAAAAAACAAAUUACUUGGUGUCACGUAGACGAAAUUCAACUUUUUCCUGUCUUUUUGCUUAACUUGAACAGUUUGAACGUCUUUAAGGCUCUCAACUUGACCGAUUACUUCUGCAAUUAUUCACAAAGGAAAACAAUGUUGGUACCUUAUACUUAAAUCAUCAUUGCAAAUACGUUCAACUUUAUGAUAAACUUAACCAAUCACAAAUAAAAUAAAUGUAAAAUAUAGAUUGUAAGAUAAACUUAACCGAUCAAAAAGUGUGAUUUAAUACUCCCAUUACCAACAUCUUCAAAGCUUGCAAAAGAGAAGAACAUAUCAUCGCAAUGGAAAUCUGAAUCCUUAAUCUUACUGUCGCCUAUAAUAGACAUCUUGUAAGCAUGGUUGGUUGGUCGGUAUUGACCAGUUGCAUUUGAGAGCGAAAACUUUGUAAUCAAACGCCAUACUCCCAAAGGCAAAUCACGUUCAACACGAAACAUGUGAUCAUUCUUGCAUGAGCAAUGAAUCUUAGUACCCUAAAAAUAAGAAAAAAACUGAUGUCGUUAAUCUUAUAUAUUAAAUUAAACUUUUUAAUAAGUGAAUCGCUUCUAAUAUAAAAACACUCUAAAAUCGCUUCUAAUAUGAAUAAGAUAAAUAUAAAUGUUUUUUAAUAUGUUAUGUUACCAAAUGGUUAGUAAAUGAAAGGCUUAAAAAGUUUAAUUAGAUGGUCCUACUAUGACUUUUGCCUAGUAGAUAAAAAUGGUACUUCUCUUUUAAUAGAGAAGAUAUUACUAUGGUUUUAGGAGUAUAUACUCUGAGUCAUGUCCAAGUAUUAUAGUAUUAGUGGUAUUCCGAUGCUACGCGCCGGGUUCGUAUGUUUUAUUCUUUAAUGAGUUCAAAAUUAUUAUUUUUGAUCCAUUUGAUAUUGGUUAGUGACAGUAGUAUAUUACUUUGUUUUGAAGUUGUUUAGGUCAAAAAAAAAUAGUAUAAGUAGUUUCACUUAUUGAUUCAAUACAAAUAGAAUAAAUAACUUAUAGUUACACCAAAGUAAAUAUAGUUUAAUUUAAAACAUAAAGUAAAGUCGAUGUUCCAAAAGUAAAACAUGUAGAUUUGUGUGUUUGUUUUGUAAUUAUCUUUUUUGAAUGAAGAUAAAAAUUUCUUUCAUUUUCUUAAAUUAAUAACAAUUCUCGAAUACUUUGUUAAUAUCAUCGAUGUGGCAAUCUGGUCAGGGUUUCACUCCAGACGUAUUGGUUAAAUACUUUGUUUUUAAAAUGAUACUGAAUCUAGUAAGUGAAUUACUAAUCAUGGUUUAGCAUCGCUCGGACGACUAUUUUCUCGAGAUAACUUAUUAUAAAAUUGAAGUGUUCGUGAAUAAUUUUAGAGGUGGAUUUUUGUUCUCACAAUGUACAUUUAAAUAUUUCGAUCAUGUGAUGUGUUUAUUUGGUUUGACAACAAAAGUAUAAUAUGCUAAUGUAGUUGAAUUUGUACAGUACGGGGGAGGUACAGAGCCUCUUAUUGAACUUGAGUGUAUGAAGUAGUCAAACGUUUUACUUCUUGUGUGAGAGGAUAUUAUUUAUUUGGUUUAAAGCUUUCAUGUUUAUUUAAAGGGCAAAUCUCCAAAAUAGCACAUUUCUAAGUUUAUAUCACAAAAAUAGCACUCAAAAACUAAAAUGACCAAAAUAGCAUUAUAUCUUUUGAAAAUUUUAAUUUUUACCCUAAAUUCAAAAUUUGAAAUCUUAUCCCCAAAACCUCAUUUCUCAACUCUAAACCCUAAACCCUAAACUCUAAACCCUAAACCCUAAAUUCUAAACCCUAAACCCUAAACCCUAAACCCUAAACUCUAAACUCUAAACCCUAAACUCUAAACCCUAAACCCUAAAUUCUAAACCCCACCCUUUAACUCUAAACUCUAAAUUUGUGACUUUUGAUAAAACAUUAAGUGCUAUUUUUGUGACUUUUGACCUUGAAUGCUAGUUUGGGAACAAAAACUUGAUUUAGUGCUAUUUUUGUAUUUUUCUCUUAUUUAAAUCUAUUUUGGUUUUUAUUUACCUUGUAUUUAUUACAUUAUACUAUUAUUAUUAAUGUUAUUCAUUUGCGUUGGUAUUUUAUAAAAGAAACAAAUCAUUAUCUUUAUUUGACCAUUUUUAUAUAUCUUCUACACUAUUAAAGAAAAAUCCAUUAUAAGAUUUUGUCCUUAAUUUUGUGAAAUAAUUAUAAUAAAAUAAUUAUAAUGAAAUGUCACUCAUAUUUUUAUGCAUAUCAUAAUUAAUUAAUCUGAACUAAACAAUUAAUUUAGAAAAAUUCCAAAACUAAAAAACAGUAGUUAAAUCAUGUAUACACAGCUUAAAUUUAUAACCAUGCUGCAAGCUAAACAUAGCUUCUUUAAGCUACUUCAGAUCUCAGACAUCAUUUGAACCGAUUUUGGUUUCAUUGUUACUCUCCUUAAACAACUGCAUUAUUCUCUCAUUUACUUGAUCUUUAAGAUUCAUAAAUGGGCUCUGAAAUAGUAGUGGGCCGUAAGCCCAAUCAAAACAGAUAUGACCAAAUAAAGUGUUUAACAUGCCUUCUUCUUCUUCUCCAAUUUCAGAUUUGAUCCAAUCUGUAGCCUAAGGGGAAACGAAAAGGGGAAACUGCGACAAAUCAAAGGUAUGAUUAGAACCCAAAGAGACUCAUGAAAACACUUCAAUUCUCUGAAAUUGAUUGAAGUUUGUGCAGUUUUUUUCUUUCUGAUCGUAUCUUUGAUUGUGAAAAACCUCAGGUGGAUCCAUGGGUGAUGUACAACUAAAGAAAAGAGGAUACAUCUGGGCAAUCUCUGCUGGGUUCAAUGCAGCUCUUGCUGCCAUCUCUGCAAAGUUCUUCUCAUCUCUCGUAAUAAUAAUAACAUUUUCUUAGCUUCAUUUGUUUUUUUUUCCUUAGAGCAUUUUGAUUAAUUUAAUUUUGGAAUUUUUUAAUGUUUAACAGGUGCUAAAAUAUGGAUUGGUUGUAUUAUGCAAUGUGGUAAUGUGGGGAUGUUAUGUAAACAGCUUAAGAGCUCUCUCUUCUCUACAAGCUACCGUCACUAACUUUGCUGCUAAUUUCCUCUCUUCCGGUUUUGCUGGCCUCUUUCUGUUUCACGAGUCCUUAUCAUUCCGUGUAAGUUUUUUAUUUAAAUCUUGAAAACAAUGUUUCUUAUGCUAUGCUUUUCUUGGAUGUCAAAGCCUAUUACUAUUGCAGAUUCCAUAACUUGUACUUGUUUUUAAGGUUUGCGUGUAUUUAGGACACCAAUUGUUAUGUUGAAAUGGUAGUUUUGGAGUUGUAACAUGAGUUUGGCUGAUACAUUUUCCGAUAAAUAAUGCAGUGGUUUGCGGGAGCUUUAUCGAUCACCAUUGGAGUUGUAAUCCUCAGUAAGUCAAGUGUUGAUAAGAAGGUCAGUACGGAUUAGUACAAGAACCAAUAUAAUAGCUUUCCUUCUUGAGAAGGCUGGUUUUGCGUACAAGGAGUUAAGAGCUGGAGAUUAAGUUGUUUGAAGUUUUAGAUUUUAUUCUGUUAAGAGGACCAAACUUGUAAUACCUACGAUUGAUUUUCAUGAUUUUAUUGAAGUAGUUAAGACUGUUAAUACUAAAAUAAUGUUUGUUCUUUUUUUUUUUGGGUUUGUCAUGUCAAACCGCAACAAUCUACUGCACGGGUCUUCUUCUUCUGCAUCUUGAUUAAAAUCGAGAGGCAGUGGCAAGAAACUAAGAAACUAAUGCGUAGCUACGAUAAUAUGUGCCAAAAAUAUGUUUGAAACUUUCUAAUCACAAAAUAUACGGUUAGAUCAAAGAACCAGCCAUGUCGUGGGGCUUACGUCACAUAUUUUUUCAAUAGAAAUAUGGACAAUUCUGUUUUACUUUAUGUGAAGUGAACAUGCCCUUACUCAUUACUUGAUUUUCAAGCUACAAUGUCUUCUCUUAACGUUUCCAUCUCGGGAGUAAUAGGCAAAUUACUAGAGAUGUGAACAAUUCUCCACUUCUUAAACGAAACAUUUCGAUUUUUUUGGAGUUCUUUUUCUUUUGCAUUCACUCUUUUUAGGUUAACCACCGUAUACAUUGUAUAGUUUUGCAUCUGUGAAUAAAGGAAAAUAUACAAAGAUUUUUCUUCUACUUUCAAAAGCUAUUUUCAAUAUUUUGUAGACUCACAAGAUAAUUCUCAAGAAUCCACCAAACCCUGCUAUAAUCGUAUCAAAACAACAAUGAAAUAGUGGUUUUGUAGGAUACGACAUUACGGAAAAACAACAAUUGAAUCAAUCAUCGUGAUGAUGAGUGGUAGAACAACUGAAAAUUUGCAAAACAAUAAGGAAGUAAGACAAUGUAUGCAAAUAUAUCUUGAGAUCUAAUGACAUUGUUACAACAUUAAAUAUUAUUUUGAGGAAGGUUGAAGUACCAAGAAACAUUCAUUAGAUCUCGGAAAGACGACGCUCAGGGUCACUACUGGGAUAAUAGAACUGUUAGAGAUCUAUAUGCGGAAGCGCGUUAAACCGAAAACAUACUAAUCUAGUUUAGCGAUGAACAUUGCUUGAUACAAUCUGGAAUUGGAUACAAGAAUCAGAAAGAAAUCACAGAUGGAAAUCAACCACAUAUCCCCAUUCAAGUACCUUUCUAGUUGAUUCAUUGAAGCUUCUUCUCUCUAAAACUUUUUACUCACUCUUUAGAAAUAUAUUUGUUAUAAAUAUAUUAUUACAAUUGGUUCUCUUCUAUUUGCAAUGUCUAUAUAUAUAGACAGUCAAGAGACAUUUUGUGAGGAGUCACAUAUGUUCAAGGAAGAGACAUGUAUUUUCAGCAAAGAGACGCAUCUUUUAAAUGAAGAGUCACAUAUCUUCAUUUAAGGAGUUAUAACCCGGUAAAAACCUAAAAACUCACUAUUAACCCGCGAUCUGAUACUAUUGAUCCGAUAACAAAAUAUCUUAUAGUACUUUUUUAAAAAAUUGAUUAAAUUACUCAUAUAUUUAUUAAUAUUACAUAAAUUAGUGAUUCCUUAGAAUUUGAUAAAAUUUUAUCAUGUUAUCUAAAUAAAAAAUGAUAAUAUAAAAUAACUUAUUGAUAUGACAAUAUUAGUUUAUUUUCGUUAUUAAUAACCUAUUAUAAGUUUGUGUUUGUAUUUUAGAUUUAAAAAUUUAUUUUAAGAUAGUUUUUAAAAUAUUCUUGAACACUCGUAAUUGCCAUAUUAAUAUUAUGUAUAAAAUGACAUUAUACACUGAAAAAUGAUAUUCAAAUAUGUAUAUGAUAUAUGGUGUAGGAUAUACGAUUUUGGUUUGUAUUGAAAAUAUGUAUAAUAUUCAAAUGAUCUAUUUUGAAUAUUGAUACGUAUAUUUAAGAAAAUAAUAUUUUCAUGUUUCUUAAUUCAUUUAUUGUUCAUAAUAUAUUUAUACUUAUAUUAAAUUUAAAAUUAAUAUAUCUUUUAAAUAUAUAUAUAGGCCUAUUAUUUAUAGAUCCAUUUAGGUGUAUCUGUAGGCCCAAAACCAAAAGACUUAAAUGCCAUUAAUGAAUUUUAUUAAUUCUUUGUAAAAAUAAAGGUAUUUUUGAGAAAACUGCAAUUUUCAUUAAGGAUAUAAUUUGAGAAUGAUCCUCUUUUAAUGGUAUUGAUGCGAAUAAUUUCCUAAAACUAGCGGUUAACCAAACCGGUUUGGUAUGCUGCCUAAUCAUGGAUGCAAACCGACCGUAAACUAAUAUCUCCCACUCACACAUGAUUGGGAGCAUGUCAAGUACUAGAGAAGUCUUAAAGAUCAAGCGCGAGAAUCCUAACUCAGAAAUCAUAGGGAAAAUGAACCGUGCGACCCUUACAAGUACACUAACACUUGGGAGUUAAAUUAUGCACCUGUUAGGAAUACAUACAAGUUACAACCCUAGAGAACUUUGCUUUUCAGCAUGUCUCGUUGUUCCCCAAACUCAUUGGUCUUUUAUAUCGAUUUAACAUUCCUGAUCCCUAAAGCAUAUGUGUUUAAAAAACACAUAUGUCAAAUAGUUUUCUUUUCCAAUCUCAUGUCCAUCUGUUUCGAACUAACUGUUUUCCUAGCAUGUCCCAUAAGGCUAAUUAUUCCAUUGCCGUUGAAAAAUAUACUAAAGUAGAAAACAUUAAAUAUUUCUUUCGAGAAUAUAGCUGAAGGUUCAAGGGUAACUUUGUAACCAUAAAUAGGUUAGUAGGAACUCACAUGAGAGGGAUAUGGAUUAAAAAUAAAAUAAUCCCUCGCUUCCUAUAUAGUCGUAAAUAGCACAUGUGGUAUGACAUACAUGUCAUAGCACUUAACUCUCCUCUUAAGAACAUGUGUAAAUUACAUAAAUUACAUAAACCAAAUAUCACUAUGUGGAUCAAGCUACUAUCAGCUCAUUCACUAGCGCCUUUUUAAGGUUUUUGGACGGUUAAAUUAAUAUUAUUUUUUUGUCAAAAAAAUAAUUCUGUUUAAACAAUAAAAUAAAUACAACUAAAGCUACGGUUAAAAGACCAAAAUUUAUGAUUUUUUUUAGUAAUUUACCAUGCACAGUAAAACCACCACUUAGGUGUUGUUUGUUUCUCCACUUGUGAUCUCCAUUCAGCUGAUUCAUUUAUGUGAUCCAUCCAAAUGAUUCAUCCAGAUUUUAAGGGUUGUUUGUUUUUCCAUCUAGAUGAGUCAUUUAAAUGAACUAUUUGAAUGGAUUUGAUGUUUGUUUCUUUUUUUUAUUUCCAUUCAAAUGAGUUUGAUAAACAAAUUACAAAUAUACAAUUCUUUUGAUUUAAUCAUAUGUUUGAUAUUAAUUUUAACUGUAUUAAUUAAUAUUAUUUAGUUUAAAAUGUAUUUAAACUAAAAUUAUUUUAAAAUUGUCAUUUUGACAUGUAUAAAAUUUUAGUUCAUAUACAUUUAUAAUUUCAUUCAUUUAUUUAAAAUUCAUAUAUUCAUUCAUUUAUUUAAAAUUGCAUUAAAAUUUAUAGCUUCUAAUAAAACUCAAAGUGAAAACUCAAAUUUGAAUAAACUUCUAAACAAUUCAAAGUAGAAACUCAAAUUAGAAUAAACUUCUAAACAAUUCAAAGUAGAAACACAAAGUACAAACUCAAAUUUUAUAAAACUGAAAUUUAAAAGAUGGCUUGCGAACCAAGUAACUCCCACACUCCAAGCAAUACGUUUAUUCCAAGCAAGAACUCCCACACUCCAAGCAAUACGAUCAGGUACCAAACCUGCCAUAUAAAGAGGUUUUGGUCAAUCAACAAUGGGACACAAAAAUUCAAAAAAAAAAAUGCAUUUUCAGCUUAUAAGAAAGCUCAAUACUUUUCCAGCAACAACAAGACUACAAAACCACUAAACAAGAAGAACCCACUAAACCACUAAACAAGAAGAACCUACUAAACAUUAUAAUGAGACUGAUGCCAAUAUCUCAUCAAUGAUCGCUCUAUAUCAUUACAAGGUCCUAUUAAGUCAUUCCUAAACAUUCUAAGCAAGGAUACAAACGCAUUAAUCAUAAGUGAACCCACUAAGCUCGCCAAGGGUGAGCUCUACUUCUACCUAUUACCAUUAAAAGGAUUGGAUAGACGCAUACCUGUUUGAUGCUAAUGUGGAAGUCUAGUUCCUCUUGCCAUCUCUAGAGUAAUAGAGUCACGUAUACUCUCCAUCACUCUAUCACCUGCUGGUAUGUAUUGAACAUGCUCAUCAUGUUGUUCAUCACCAUGUUGUUCAUAUGAUUCCACUCCUUCCCAAUGCAAAAAGUCGAUAUCUUCAUGCUGUGAAUCCCGAAUGAAGUUGUGGAGGGCCAUUGUGGCUGUCACAAUCUUUAUCCAUUUCUUCAGCUCAUACUUGGGAUGUUUUCUGUCCAUAAUCCUCCAUUUAGCUUUCCACACACCAAAAGUCCUCUCAAUGAUUGAUCUCAAACCAUAAUGCUUGCGGUUAAACAGUUCCCUAGUGUUUGAUGGUGGACCUCCUCUAUUAAACUGAUCCAAAUGGUAUUUGGUUCUGCGAUGAGGACCUAAGUAACCAUCUCUGGUUGGAUAACCUGAGUCGACCAAGUAGUACUUUCCAGCUGGUGGGUGAGGAAAAGAAGCUUCUUCAGUAGCACAGUAUGUUAGCACCUUCGUGUCAUGUGCUCUCCCGGGAACUCCAACAUAAGCGUAGAUGAAUCGUAUGCUGAAAUUGCAGAUGACUAACACAUUCAUGGUUGCUUCAGCUUUUCUACCUCUAUAUGGCUCAACAUUUCCAGAUGGUGGACAAACAGGAAUAUGAGUGCCAUCUAAAGCACCUAUGCAGUUUCUAAAGUAAGGCCAAUACUGCGGAUUCCCUACUAGAAAAGGACUAGCAUUUGUGAACUCAUUCCUAGUCGGACUAGCAUUUGAAUCGUCUGCCAACCUUUCAGAAAUUAUUACAAUAAUUGAUUUUGGUUGUCCUAAAAAGUUUAUCCUAAAAGAUAAAUUAUUAUUCUAUCUUAUGUGGUAUAUAUAUAUUAAAUAUAGUCGGUUUAGUAUUAAUAAACCAAAAUAUAAUAUAAAAACAUAUAUGUAAUAAUUUAAUAUUACUAAAUUAUAGUGUAUAAGUUUGGCUAUAAUAUUGUCUUUAGCAAUAUGAAAAGACAUAUCUAAUAAUUCCUAUUGUUAAUAGUAUAAUCAUCCAUAAUCCAUGACAUCACCCAGUAGAAUCAAAAUAUUAUAUAGAAAGAUAGUGACAAAUAUUUCUCAAAAAAGAAGAAAAUAACGAUAAAUAAGUGGUAAGUUUCAAUUAUAUCUUUUAUAAUUUGCGCUGUAAAUGAUUUACUCUAAUGUAAUUAAACUUUAGUUAGUUUGAUUAACUACAAUAUUUAAUUGAUAAAUUAAGAAUAUAAUAAAUCUAAAUAUUCAUAAUUCAUUAAGGGUACUAUCGAUAUUAACCGCUCUAACUUUUAACGUGAGAGUUCUAUUGCGAAAAAUCACUUCGCAAAUAAUAGUAUAUAUAGAUAGAUACCAAAUCAACAAGGAUCGGUUUGUAAACUUUUUUUAUCUUCUAUACUUUUUGUAUAAUUUUAUAUUAUUAAAAGAAAUUAAACAAUCACAUUAAGCAUAUAAUAAAAAAAAUUAGAUUUUUUAAUAUGUUAUAUUUCAAAUAUUUUAAAAUGACUAUAAAUUAUUAAAAAUGGUUAAAGUCUCACAUUGAAAAUUUCUGAAACAACUUCACAACUUGGAAAUCAUAUAUUCGAUUUACAAUAAAUAUCAUUGAGGAAAAGAAUGCGAGGAAGAACAAGAGCACAUAGGUGACGGUGAUGGUGAAAACACCACACACAGAAAGGUAAACAAAAUACAUAGAUGAUGACGACUCAAUGUCAAAAUAUGGGGAGAGUGCAAAAAAUAUCUUAAAAGAAUAAUUUUCAAAAAUAUUAAAAAAAUAGAAUACAAUUUGACGCUAAAAUCUUUAAUUUUAUAAUCAACACAUACCUAAAUACAAUGUUUUUGAAAAUUAUUAUUGUUUACACCAGAUGUUCACUCCAUCACUACUAAGUACUACACAAUAUUGAAAAAAUAAACACAAAAUAUAUUAACGUAUUACCUAUUACUACAUAACACAAUGAAAAUACCAAAUAAUAUUUUUAACAAAUAAAAACGAUCAAAUAACUACAUCAUAUAGAUCAUAUUUAACAAAAAUGAAACACAAUAUUCCGUUCGAAGCGCGGACAAAUCCCUAGUAUAUUAUAUUUUGAAUCUUUAAAAAAACCUAUAAAUUAAUUAAAAUAUUAAAAAUUCCACACUAAAAUUUUUGUGACUAGUGGUUUAAAAUUCCAUUAUAACAUGAUACAAAUAAUUUAAAUAAAGCUAUAUGAAUAUGAGUCGAGUCUCAUUUAAGAAAAUAUUUAAAUCCAAAAAGAUACAUAUUUUAAUAUUUUUUAAAUUAAAUUAUAUACUAAUACAUAAAUAUUAUAUUUGCGGAAUUCUGCUUUUAAAAAAGGGAGGGAAAAAAAAGAUAGGAAAGAAGUAAAAGGGGAAGAAAGUAGGGUUCCAACAUUAUUCAUAUAUAUAUAAACCUCCCUCAAAAUAAAUAUUUCGGUCCUUCCGUUUGGCCUUCAGGAUUCGACAAUCAACGAGGUCAGUGAUUUUGAUUUAGCAGUCUCUCUACGAAUUCUUUGUCUGAUGUUUGAUUGAAGAAGAUUUUCGUUUCUAGAAUAGAACCUAACACACACCGAAUUGUUUGAAUCUGAUUGAUUUGUUUGAAUGUUAAGAGAUGAGUGAAGACUUGAUACCAAUCUCGGUGUGGUGGGACAUCAACAGCUGUCCGGUUCCCACUGGUUGGUCCGAGAAUUUCAUCGGCUUUGACGGAUGCAGGCUACGAUGGUCAUAACAUCACUGCCAUUGGCAACCUAGAGCACAUCCCUGAUGAGGUCUUGCUACAGAUCAAUUCCACUGGAAUCGCUCUUAGACACGUCCAAUGCGGUUAAUCUUCUCCUCUCUCUUUCUCUCACUAUUUUUUUUAUAUAUAUAUAUAUAUAUAUAUAUUUAUAAUUCAAGGUGUUUGAUUCAACGUUUCCUUGACAGAUUAUCUAGAGGACAUGGUUAAGUGUUGGCUUGAGGUACAGCCGAUGUGUUUAAUGCUCAUCUCCAGUCAUGAGCAACUGGAAAUCUUUGCUCCUACUUUGUUCAAGAUACAACCUCUCAUAUCCUCCAUUCUUCUGGCACAUCCUGGACGAAAAGAAGGUUCAGAAUGGCUCUGGAAAAGCUUCCUCCGCAGUGUUAAAAGAGAGUUGAUCUGGGAAACCUUUUUGAAAGGUGUUUGUCCUCUCUCUCUCUCCCUCACACACACACACAGUGUUUUCAAUAACCAGCGAAGCUUAAUUUUGUCAAUGGAUUCAGGGUCUGCGGAUAGUAAACAGAUAUGUAGAGCAGGGGAUUUUUUUUGCAAAACAUGUGUUCGUUGGUCGACGAGUUUUGAAGAAUUCACUAAGCAUAUCAAGUGUGAAAAACACACACAGGAAGUAAAAGUAAGCACAUUUGCCGCCGCUCCUUUUAGCUUGCCUGCCAAGUUUUGUUUGCUGAUGUCCUUUUUUUUUCGGCUAGGUGUCUGACACGGUGAUGAGUGAUCAACCAAAGGCAAGUUUUAAACACUUCAGUUUCUAUUUUUUUUUCUUCUCUGUUUAAUGUGCUUAAAACCUUGAAGGUAACCAUAAGAUCCUUUGUCCCCGUUCCUCAUUCUCGCUUUCGGCCAAGUGUGCAUAUGGCGACAACGACUGUGCUUUGGGACAUCGACAGCUGUCCGCUUCCUGAUUCUUUUGGUCCUUCGCUGGCUGGUCGGAGUAUAAGAUCGGCAUUGAAAAAUUCAGGCUACCUUGGUCCGGUCACCAUCACUGCCAUGUCCAACCUACAUCUCAACCCACGCUCUGCUUCCCUCCUGGAAGCGCUCUUUUCCUCUGGAAUCCAUAUUUCAAACAUCUUCGGCUGUAUGUCUUUUUAUCCCUUUCUUUCUUUGGUUUUUUCGUUUUACAAGUAACGGUUUGCUGUUUAUAGUCUCAACGUUGAUUUCCUUUUUGCUCAAAACAGAUUGUCUGUCUCUGUUGUUUGGCUGGAGAAUGAGUGCGCAACCUCCGGCUACUUUAAUGCUCAUAUGUGAUGAUACUACACUGGAAAUGUUAUCUGAACCUCUUUUCCGCAUAUGCGAUGAGGGAUUCACCAUUCUCGUGGCACAUCCUGGACGAAAACCCGUUUCAGCAGAUCUCUGGAAAACCUUCCUUUCAGUCGUUUCUAGAGAUUGGAUCUGGGAAAGCUUCCUAGGUGGUUUUCCUCUCUCUCUCUCUCUCUCACUCUCUGAUUGUAGCAACUCUGUUUUUGAAUCAGUUUUUUUUUCUCCCCAACUAAUUCAGGUUCUGCAGAUGAUAAAGACGAGGCUCUUGAGUACAAGUGUAGGGUACGUUUCUUGCGAAAUGUGCGAAUUUUCUGGCUUUAGCCUUAAAGAUCUCACCACUCAUUUCAGUAGUGAUGAACAUUUAGAGGAAGUAAGCAUCUCUCUGCUUCUUAAUAUUUGUAUCGAUACGUUUCUCCUACUAUCCUCCCACGUCCUUUAAGUUUUGCUUGUCUUAUCUCCUCUGAUUUGCACUGGAUGUGCUUCUUUUUGUUGUUGUCACGCAGGUGUCCUACCGUAAUCCUCUAGACAAACAUAGCUCUUCUACUUCUGCCGUACAACCAAAGGCAAGUUUUACUUAAAAUAUCUCAAACUUUUAUAAUUUUGCUGAAAUUUGAAGCUAGACUUCUCUUUUGGUCGAAUCUUAAAUAGAAUGCGUUUCUUAUUGACAUUUUUUUUUGGUGCUAAAACAUCGAAAAAUUAGGGCAAUGAGAGGGAGACUAAGACUGAACAUGUAGGUGAACAAGAGACCAGCUGCGCACCAAGAGGCACCAAGAGACCAGCUGCGCACAUUGGUCCAUCGGAUCUCUAAAAGAUUGAAUGGUUUUUGUUCUACUCUAGCGGGAAAUGUUAAAUAUUUAUGCUUAUUUUAUAUUAGUCUCCUCUUUCUUUCCUUUUUUUAAAUAAACUAUCACAUGGGAUAUAUAUAUGAUAUGUGUUCGCUUUUGGUUUUCUUUUCUUCCGGCCAUCAAAUAAGUAUUAUAUAAUUCCAAUGUUUGAUUCUUAUGAGUUCUUUAUGCUUGUGUUUCUUUGUAAUUUUUUCACGAAUACCAUUUGGAUUUUGCUUCCCCCAUGCAACAUUGAGCAUCAGCGACAGGAAGAGAUAGUUGUGCGGUCACUAGGCCAAGUAAAAUUAAUCUGUUCACUGAUACAAAUAAAACGUAAUAUCCAAACAGUUUUUAAUCAAUUGGAAAGCAUCUUACAAAAUCUGGAUGGCUUUCCAAAAAAACAGUGUGUUUCUAACCUAUGAUCAAUUUCGAAAAAUAAAAAAAGUUUGCAUCUAACGAAUGUCGAACCAGCGAACUAGGUGUGCGGCCACUAGGCCAAGUACAAUUAAUCUGUUCACUGAUAUAAAUAAAACUUAAUAGCCAAACAGUUUUUAUUCAAUUUAAAUUGGAAAGCAUCUUACAAAAUCUGGAUGGCUUUCCAAAAAGUAUAUUUAUGGAGACUCAAAACUAUGGACAUGGCAAACUGUAUUUUUGUAAAGUUUCAUAUUGUGAUGAAUAAUUUUGUGAGCAAAUCAAUAUAACCAAAAGCUUUAAAAUUUUGGAAAAAGUUUACAUAUAAAUAGGCCCUUAAAUUUGUGGAAAAGAAAAAUUUAGGUCCUCAAACUAUAGAAAUCCAUCUUAAAACAUCUCCAAAAAGACUCUCUAUUAUAAAGUUUGCAAAAUUCUAUAUUUGAAGUUUCAAGAUGUUCUUCUCCAAAUGUAAAACUUCAAACCUAAACUUCAAAAUUAUUUGUAAUUUAUUCUAUAGUCCUUAUAUUUGUCAUAAUUAAUGUCGAUCCAUAAAGUUUUUAUAAAUAACUAGAACAAACAUAAAACAUAUUAUAACAAUAUUAAUUAAUAAUAUCUUACACUACAAUAUAAAACUAUAAAUAGAAAUACAUAAUUAAAUAUUAAAAUACAAGAAAAAUACCACAUUAGUCCUUAAAUAUUAUAUAUUUUCGUAAUGCUCCAUAUUUAGUUACAUAAAAUUUGUUUGAACAAUAUUUAGAACUUUAUAAGGUUCCAUAGUAAAUUUACGAGACAAUUAGUGUUGUUGUAAUAUUUAAAUGUGUGUAAUAAUUGUUGUUUUCAUGUACCUUUUAAAAAAGUUUUUAUUAAGUUUCUUUGUAAUAUUUUUGUUGUCUAACGCUAGUUUAAAAUAUUUAAUUUUAUGUGAAAACUUAAAUUUAUAAAAAAAAAAAUGAAAUAAUUAUGAGAUAUGAAAAAUUUUAAGAUUAAAUAUUAAAACAAUAAACGAAAAAUAUUUAAGAGUCAUAAAUGUGAUGUAUAAUUAAUUAUAAGGACCAAAAUGCAAAUAAAAAUAUGAAACUUCAAAUUUGAAGUUUUGAGUAGUGAAACUUGAAAUAUGAAGUUUUACUCUUCAAAACUCUAAAUUUGAAGUUUUGAAGUUUCUUUUUGGAGAGCAAAAAACUCUAUAUUUGAAGUUAUAAAGUUUUUUUUGGAAAUGCUCUUAAACCGUCUAUAGCCCCCAAAAUCUCUGCCUCCAUCAACAAUGGAGUUUCAGAAUGUCGAACGGGACAAAUCAUCUUGAAGAAAAUCUGUGUCAUGCUUUCAUUGCGUCGUUUCUUUUUUGAUUGUGCAUGUAAAAAUGCUUGGCUUGUGUAUUGAUGUACAAUAGCUACGGUCUUCGACUCUUCGAUGUCUCCUUCUGCAAGUGUUUCUUAGAAAAAAACCAUUGAACGUUUGAUGCAUAUAAGCACCAUGGAUCCAUGCAUCUUCGUCUGCUGAUUUCAGGACAUCGGUAUUAGAAAGAUGAUUUACGGGUUUGUCAUCCUGUAGGUACUUAUCCAACUUCAAACGGGUUAAAUAUAUCCCCAUCUCUCGUUUCCAAACAUAGAAAUUCUUUCCAUCAAACUUAUUUGGCAACAUUGGAUCUGAAAGAGUAGACACUCCAUAGUCCACUGCCGUGUGAUUUGCUUGUCCGUUUACGCUGUUACGAUUCAUCUAGGCAACACAAAAAAAUGUAUCAUCAAACGUGUAUUAUUGGAGAAGAAUCACAAAAAAAAAAAAUCAUCAAACAAAUAUAUAACAUAGAAGAAGAAUAGUAUACCGGUAGACGUUUGAGGGAUGUUUUUGUUUAACGAAUGAGGUUUCAAUGGAAUAUAUAGCGGAAGUAAAUUUCAUGUAGAAGUUUCAAGAAAAUAACAAAAAAUUUUGAUGACGGUUACAAGACGGUUACUGGCGAUUUUCUGGGCGAUUUCCCAGAUCCUGUGUUUUCUCACCACGAUCUUAGUGGUUGGAGUAGUUAGAGUAUGUGCUUGUGGGUUUCUCGCACGUUGUACACCCACUUUGCCUUCAGUUUUCAUGUUGGGAAUCUUUUUCCAAUGUGAUGUAUGCGGUUUAUUGCAUUCUACAAAGGCUAUAUAUAAAUGGCCAUGGGAAACUGACUUACCACUGUCUAAUUUUUUGAAAGUCUUAUCUCUUCCUUGUAAACAAUGACAGAAAAUGUUCGCCGUGCGCUUCAAGACAUUGAUCUAGGAAGUAAUGAUGCUCCCUUUGUUCUGCCCUCUGAUGUUGUUAGUCGUGCCGCUGAAGAAAAUCGUUUCAUUUUGGUGGGGCGUCCCUCUACGCCCAGAAAACAGAACCUGAGAGGAAUCAUAGCAACUAUGCCUCGGAUUUGGGGUCUUGAUGGGUUGGUUCGUGGGCGUGUCAUGGAAGGAAGACGUUUCCAAUUCAUCUUUCCAAGUGAAGAAGCGAUGGAAACCGUGAUCAGACGUGGUCCGUGGGCCUAUGCUGAUCGUAUGCUUACCCUCCAGAAAUGGACCCCGUUAAUGGAUAUGGAGAUGCUGAACUUUAUACCAUUUUGGAUCCAAGUUCGUGGAAUUCCAUUCCAGUAUAUGAACAGAGAAGUUGUCAUCCACAUUGCGAGGCUCAUGGGUCAAUACAUCCAAGUCGAUUACAAUGAGGAAGCUGGUGGGCGUCUUGAGUUUGUCCGUUUCAGACUCAAUUGGGAUAUCAGGCAACCACUUAAAUUCCAACGCAACUUUCAAUUCACUCCGGGAGUCAACACUUUGCUGAAGUUUCACUAGGGAUCUGAAGUCUGUUGGUAAUCGAUUCUUUUGGGUUGGAAAACGUGGCACGCACGACAUUCAAUGUUGCCUUGAUAGAACAAUGGCUAAUAGACUAUGGCUUCAAGAAUUCCCGGCCUCUGAAACAGAGUUCUUGGAAAUAGGUGAAUCUGAUCAUCGCCCUCUAGUCACUUUUAUCUCACAUGAGAAAGAAGAACCAAAACGGGUUUUCAGAUAUGAUAGUAGACUGUCAAACAAAGAAGGUUUCAAUGAGUCAGUCUGUAGAGGAUGGAAGGGUUCAGGGCAGACACAAUUGCUACAACAACCUUUAGCACAAAGACUAAGACAAUGUAGAAGUCAAAUCUCUAUAUGGAAGAAAUACAACAGGAGUAACACUGAAGAACGAAUACAAGUCCUAAGAGGCAGACUUGAUAGAGCUAUUACUACUGCUGCAUCAACUCACGAGAUAAAUACAGUUCGAGAGGAGUUGAAUCAAGCCUAUAUUGAGGAAGAAAUCUUCUGGAAACAAAAGAGCAGGGUGAUGUGGUUAAGAGCUGGUGACAAGAAUACCAAAUAUUUUCACUCCAUUGCGAAGGUGAAAAGAAAUAGAUUGAAUCUCUCAUCUAUCCAGGAUAGUAACGGAGUAGUCCACCGAGGUCAGAGACAAAUUGCUCAAGUUGCACAAGAGUAUUUUCAAAAUUUAUUUGGAAAUUCUAACGCCAAUACUUCACUCUAUCCUGAAGUCUUUGGAAGCUUCCAGAGACGAGUAACUACUGAGAUGAAUGCUGAUCUGAUUAAGGAAGUCUCAGAGGAAGAAAUCAGAGAGGCUAUGUUUGAUAUUGGUGCUCACAAAACGCCUGGUCCGGAUGGAUUCUCAGCCGUCUUCUAUCAUCAAUAUUGGGAAGACAUUAAAGAAGAUAUUGUUACGGAAGUUAAGGGAUUUUUCCAGGAAGGUAAUCUUGAUCCUCAGCUGAAUCAUACUAAUCUGUGUCUGAUCCCCAAAGUCUAUCCACCAACUGGAAUGACUGAAUUUAGACCCAUUUCUCUUUGUAAUGUGGCCUAUAAAGUCAUUUCAAAAGUUUUGGUGAAUCGGUUAAAGCAACAUUUAAGUGGCAUGAUCAGUGAAAAUCAGGCUGCAUUUAUCCCGGGGAGAAUGAUCACUGAUAAUGUCAUUAUUGCUCAUGAGGUCUUUCAUAGCCUCAAAGCUCGGAAGCGACAAUCUACUUCCUAUAUGGCCAUCAAAACUGAUAUCACCAAAGCUUACGACCGGCUACAAUGGAGCUUUUUGGAAGAAACUAUGAAGCAUAUGGGUUUUGAUAGUAUAUGGAUUGGAUGGAUAAUGACGUGCAUAUCUUCUGUUACUUAUUCAGUCUUGAUUAAUGGAUCACCAGAGGGUCAUAUUGUUCCACAAAGAGGUAUAAGACAAGGAGAUCCUCUUUCUCCUUAUCUCUUUAUCUUGUGUGCAGAAAUAUUAUCUCACAUGAUGAAUGUUGCAAUGUCUGAGAGAUCCUUGGGAGGCAUCAAGAUUUCAAUCCAAGCACCGGCAGUAAACCAUCUGCUAUUUGCUGAUGACUCUCUCUUUUUUGCUCUAGCUAAUGAGAGGGCUGCAAAGAAAAUGAAGAAGAUAUUUGAAGUUUAUGAAGCAAUCUCGGGUCAGGCGGUUAAUCUGAAUAAGUCUUCUAUUACUUUUGGUUCAAGAGUCUCUCCGAUUACCAAAACAAAGAUGAAACACAUUUUAGGCAUCAACAAUGAUGGUGGAAUGGGGAAAUACUUGGGAUUGCCAGAGCAGUUUGGAAGAAGAAAGAGUGAAAUGUUUCAUUACAUCAUUGAGAAGGUUAAAAAGAUUACGCAAGGAUGGCAUCAGAAAUUUCUCUCACCAGGUGGUAAAGAGAUUCUGCUCAAAGCUAUAGCCCUGGCUAUGCCUAUCUAUAGUAUGAAUGUUUUUAAACUCACAAAAGAAAUAUGUGAAGAGAUAAAUGGAAUACUAGCAAGAUUCUGGUGGGGCUCAGGAGAAAAAAAAGGGAUUCACUGGUUUUCUUGGAAGAAGAUGGGUCUACCUAAAAGAGAAGGGGGAUUAGGAUUUCGAGAUUUGGAAAAUUUCAACCAAGCGUUACUUGGGAAGCAAGUUUGGAGAAUUAUGCAACAUCCAGAGUGUCUUAUGGCUAGGAUUCUACGAGCUCGUUAUUUCCCUGAUGGAGACAUACUAAAUGCACGUUUACAAAAGAAAGCCUCUUAUGCCUGGAAAUCUCUUCUUCAUGGGAGAAACUUGGUGAAACAAGGAAUGAGAUUUAUCAUUGGUAAUGGUGAACUGAUCAACAUGUGGACUGAUCCUUGGAUUCCAGAUCAUCCACCAAGACCACCGCGUCCACUGAACCAGACAGAGGAGAUAUGCAAGGUUAAUGAGUUCUUCUCAGCAGACCGUAACCAUUGGGAUGAAAGGAAACUGAGGGAGAGAAUUCAUCCGGAAGACGUUGAUAAAAUUCUGGCAAUUAAGAUCAGCUCCAAAGCACAACAAGAUUUGAUGGGUUGGCACUAUAAUGAAGACGGUAUCUACUCAGUCAAAUCGGGAUAUUGGGUUAGUUCUCAUCAACAAGAACAAGCUCUAAUAUAUCAAAUCCCAGGGAGUAUUGUACUCAAACAAAGGAUUUGGAAACUGAAAUCUCCACCGAAACUACAACACUUCCUAUGGCGUAUACUAUCUCAGUGUCUACCAGUUGGUUCUAAUCUAAAGCGAAGACAUGUAGUACCAGAUGAUGUUUGUCAAAGAUGUUUCCAGCAAGAGGAAUCAGAAUUACAUGUGUUUUUUGAAUGUCCGUAUGCGAAGAUGAUAUGGAGAACUUCUGGUUUGGAUAAUGCAGUUAUAAACAGCUCUACAUCGUCUUUUGAGGAUAAGAUUCAAGAAUGUAUCAACAUAGGUACAUCAACAAGAUUGAUACAUUUUCAAGAUCAACCUAUUUGGAUACUUUGGAGAUUAUGGAAAAGUAGAAAUAUGCUGAUUUUUCAACAGAAAGAUAUACCAUGGAGGACUCUAAUCCGACAAAGCAGAGAAGAUGCUAAAGAAUGGUUUGAUACAACUCGGAACAUCGGUUUGUCUACUCAACAAGGGAGGAAUAUUUCAGCUAGGUCAAGGGAUACAAGAUGGGCAAAACCCCCUAGAGGAUGGAUGAAAAUUAAUGUCGAUGGAAGCUUUAUUAAUAAUACAAUGAAGAGUAAAGCUGGUUGGGUAUUGCGUGAUUCAGAAGGAAGAUAUCAAGGUGGAGUUCAAGCAACUGGAAGAUGUGUUAAUAAUGCCUUGGAAAGUGAACUACAAGCUAUACUAAUGGCAAUGCAACAUGCUUGGAGUAGGGGUCACUUAAAAAUCUGCAUUGAAUCAGAUAAUCGAAAAGCUGUUGAUAUAAUUAAUGGUUUAACACUUCACUUCGAUGCUUACAACUGGAAACGGGAAAUACAAUGGUGGAAACAACAAUUUCAGACAAUACAAAUCCAAUGGAUUGGAAGAGAAGGCAACAAAGUGGCAGAUAAGUUGGCAAAGCAUCAGAUUGAAGACAAUAUAUCUUUUAAAUAUCAUUACUAUGUUCCUAGAUUUAUAACUUCUGAAUUGCAUAAUGAUUAUGUAAACUCAAUAUAAACUUAAUAAAGUUAGUGUUUAAAAAAAAAAAAAAAAGUUUCUAUAGAAGAUACAUAUAAAUCUUCUUUUGGAAAGAUAAUAUAUAUAAUAUCUUUUUAACAACAGAAUACGUAUUUGUCGCAGGACGUUUUAAUUUAAUAUCGAAAUGAUCUACCGGAAAUGCCAUAAUUGUGAUUGUUAUUAUUGGAAAUAAUAUCAAAACCGAUUUUUAAAAAUAACUUUCAUAAUUGUUAUCGUGUUCACGAAAAAACGAAAAAUCCUAAUUAUCCAAACGACGGAAUAUCGUCUAUAGACAGUUCCAAACAACCCUAAAAUUUAAACCCUGACUAUAUGGUACACGCUACCCUAAACCCUUCAAGUAUACAAACGUAGAACAUAAAUCAUACGAAACGUAGUUAUAGACAAUUCAUGUAGAGGACAAUAUAAAAAAAACAAUAGAACAUAUGAUUAAAAUCCACAAUUUACAUAUCAUAGUAAACAUUAAACAAUCAGAAAAAGAAUCCAAAAAACAAUGAACAUGGAAACCGAGAUUAGAGGAUAUACAAACCGAAAGAGGUAUGAUUAGAGAAUAUACAAACCAAGAGAGGUUUGAUUAGAGGAUAUACAAACCGAGAUUAAAGAUGAACCGAGAUCAAUUUACAUAUCUUAGUAAACGUUAAACAAUCAGAAAAAGAAUAAAAAAAAAAAAGAACAUGGAAACCGAUAUUAGAGGAUAUAAAAACCGAAAGAGGUAUGAUUAGAGAAUAUACAAACCAAGAGAGUUUGAUUAGAGGAUAUACAAACCGAGAUUAAAGAUGAACCGAGAUUGAUUAAAAUGGUGUGAUUAAAAACGGUUUGAGGAGGUUAACCAUAAGGAAAUUAAGAAUGGAUUAGCGAUGGUUUAGCGAUAUGAUUAGCCAAUUAAUGAAAAAAAUGAGAAUUAAAACAUUUAAUUAAUGUUAAUGACGAAUAAAAGAAAGACACCUCAGCAUUGUAAAAUAGUCUACUCAGCAUUGUAAAAUAGUGAGUCAAUCGGCUUUUCACUUAAGCAUAUUCGCAAAUAAUAGUAUGAUUUGAAUAUUUAUUAAGUAAGAAUUCAUAUUAAUACAAUUUUAUGAUCAUAUGUAUUUUGUUAUAACAAAACAAAUUAAGUCAUUGAUCAUAAAAUUUUCAAAAUUUCUAAUAAUUUAUUGUCGUUUAAAAAAUUCAAAAUAAAACAUAUAAGAAAAAAUCUAAAUUUUUUUAGUAUAUGGUUAAUGUGAUUUUUUAUAUUUUAAUAAUAUAAAUUUUUUUUUAAAAAAGAGCUAAGAUACAAAAAUUGUUAUCAAAUAUUUAUUAUUCAUAAUCAUUAAUUUCAUAUAUACGUUAAUCAUAUUAGGUAAUUCCAUAGCUUUUAUUUUUGAAAAAUGCGAGAAUAUUAUUUUGUACACUUUUUAUCAAUUUGAUAGUUAGUUUAAUAAAAAGUAUAAUAUAAAUUAAGAUGCACGAGCCUAUUUUUCUAAGAAUUCUGAAUUUCAUUCUCAUGGUGACACGUGAGUACAAAACAAUGUUGUAAUGUUUCUCAAUUAAUAUAUAAGGGAUUAAUUAGAAAGUAUUGUUUUCUUUUCAAAGAAAUGUAUCUUUGAGUUGCUCUUGUCUUUAGAUUCAUUUGAGAGAUUCAUUUGGUUCUAUAGAUUUCUGGAUUAGAAUUGUUUGUGAGAUUCAAGCAAGUCUGGUUCAUCUGAGAGAGUCAAUCACUAUCAUCCCCCUAUCUAUCCAUCCGCUGCUGAAAGAGAUUCUGUCCACCAAGAGUUUUGUGCGCCUUUGAUAGAUUAGGCUUGUAUCAUGUUUCAUCCAGCUUGACUCAAGACCGGCCUGACAUUUGAGCAGACCACAAUUCUCCAUGACUCACAACAAAGUCCGAGAAAGAUUAUGUUGCAUACAAGAAGAAUAUAAUUUCUGAAAUAACAUACACAAAUCGAAGUCAAUUACUUUAUACAAAGAAGAAAACCCGUACCUAUGUAAAUUGGACGAAGUAUAGCUUGGGAUUGUUUAUGUCAUUAUGAAACCGAGCCGAGAAACUAACAAAUUCAUUCAACUCAAGAGUCGUAGAUCGGUGCUUCUCAAGAACAUCAUCCAAAACAGAGAGGUAUAUUCUCUACCAUUUUCAAAUUUUCUAAUACAGAAAUCAAUUUAAAAGUCACAUUAACCAUAAAAUGAGAUUUUAAACUAUAUGUUUAUGUUAUAUUUUGAAUCUUUAAAAAGGGCUAUAAAUUAAUUAAAAUAUUAAAAGUCCCACACUAAAAAUUUUGUGACUAGGGGUUUAAAAUUUCAUUAUAACAUGAUACAAAUAAUUAAAAUAAAGCAAUAUGAAUAUGAGUCUCAUUUAAGAAAAUAUUCAAAUUUAAAAAGAUACCUAUUUUAAUCCUACUAUAUAUCAAUUGAGAAGUCACUUUAAUGAUUUUUGCUGACGUAUCGAUCAUAUGUGAACUCUCACAAGAUUGUUAUAAUUUGAUUAGUCAAUAAUUUUUAAUUUUUAUUUAUUUUAAUUAGAUCUAAAAAGAAAAGGUAAGUAUAUAAACAAUUAAUAUCACUUAUCAAAUAAUCUGCAUAAUAUUACAAAUAAUAAUUUCUGGUAAGUAUUUGUUGAUAUUAUAGAAAUAGUAAUAAUGUUGAUAAAUUUCUUUAUAUUUAUAAAAUACAUAAAAUAAUAAACGACAAAGAGUUUAUAUAAUACAUUUUUAUAUUCUUUUUUAAAGCAUUAUAUUUUUAUAUAAAUUAUUAUAAUGACUAUUAAUGUCUUAUAACGUUCAUAUACUUUAUAAAUCAUUUUGUUACAUUAUCAAAAUAAUUAUAAAUUAUUUAUCUUGACUUAAUUAUAUAUUUUGAAUUAUUUUAAAACUUUGCAAAUCAUCUAUAAAAGCUUAUAAAUUAAUUUAUAAAAUCAUUUUCAAAAACUCAUCCUACUAUCCUAUUAUAUAUUCAUUGAGAAGUCACAUAAAAGACUUUUGUUUAUGUUGAUUGAUACCACUCAAAUUACCGUAAGAAGUGAUUUAUACUCUCUCAAAUAAAAGGUCGAGUUGUAGUACUUAGGGAUCGAAUUCACAGGGAGCUAGGGAACCAAUUAGAUCUAAUAGUUAUAUGAUUAAGCUAGGCUAAUAGUUUAUAAAGUAGUAAAUAAAUAUAGCAAAGUAGUAAACAAUAAACAAGUUGAACAAGACUAUUGUUCAGCUUGGCAAAGAUUUGUUUGAUGAAAGGAUGGUUGCUAGAUCUAGGGUUUCUAUUCAGGUGUUGGAGAUUAUAAUCCUAUAGAUGCCUAACAGUUGCAUGCAUGAUAUAUUAGAGCUCAACUCCUUAAUCACAGUGAUCAACGAUGGCAAUGUUUCACUGGUUAACUAACUAGAUCUUGGAUCUCAACUAUUGUCCUUUGAUCACAAGAAAGUGUCGAUCGAUGAUCCUAUAGGGAUAUCGAUCGAUACACCUUUCACAAUAUCGAUCGAUUGUCAGAUGAAGAUAUCAAUCGAUAGCUUCUAGUUAAGCCCUAGGCGCAGGUUGAUAAUGCUCACUAGUCUCCUAGAUCAGCGGUUAGCUCUCUCUCUAGCAGUCCUAGCAUGACAGAUUAUAUUCAGGACAUGAUGAUCAAGGAUGCUUGACACAUGCAAAUUCCUAGGUUCAAUAUUCUAGUUAGCAAGGCUAGAACAAACAUUAAGAACAAUCAAUCAAUGAAUAUCACAACUAAGAAAUUCUGUAGUUGGGGCUAAUCCCUCUAACCUAUUUGAACCCUAAACCUAACAGGUGGAUCUACUCAAUCAUGAAGUUUGUCACAGAAAUCAUAGAUUAAUAGAUAAUAAAACUGCAAUAGAUAUAAAAACCAAAACAAUGGAGUUCCAGGAGGACUCUGAAGGAGUUUCUCCUUUCUCUCCUAACCUAAAACAAGAAUUAAAGAAAGCUUAGAUAGCGUAGCCGUCAACAAUGGCUUAUAAAUAACAUAAAUAGGGUUUCUGGUCGUCCAAGGGUAUUCUGGUAAUUUGGGGUUGCUUCUGGGCUUCAGUCGGUCAUAAAAUAUGCUCGGCCCGCAUUCUGGCAUCCAUAUCGAUCGAUGUCAAGAGUUUCGCAUCGAUCGACAUACGUUCCUCUUCUCGACAGUUUCCUCUCGCGAGGCAGACUGACCACUCUUCAGUAAAACGGGCAUACUUCUGCUACAUGAUGCUGAUUGACCUCAAACCGGCGGCAUUGGAAAACUAACUCAAAGCUCUAUCUUGUGUAAAAAGAUGGGCUUAAUCUAACGAUGGUAAGGUCUCCAUCCAUAGCUAGACAUCUGACGCGCCUGUGCAGUUCUGCACCUCAAAAGGCUCCAAAAUCACCAUAUUUCUCCAGAACGUACCUGAACUUGUAAAUACUCUAAAUAGACUCUAUAUAGUAGUAAAUAUAUAUUAAAACACUUAUAGACCAUGGCUAAAAGUGGGUAAAAUCCAUGGUCUAUCAUCGAUCAUUGAUGAAGUCUUAAAAAUUGUUAAAAAUUGAUUGUUCAAUAAUUUUUAGUUUUUAUUUGUUUUUCUUAGAUUUUUUUUUUAAAAAGAAAGUCCAUAAAAAGUUAAUAUCACUUGCCAAAUAAUCAACCUAAUAUGACGGAUAAUUAUAUAUGGCAACUAAUUUUUGAAACAAUAUAAAAAUAAUAAUGGUUGAUCAAUUUCUUAUAUAUUUGUAAACUACAUAAAAUAAUAAACAAAAAAGUUUAUUAAAAUCUAAAUAAUGAUUUUAUAUUCUUAUAUAAAACAUUAUAUUGUAUAUAAAUAUAAAUUAUUAUAUUAGCUAUUAAUGUCUAAUGAAGUUGAUACAUGCUUUUUAAAUCAUCUAUAAAAAUUAUAAAUGAAUUUAUAAAUUAUUUAUCUUGGCUUAUCAUAUUUUUUAAAUUAUUAUAAGAUGUUGUAAGUUAUUUUUAAAAGCUUAUAAAUUAAUUUAUAAAAUCUAUUUUGAAAUUUUAUUUUAUAUUAAAUGAAAAGUCACUUAAUUGAUUUUUUCUUAGGUGUCAAUCAUAUAGUUUGAAAAAAAAUUAAAAUUUGAUUUUUUAAUGGAUUUUCAGUUUUUUAUUUAUUUUAUGAGUAAGAAAAUCAAUACUAGAACCAAAUUUUAUCAGUAUUCAAAUAACCUAAAUAUAUUGCUUAUAAUUAUUUAUAGUAAUUAAAUAUGUGUAUUACAUAAAAUAUUUAUAAUGCUUCAUGAAACCAUUUUUAGCAAUCAAGUAUUUUCAACUAUAUAAAAUGUUUCAAACACAAAUUAUAGAAUUGAGAUAGUAGUUUUAUAUUCUUAUGUGAUUAGAUAUGAAUAUGUAGAGAAUGCGUAACAAUUAUAUUGUCUUAAGUUUUUUAAAACUUAUUAAAAACAUAAAAGUUUAGCUACAAAUUAUUUAAAAAUCAAAAGUUUCAAUAUUAUAUACCUUCAAAACUUAAUAAUUUUAUUAAAAAUGAGUAAUAAAUAUUAUAUAUAACUAAUUUUAGUACAAUUUUCAAUACAAAAUAUCAAAAAUAUUUAAAAUAAUCAUAUUUAUGUUUUUCAGAAAAAUUUAUUCAUAGAAAAAUAUUUUAUAAAAACACAUAUUCAAUUUUUGAUGACAAAAACAUAUUUUAAUUUGACAAAUUACAAUAAAUAUAUUGUUACAAAACAUGCAAACCCGCGAAUUCGCGGGCAUUCACCUAGUAUCUUUUAAAUUAAAUAUACUAAAACAUCCCCUAGACUAUAAUUGAGAAAUUGUUUUCUAAAUUUUGCGUACAUGUCAUCUCUACAAAGACUCUUACAAAAAAAAAGAUGAUAUGACACACUUAGAUAAAUGAUAUGGCUUGUGAAUAAGAUGAAUUGAUGAUUUCAUUUAAUGCAGAUUUAUGUUUUUGGUAAUUUUUUUAUAAUACGGCAGUAAACUAUACAUCAACAUUAAAAAAAUCUAUUCAAAUGUGGCAUUAAAUAAUACAGUAUUAUAAAUAUAAUAAUAUUUUAAUAUUUUGGAAAUAUUUUUAUUUCUAUUUUUUUAUAGUUAUACUAUUUAACACCAAAAAUAUUUUCUGAUUUUUCUACGAUUUUUAAAAAGUUAUUAUUUUUAAUCAUUGUAUCUUUAGUUUUUUUAUAUAUCUACAAAUAUAAAAAAUGUUUUUUUUUAGUUUUAGUUUUAGAUAAUUAUAAAAAAUGUGUACUAAAAAUUUUAAUUAAUUUUAUACAAGUUGAUUUAAUAUAAUUAUCCAAAAAUAGAUUAAAAAUCUAUCUAAGAUUAUAAAUUUAAAAACAUAUACGCAUUUAUUUUUAAAUAUAAUUCAACUGUGUGCACAAAAAAAAUAUAAUUUAACUGAAUUAAAAUUUAUUUUAAAAUAUAGGUAAAAAAUAAUAAAAUUUAAAAUAUUUAAAGUUUUAAAUAUAAUUUAAAUUUAAAAAUGUUACUGCUGCACAUGAUACAGGAAAACACCUAUUAAUAGUGUAGAUGACUAGAGUAAGACUUUACUUUCCAUAUUAAAGAGGUCGUUGAAGCUUUCAACAGUGUUCCAAGUUUUUUUUUUUAUUUUGCAAAAGGAUGUUCUUAAGGUUGGAUCGGACGAUAAACUCGUUUGAUCUUCAAAAAAAAAAGGGACUCGUUUAAUCUUUUGGGUUUUGCAAUACCUUAUAGAUUUGCAUCUCUUAUUUUUAAAGAUGUUACCACCACGGGCCGAGAUGAAUCCUCGGGUUAAUUGCAGACUUGUCUACAGAAACUUUCCAAAUUCUUUUUUUUUUUAAAUCAAUAUCAGAUUGUCAUUUACUAUUCUGUUUGUUUGCGAUCAUGAUUACAGAAUAUGAUGGAGGGAUAAUCAAUAGGACACCUUAAGUGCUACUAGGCUUAAUUAACCAAUAUAGAACACUAUAUAUAUAUAUAUAUAUAUAUCUUUAGCAAAGAUUCACAUUGAUAUUAGCAAAUACAAAUACUCGAAUUCCUUAGUAGGUUAAAACUUUAGACCAUGUUUAUCCCUGAAACCCUUAGUGGGUUUCUUAAAUUUUUAUUUUUAUUUUUUUUGUCUGAUUUGAAAAAGAAAAAAAUUAAGAAGUGCACCAAUCGCGGAUUGCUACGUGUCGGUGGGGCCCGUGAACAGUGCAAAAAAUUCAAAACAAUCGGUUAUUAUUUCAUCAACUCUGUUACCGGUUUGCAUAAAACGUGGGACCCAACACCCUAAGAAACCCUUUAAUUACCUCCGUUAAACAUGGUCUUACACACUUCAGCAUACUAUCCCAUGACCUCACCUGUCGAGAAAGGGAAGCUAAUAACUGUAAUUCCAACGCGCCAAGGUUUCUAUUUCUGCUUAUACUAUUUCAAACUAUGUAUACAUAUAUCAAAACAAAAUAGAUAGAUAAAACACGCAAAGUCUUUUUUGCACUUUAUUUCUACACCAUCUCAAGCAGUGGAAGGUGCAGGAACAUAGGUCAUUUCCGGUUCGAGUACCGAAGCUAGGAUGGUCGAUUUGGUAAUGAUUUCUUCCACAUCUACAGGGAUUUUCGAUUUGAAAUCGAGUGAUUCAUCGUUAUAUACAUCCCACCAUUUAUCAACUAACAUCUUGAUGCCUUCUCUGUUCAUGUUAGCUUCGUCUCCUGUGUACCUCCAUGGCUUGGAUCACUAUCAAUUUCAUCAUCAAUAGUAAAGGGCUCCGGUUGGUAAGCAAAGGGAUCUCUACUUACAGCUGCACAGUAGUGAACAAACUUGAUUUUCUCCAGCUCCACGUUCUCAGGGUGACGCCAAAGCAUAGCAAGAACAAGAUUGUAAACUAGAGGGAUCGGUUUGUAAACUUUCUCAAAGAACAUAUUGAGAAAAUCCUGUUAAAUUAAAGUUACAACAAAUAUACCAAAUACCAAAUCAACAAGGAUCGGUUUGUAAACUUUUUUUAUCUUCUAUACUUUUUGUAUAAUUUUCUAUUAUUAAAAAAAUUAAACAAUCACAUUAAACAUAUAAUAAAAAAAUUAGAUUUUUUUAUAUGUUAUAUUAAAAAUAUUUUAAAACGACUAUAAAUUAUUAAAAAUGGUAAAAAUUUCACAUUGAAAAUUUCGUGAUCAAUGGUAAUGUUUUUUAGUUCAGCCCAUCAUUUUUCUUUAAUGGGUCUGGAAUAUUUUUUAAUGAUUAACUAAAUAGGUCACAUGCAUAAUAAAAAAUGUUUUGCUUUAAAAAUGGUUGCAAACCCAAAAUCAAUUUGAACCAUCAUGACUUUCGUUUACAAUUUUGUUACAAUAAAAAAGUAUAAGUUUGGGCAAAAAGCUUAAUCCAAAUAACCGAACCAAAUCCAAUCUGAAAAAGUAGUACAAAACUUUAACCAAAUUGGUUAGAUAUCCGAAUAUGUUCAAAAUUUUGGUAUCUAAAGAACCAGAGCCGAACUUGAUCCUUACCAAAAUACUACGGGUAUCCGAGUAUAUUCCAACCAGAUUUAUAUACUUAAAUAUAUUAAUUAUUUUUAAAUUUAAUAUCUAAAAGAAUAUACAAAAUACAUAAUAUGUUUUUUAAAUUGUCCAAAAUACUUAGAAAUAUUUAAAAAUAGUAAAAAGUAUAUGUUUAAAUAGCUAAACGUUACUCAAAAUACCAAAAAUAAUGAAAAUAUAUAUUGAUUUUCUAUUCAAAUAGUUAAGCUAGAACCAUUUUUAUGUUAAAUUUAAGUAGUUUGGCAUACAUUAUUCAAAUUUAUAUGCUAUAUAUUAUUUUAAUUUUUGGAUUUUGAGAAAUUUAAAGUACAUAUGAACUUUAAUAUUUUGUUUAUAAAAUUAAAUGGGUUUUUUUUUUUUGACGUCAAAAGGUCAUUAUAUUACUCAAACUUGAGGUGGUCUGGGUAACCAGACCGAGAUAGAACAACCAAUAAAAAAUAACUCCCUAUGGAAGGAUCUAGCAGUCUUAGCUAAAAAAUCUGAAGUCUGAUUGCGCGCUCGUGGAAUAUAAAUGAUGUUGAAGUCUGGAAAACAAAUCUGAAGCGUCUCAAUCCUCUCCAACUCCGUCGCAAAGCUUGGCCAAGCAUGAGGAUCUUUUAUCAUUGGAAACAAUUCCUUACAAUCUGUUCCAAAGCUCUGGCAUGUCGAAAGUUGAAGCAUGUUCUCCAUUGCCCACCGCAGUGCUUCUACUUCUGAAUGCAAAGCUGAUUCCCGUCGAAUGAAGUUCCUUGUCCCCAUAAGUUGAAUGUUCCCACCACUGCCCAUCCAAACCCAUCUACAUCCACUAAAAUGAGCAGAAGCUGUCCAAGAUCCAUCUAACAAACAAAUAUUACCCAAGCUUAUGACUUGAGAUUCCUCAGCAUUAGUGUCUUGUACCACCUUGUUUGCCUCAAACCAUGCUUGACAUUCGCUUUCUGCAUAUCGGACUAGCUCCAAAGGAUCUCUGUCUAUCCUCAUAAAUAGUUUAUCAUUCCUGGCCUUCCAAAUGUACCAGAUUAGCCAGGGAUAAGGAUCCAUGUCCUGUUCUAGCUCAAUAAUAGCGUUUUUCCUCCAGAAUAGAUAGUCCAUAUUUGUGUAGACACUCGGAGCUGGCAAUAUCUCUGGGCUCGUUGGAGUUGAUGAUAAAGACCAAACUUGUAGAGCUGGCGGGCACUCGAAAAUUGCGUGUGUCACAGACUCAUCUAGUUCUCCACAUCUUGGACAGUAGUUAUCACACCUCAUAUUUUGUCUUGCUAAGUUCCUUGUAACUGCCACAUGACCAAUUAACAAUUGCCAUACAUAUCUUCUUAGGUGCCUUUAACUUCCAAGCAAAGACUUGGAGUUCGGUAAUACUUGGCUCCAGAACCUCCUUUUUAUAAAAUUAAAUGGGUUAUCUGAACCUAAACCCAACUGAAACAUGCAAUAAUUCGAACCAAACCCGCAAAGAUCCGAAUCAAACAUAAUCGAACCGGACCAAAUAGUAUCUGAAUGUCAUUCUUAAUCAAUUGUAAAAAAGAAUUAUUGAUAUAUUAUUUAUAAUAUUUAAAUACAACUCAUUUUGAAAAAUUUACUCCGUGCAAAGCACAUCUAGUAAAUAUUAUAACUCUAGUAAAUAUUACAUUUGCGGAAUUCUGCUUUUAAAAAAGGGAGGAAAAAAAAAGAUAGGAAAGAAGUAAAAGGGGAAGAAAGUAGGGUUCCAACAUUAUUCAUAUAUAUAUAAACCAGAUCUGCCGUCGAAGUUCCCUUGUCGCCCACCUCCCUCAAAAUAAAUAUUUCGGUCCUUCCGUUUGGCCUUCCGGAUUCGACAAUCAACGAGGUCAGUGAUUUUGAUUUAGCAGUCUGUCUACGAAUUCUUUGUCUGAUGUUUGAUUGAAGAAGAUUUUCGUUUCUAGAAUAGAACCUAACUAACACCGAAUUGUUUGAAUCUGAUUGAUUUGUUUGAAUGUUAAGAGAUGAGUGAAGAUUUGAUACCAAUCUCGGUGUGGUGGGACAUCAACAGCUGUCCGGUUCCCACUGGUUAUGAUCCUCAUCUGGUUAAAGAUAUAUAUGUACCUAGGCUAUAUAUGACCCUAGCCAAUUAUCUUCGACCUCUAAUGCAAAGUGUGCGCCCCUACUUUCUAUCUUACAUCAAAUUCUAAUAAACUUUUAAGGAAAUGUAACUAAAAAUGGAAAUUAGUAAUGUGCAUCGCGACUAGAGAUAUAAGAUCAAUCAUUAAAAAAAAAUGUUUUGAUAGAUACAUAUACAUAUUACAUAGUAAAAUAGAAAUGUGUUCAGAUCUCAUGAAUCGAAAACACCUUGACAAGAACAGAAGAUACAUUUUGUUCUUGUAUAUUGCUAAAGAAGGCUCAAAUAAUUCUAGCAAAAGGCUGCUCUUUGAGCUUCGGAUGUCCACCGUUUAAAAAGCUUUGUCCAACAAAUAUAUAUGAUUCCAAUGAUGAAAUGAUUAUGUGGAAGACAUAGGAAGGUUUUCACUUUUCAUCAACUACUCUUCAUUAUUCCCCCACAUAAUGUCUAAUAUUAUUGGCUUCAUCAAUAUCUAACUUUUGUGUUUUCUUUUCCUUGUAUCUUCUUAUUUUACAUGAUUAAGAAAUCUUGGAUUGAUUAAGUAUAUAUACAAAGAAUACAACCUUGAACGUACAGUGUAUCAUUUAUCAAGCCGUGUUUUUAAAGUUAGUCCAUCGAUGUGUACUGGAAAAGAAUGAUCGAUUUUUUUUAUUCAGAAAUAUAAUUUAAUAAUUAUAAUAAGGUCUCAUAAACAAUCUUUUUUUGUUGAUGAAAAAAUUACUAAAUUUGGAAGUGCGUGUAUUUCCGUUAUAUACGCCUCGUUUUGUUCGUUUUUCAUUUUCUUUUCGAAAAGACGUUUUGUUCGUUCUUACCGUUACUUUACGUAAGUACGUAACGGGUUUCAUUUCAGUUCUCUGGCUGAGUGCAAAACUGCAAAUGAAUUCUUUUAAAAGAAUAUUUGAGUACCAAACUAAACUAGAAAAGACAGAUUUACUAGGAACUGGUUUAAUCACGAAAUGGUUUGAAUUGGGAACAUUAAUAAAAAAUGGACUCGUCUAUAUACAGUCACGCCCUUCAUAGGCUUGUAAUUCAAAUAACAUAUUACUAUGGUUUUAGGAGUAUAUACUCUGAGUCAUGUCCAAGUAUUAUACUAUUAGUGGUAUUCCGACGCUACGCGCCGGUUUCGUAUGUUUUAUUCUCUAAUGAGUUCAAAAUUAUUAUUUUUGAUCCAUUUGAUAUUGGUUAGUGACAGUAGUAUAUUAUUAUGUUUUAAAGUUGUUUAGGUCAAAAAAAAUAGUAUAAGUAGUUUCACUUAUUGAUUCAAUACAAAUAGAAUAAAUAACGUAUAGUUACACCAAAGUAAAUAUAGUUUAAUUUAAAACAUAAAGUAAAGUCGAUGUUCCAAAACGAAAACAUGUAAAUUUGUUUGUUUGUUUUGUAAUUAUCUUUUUUGAAUGAAUAUAACAAUUUCUUUCAUUUUCUUAAAGUAGUAACAAUCCUCGAAUACUUUAUUUAUAUCAUAGAUGUGGCAAUCUGGGCAGGGUUUCACUCAAGACGUAUUGGUUAAAUACUUUGUUUUUAAAAUGAUAUUGAAUCUACUAAGUGAAUUACUAAUCAUGGUUAGCAUCGCUCGACCUGAAUAGACUAUUUUCUCCAGAUAACUUAUUAUAAAAUUGAAGUGUUUGUGAAUAAUUUUAUAGGUGGAUGUUUGUUCUCACAAUGUACAUUUAAAUAUUUCAAUCCUCAUGUGAUGUGUUUAUUUGGUUUGACAACAAAAGUAUAAUAUGCUAAUGUAAUUUUAUAGGUGGAUGUUUGUUCUCACAAUGUACAUUUAAAUAUUUCAAUCCUCAUGUGAUGUGUUUAUUUGGUUUGACAACAAAAGUAUAAUAUGCUAAUGUAAUUUUAUAGGUGGAUGUUUGUUCUCACAAUGUACAUUUAAAUAUUUCAAUCCUCAUGUGAUGUGUUUAUUUGGUUUGACAACAAAAGUAUAAUAUGCUAAUGUAAUUUUAUAGGUGGAUGUUUGUUCUCACAAUGUACAUUUAAAUAUUUCAAUCCUCAUGUGAUGUGUUUAUUUGGUUUGACAACAAAAGUAUAAUAUGCUAAUGUAGUUGAAUUUGUACAGUACGGGGAGGUACAGAGCCUCUCAUUGAACAUGUUAAAGCAAGUCAAUAAUAAACCAUACUCGUGAGUGUAUGAAGUAGCCAAACGUUUUACUUCUUGUGUGCGAGGAUAUUAUUUAUUUGGUUUAAAGCUUUCAUGUUUAUUUAAAUCUAUUUUGGUUUUUAUUUACCUUGUAUUUAUGACAUUAUACUAUUAUUAUUAAUGUUAUUCAUUUGCGCUGGUAUUUUAUAAAAGAAACAAAUCAUUAUCUUUAUUUGACCAUUUUUAUCUAUCUUCUACACUAUUAAAGAAAAAUCCAUCAUAUGAUUUUGUCCUUAAUUUUGUGAAAUAAUUAUAAUAAAAUAAUUAUAAUGAAAUGUCACUCAUAUUUUUAUGCAUAUCAUAAUUAAUUAAUAUGAACUAAACAAUUAAUUUAGAAAAAAAUCCAAAACUAAAAAAUAGUUAAAUCAUGUAUACACAAUUUAAAUUUAUAACCAUGCUGCAAGCUAAACAUAGCUUCUUUAAGCUACUUCAGAUCUCAGACAUCAUUUGAACCGAUUUUGGUUUGAUUGUUACUUUCCUUAAACAACUGCAUUAUUUUCCCAUUGACUUAUCUUUAAGAUUCAUAAAUGGGCUCUGAAAUAGUAAUGGGCCGUAAGUCCAAUCAAAACAGAUAUCCUUUCUAAUAAAAGAGACUUUUUGAGGCUCCAUAGAGCGUUACUUCUCCCGAAAGAUGACAUGUGGCAUAAAAUAUAGUUUUAAAUUUUAAUAUUACUAAGUUUCGAAAAUUAUAAAUAAUAUGUAAACAUACAGCAUAAAAAAUGGAAAACUACAUUAAACAUAUGUAAAAUUACUAUUUUUUCACUUAAAAAAAAGACGGCUUAUCUCCAUAAUGUAACAUUACCGUUUUAUAAAAAAAAACGAAAAACAUUAUAUAUAAUUCCGAAAAUAAUAAAUAUAUGUAGACAUACAACAUAAAAAAUGGAAAUACUACAUUAAACAUAUGUAAGAUUACUAUUUUACAUUUUUAUUUUAAAAAAUAAUAUGUAAACAUACAACAUAAAAAAUAAAAAAACUACAUUAAACAUAUGAAAGAUUACCAUUUUUCACUAAAAAAAAGACGUCUUAUCUCCAUAAUGUAACUUUACUAUUUUGUAAAAAAAAACAUUAUAUAUAAUUUCAAAAAUAAUAAAUAAUAUGUAAACAUACAACAUAAAAAAUGGAAAUACUACAUUAAACAUAUGUAAGAUUACCAUUUUACGUUUAAAAAUAACAAAAAUAUGUAAACAUACAACAUAAAAAAANNNNNNNNNNNNNNNNNNNNNNNNNNNNNNNNNNNNNNNNNNNNNNNNNNNNNNNNNNNNNNNNNNNNNNNNNNNNNNNNNNNNNNNNNNNNNNNNNNNNNNNNNNNNNNNNNNNNNNNNNNNNNNNNNNNNNNNNNNNNNNNNNNNNNNNNNNNNNNNNNNNNNNNNNNNNNNNNNNNNNNNNNNNNNNNNNNNNNNNNNNNNNNNNNNNNNNNNNNNNNNNNNNNNNNNNNNNNNNNNNNNNNNNNNNNNNNNNNNNNNNNNNNNNNNNNNNNNNNNNNNNNNNNNNNNNNNNNNNNNNNNNNNNNNNNNNNNNNNNNNNNNNNNNNNNNNNNNNNNNNNNNNNNNNNNNNNNNNNNNNNNNNNNNNNNNNNNNNNNNNNNNNNNNNNNNNNNNNNNNNNNNNNNNNNNNNNNNNNNNNNNNNNNNNNNNNNNNNNNNNNNNNNNNNNNNNNNNNNNNNNNNNNNNNNNNNNNNNNNNNNNNNNNNNNNNNNNNNNNNNNNNNNNNNNNNNNNNNNNNNNNNNNNNNNNNNNNNNNNNNNNNNNNNNNNNNNNNNNNNNNNNNNNNNNNNNNNNNNNNNNNNNNNNNNNNNNNNNNNNNNNNNNNNNNNNNNNNNNNNNNNNNNNNNNNNNNNNNNNNNNNNNNNNNNNNNNNNNNNNNNNNNNNNNNNNNNNNNNNNNNNNNNNNNNNNNNNNNNNNNNNNNNNNNNNNNNNNNNNNNNNNNNNNNNNNNNNNNNNNNNNNNNNNNNNNNNNNNNNNNNNNNNNNNNNNNNNNNNNNNNNNNNNNNNNNNNNNNNNNNNNNNNNNNNNNNNNNNNNNNNNNNNNNNNNNNNNNNNNNNNNNNNNNNNNNNNNNNNNNNNNNNNNNNNNNNNNNNNNNNNNNNNNNNNNNNNNNNNNNNNNNNNNNNNNNNNNNNNNNNNNNNNNNNNNNNNNNNNNNNNNNNNNNNNNNNNNNNNNNNNNNNNNNNNNNNNNNNNNNNNNNNNNNNNNNNNNNNNNNNNNNNNNNNNNNNNNNNNNNNNNNNNNNNNNNNNNNNNNNNNNNNNNNNNNNNNNNNNNNNNNNNNNNNNNNNNNNNNNNNNNNNNNNNNNNNNNNNNNNNNNNNNNNNNNNNNNNNNNNNNNNNNNNNNNNNNNNNNNNNNNNNNNNNNNNNNNNNNNNNNNNNNNNNNNNNNNNNNNNNNNNNNNNNNNNNNNNNNNNNNNNNNNNNNNNNNNNNNNNNNNNNNNNNNNNNNNNNNNNNNNNNNNNNNNNNNNNNNNNNNNNNNNNNNNNNNNNNNNNNNUAUAUAUAUAGAUUAAUCUUCCAAACUUAAACUAUUAUAUUAUAUAUGAAUAAUGUUUUUAAAUAAAAAUAAUUUCUGAUUUAAAAAAAAAUAAAAACAACAAAUGGUUAUUUUCAAAUAAUGGAUGUAAUUUACAUUAUACUAUCAUUUAACAAGUAUUAGAUACGUUUUGAUAUAUCAUUAUUUUCUAUUUCCAGAAAAAAAAAAAUUGUUAAACAUCAAUAUCAUCUAGGUUAAGUAUACUAACAACACAAAUUCAAACAUCACAAAAAAUAUUUACAUAAACAUUAUAAUACAAUAAUUUAAUCAAAAAAUACAAUUCAAAAAAAAUAUAUUCAAAAGAAUAGUUAUAUACUUAAUAUUUGAAAAUCAAAGAUAUUUUUGCUAAAAUUGUAUUUACCUGGCCAAGGAGAUCAACUAUCUUUUUACGGAUCGAUCAAUUGUUGAGCAUGUGGUCGAUCCGAAAAUACUCUGCAGUUUAAUUAAAUAUCUAAAACAUUUAUUCCAACACUCAACAGAUAAUUUUGCUAAAUAUGAUAACUAUAUAGCCAACAAAAUUACAAAAAAAAUAUUUAAAUAGUAAAAAAAUAUGUUAAUUUAACGUGUUAAAAUUUAAAAAUAAAUUUUAAUUAUAACAUGCAUCUUAACAUUUAUAUAAAUAUAUAUCAUAACCUAAAUAUAAAUAAUUUAACAACUUAAAUUAGAAAAAAAUAAAGUACACCCGGGUUAAUCCCUAGUAACCAAAUAAAGUGUUUAACAUGCCUUCUUCUUCUUCUCCAAUUUCAGAUUUGAUCCAAUCUGUAGCCUAAGGGGAAACGAAAAGGGGAAACUGCGACAAAUCAAAGGUAUGAUUAGAACCCAAAGAGACUCAUGAAAACACUUCAAUUCUCUGAAAUUGAUUGAAGUUUGUGCAGUUUUUUUCUUUCUGAUCGUAUCUUUGAUUGUGAAAAACCUCAGGUGGAUCCAUGGGUGAUGUACAACUAAAGAAAAGAGGAUACAUCUGGGCAAUCUCUGCUGGGUUCAAUGCAGCUCUUGCUGCCAUCUCUGCAAAGUUCUUCUCAUCUCUCGUAAUAAUAAUAACAUUUUCUUAGCUUCAUUUGUUUUUUUUUCCUUAGAGCAUUUUGAUUAAUUUAAUUUUGGAAUUUUUUAAUGUUUAACAGGUGCUAAAAUAUGGAUUGGUUGUAUUAUGCAAUGUGGUAAUGUGGGGAUGUUAUGUAAACAGCUUAAGAGCUCUCUCUUCUCUACAAGCUACCGUCACUAACUUUGCUGCUAAUUUCCUCUCUUCCGGUUUUGCUGGCCUCUUUCUGUUUCACGAGUCCUUAUCAUUCCGUGUAAGUUUUUUAUUUAAAUCUUGAAAACAAUGUUUCUUAUGCUAUGCUUUUCUUGGAUGUCAAAGCCUAUUACUAUUGCAGAUUCCAUAACUUGUACUUGUUUUUAAGGUUUGCGUGUAUUUAGGACACCAAUUGUUAUGUUGAAAUGGUAGUUUUGGAGUUGUAACAUGAGUUUGGCUGAUACAUUUUCCGAUAAAUAAUGCAGUGGUUUGCGGGAGCUUUAUCGAUCACCAUUGGAGUUGUAAUCCUCAGUAAGUCAAGUGUUGAUAAGAAGGUCAGUACGGAUUAGUACAAGAACCAAUAUAAUAGCUUUCCUUCUUGAGAAGGCUGGUUUUGCGUACAAGGAGUUAAGAGCUGGAGAUUAAGUUGUUUGAAGUUUUAGAUUUUAUUCUGUUAAGAGGACCAAACUUGUAAUACCUACGAUUGAUUUUCAUGAUUUUAUUGAAGUAGUUAAGACUGUUAAUACUAAAAUAAUGUUUGUUCUUUUUUUUUUUGGGUUUGUCAUGUCAAACCGCAACAAUCUACUGCACGGGUCUUCUUCUUCUGCAUCUUGAUUAAAAUCGAGAGGCAGUGGCAAGAAACUAAGAAACUAAUGCGUAGCUACGAUAAUAUGUGCCAAAAAUAUGUUUGAAACUUUCUAAUCACAAAAUAUACGGUUAGAUCAAAGAACCAGCCAUGUCGUGGGGCUUACGUCACAUAUUUUUUCAAUAGAAAUAUGGACAAUUCUGUUUUACUUUAUGUGAAGUGAACAUGCCCUUACUCAUUACUUGAUUUUCAAGCUACAAUGUCUUCUCUUAACGUUUCCAUCUCGGGAGUAAUAGGCAAAUUACUAGAGAUGUGAACAAUUCUCCACUUCUUAAACGAAACAUUUCGAUUUUUUUGGAGUUCUUUUUCUUUUGCAUUCACUCUUUUUAGGUUAACCACCGUAUACAUUGUAUAGUUUUGCAUCUGUGAAUAAAGGAAAAUAUACAAAGAUUUUUCUUCUACUUUCAAAAGCUAUUUUCAAUAUUUUGUAGACUCACAAGAUAAUUCUCAAGAAUCCACCAAACCCUGCUAUAAUCGUAUCAAAACAACAAUGAAAUAGUGGUUUUGUAGGAUACGACAUUACGGAAAAACAACAAUUGAAUCAAUCAUCGUGAUGAUGAGUGGUAGAACAACUGAAAAUUUGCAAAACAAUAAGGAAGUAAGACAAUGUAUGCAAAUAUAUCUUGAGAUCUAAUGACAUUGUUACAACAUUAAAUAUUAUUUUGAGGAAGGUUGAAGUACCAAGAAACAUUCAUUAGAUCUCGGAAAGACGACGCUCAGGGUCACUACUGGGAUAAUAGAACUGUUAGAGAUCUAUAUGCAGAAGCGCGUUAAACCGAAAACAUACUAUUCUAGUUUAGCGAUGAACAUUGCUUGAUACAAUCUGGAAUUGGAUGCAAGAAUCAGAAAUAAAUCACAGAUGGAAAUCAACCACAUGUCCCCAUUCAAGUACCUUUCUAGUUGAUUCAUUGAAGCUUCUUCUCUCUAAAACUUUUUACUCACUCUUUAGAAAUAUAUUUGUUAUAAAUAUAUUAUUACAAUUGGUUCUCUUCUAUUUGCAAUGUCUAUAUAUAUAGACAGUCAAGAGACAUUUUGUGAGGAGUCACAUAUGUUCAAGGAAGAGACAUGUAUUUUCAGCAAAGAGACGCAUCUUUUAAAUGAAGAGUCACAUAUCUUCAUUUAAGGAGUUAUGCGAAUAAUUUCCUAAAACUAGGGGUUAACCAAACCGGUUUGUUAUGCUGCCUAAUCAUGGAUGCAAACCGACCAUAAAUUAAUAUCUCCCACUCACACAUGAUUGGGAGCAUGUCAAGUACUAGAGAAGUCUUAAAGAUCAAGCGCGAGAAUCCUAACUCAGAAAUCAUAGGGAAAAUGAACCGUGCGACCCUUACAAGUACACUAACACUUGGGAGUUAAAUUAUGCACCUGUUAGGAAUACAUACAAGUUACAACCCUAGAAAAUUAUUUUAGAUGUUUAAUAAUAUCUUAGUGUAUUUUGGAUACAUAUUAGGAACUACAAUCAUGUUUGGUACAAGUUUUUUUGGGAUUUUGAAGGUUUCGGGUUCUAUUGGGUAUCCAUUUAGGUUUGGGUUUGGAUAAUACUCAUAACCCAAAAUACCAUAAAACCAGAUCCAUUCGGUAUUUAUGUCAGGUUUGGAUCGGUUCGGAUUCAUUUUAAUUGGAGCGGGUUCGGUUUGGUUUAUCGGAUUCGGUUUAUUUUCCCAGUCCUAGUAAGUGAGAUGAGCUUAUACACUAGGCAUGAAUCCUCAUAUGUCUAAUUGGGUUUGUUUCGAGUCAUUUCGAUUUGGAAUUUUGAGAGCACAUUAAUACCAUUCGGAUAUUAUAAAAUUUUGGUUCAUUUUGGUUAGGUUUAAUCAUGUUUAGUCUGGAUUUAGUAAAUCACGUGAACACUAGAUGUACCAAGAAAUUUUUCAAAUUCAGUUCUAAACCUUAUUAAGUAAUCUGAGACAUUCAUUUCUACAUUAAAUAUACUCAAUUAACUUGAACGAGUGACUUUAUGACUUUGUUGAUGACUGAAAUCAUUAAGGUAAAACAAGGAUUUGAUUGUGGAAAACUUUUAAAAACCAAUCAUAUUUUUUGAUGAUAAAUCAUAUAUAAAAAUAUUAUGCUAACAACAAAGAAGAAUAAACCUCAUACGUAAAGAUAAUAAUUCUAACGCAAAAAAAAAGCUCACAUAUAUUCAUAACAGGUAAUCAUAACUCGUAUACAAAACAUUGUGCUAACGACAAAUUAAGAAAAACAAAUUUGAGUACAUGAAUUCGAGUAGUGAGACUAACUGAGCUAACAAAAAAAUAUAUGAAAAUUGCAAAAUAAACUUGAAAAUUUUGUGCUAAAAACAAAAUAGCAUAUGCGAGAAAGUAAAAAUCAUUGUCUACCAAAUCGAACCCAGUAAACCCUGAAAAGAUUGGGUUUUCAUGAUAUUAUGUAUAUAUCCAGUGCAAAGAAAAUUACUAAUACUUGUGAAUGAUCCUUGAAGUCUCUUUAGGAAGAGAUUUUUGGAAGUGACGAUUUUAUGUUUCCAUUUGGAAGAAUUGAAGAAACAAUACAAGAUUAUGAAUUUAGGGUUUCAGGUUUGUAAAUAGCCAAAGGCAUAAAAGAAAUCAGAGUAAAUAUACGAGAAUAAAAUUUAUGAAAAGUAUUGAUAUGAAAAAAUAAACAGAAAAAGUUUUCAUCUAGCAAGGCUUGCCAAAGGAAAUCAAGCAAAGCCAGCUAGAAUGAACAGUACCCGCGAAACUACGGUAAAAGCAGACUGAUAGUAUAUUUUAGAUUCCCUGGUAAGCCAAGGGUGUUUGGCUACUAGAGUAAGCCUAUUCUAUUCUGCUUCUGUCUCUUGAUAACCAAUUGUAAUGACAUUUUUAGAUCUAAGGAAAUAAAAAAUACUUCCUUACUCUUUCUCUUUCUUGUUCUUCACUCUGUUCUUCAAUUUCUUACAUGGUAUCAGAGCCUUUAAGCUCUUGAGUACCUAUUUCUCUUCCGCAAUCUUACUCUGAUACUCUUUCUCUAUUGAUUCACCGGUUUACUUUCGCAAUUUUCUCUUCAGAUUUCUUUUAUCUAGUGGAUAAUAAAUAUGUGUUUUUGAGAGAAGAUAGAGCAGCACAAGCCAAUAAUGAUUCCAGUCACCCUAAAGGGUUCUAACUACAUUACCUGGUCGAGAUUGGCUAGGACAGCUCUUGGGGAAAGAGGUCUAUGGGAGCACAUCACCACCAGUGAGGCACCAAGAAAAAUCACCCAAGGAGAAGAUGGCAAGGAGAUUGUAGUGGUAGAUGAAGGCAAAUGAGGUCAGGAGGAUCUCAUGGUGCUGUCUAUCUUGCAAGGCUCACUUGAUACUCCUAUCAUGGAGUCUUACUCACACUGUGAGAGUGCAGAGAAGCUAUGGGAUACCUUACACAAGGUGUAUGGCAACAGUUCAAAUCUCACCAGAAUCUUUGAGGUUAAGAGGGCAAUCAACAACUUGCAGCAAGAAGAGAUGGACUUCACCAAGCACCUUGGGAAGUACAGCCAGCUGUGGUCUGAACUUGAGAUGCUGACAGAGAUCAGCUCGCGCGACUUCAACUCUAGCUCGUUCCAGCUCGCGUCCGUUCGAGGUUCUCUUGGUGGUCCACUAGUACACUAGAAGAGAGGCAUGAACAAGACAAGGUCUUUGGAUUGUUUCUCACACUCAACCCAAGCUUCAAUGAUGUACUUAAACACAUAUUGAGAGCUAAGGAGCUUCCAAGCUAUGAUGAUGUGUCUGCUCAACUUCAAAAGGAGCUAGGCUCAGAUGGUCUCUUUGGUGGAUUAGGGAAGCUGUCUAUGGUAAACAAGGCUGAGAAGGUGGAGAGUGCUUCAGUCAACAAAGCACACUUCAAACCAGGAGGAGGAGACAAGUCUAUGACUUGUGAGCAUUGCAAGAAGCUAGGCCACUCCAAAACCAAUUGUUGGAUCCUCCAUCCUCACCUCAGACCGGCGUCAACCAACAGAUACAAUUAGACCAGAGCACAUGAAGCAUGAGCUCAAGAGGCCUCAGUACCAAGCUUCAUGCGCAUGGGAGAAUAUGGAAGACCCAUGAUCUCAACCACCCACACUGGUGGAUCCACAUCCCAUGACAUGUCUCAGCCAUCUCCUGAUGAUACUUUCAUCCGCAAGUCAGACAUUGAAGCCCUUAUCAAGGCUAUCAAUGCAAACUCUGGUAACAUAAGUAUCAAUGCUUUAAAUUCUAUCAUAGUACAUCUCAUACUACUAGACCUUUGAUCAUUGAUUCAGGAGCCUCUCAUCAUAUGAUUAGGGAUGCUAGACUGAUUAGUGAUGUCAAACCUACUCUAGGGAGUGUAGUGAUUGCUAAUGGUGAUAGAAUUCCAAUUGAAGGAGUAGGAAACCUGAAACUGUUUGAUAAGAAGUCUCAAGCUCUUUAUAUGCCUACUUUCACAUCCAACUUAUUAUCUGUUAAGAGAGCAACUAAUGAUUUAAAUUGCAAUGUUAUUUUUAGUCCUAAUGAUGUUUGCUUUCAGGAUAUUAAGACUAGUAAGAUGCUGGGAAAAUGUGUGAGCAAGGGAGAGCUAUAUUUUUUUGAAGACACCAAAGUUUCAGAUUUAUCGUGUGCUUUUAAUUUUGCUUCUGUUUUAGCUAGUGAGGUGUUAUGGCAUGCUAGAUUAGGUCACCCUCAUUCUCGUGCCUUAGGUCUGAUGUUACCUAAUCUAUCUUUUAAGAAUGAAAGUUGUGAGGCUUGUAUUCUUGGUAAACAUCAGAAAUCUGUUUUUCCUAAAUCAAUGACUAUUUAUGAGAAUUGCUUUGAUCUUGUUCACUCUGAUGUUUGGACUGCACCUUGUGUGUCUAGGGAGAACCAUAAGUAUUUUGUUACAUUCAUAGAUGAAAAAUCAAAAUAUACUUGGUUCACCCUGAUUCAAACUAAAGAUAGAGUUUUAGAAGCUUUUGUUAACUUCCAAAACUAUAUAUCUAACCAUUUCAAUUCCAAUAUCAAAAUUCUCAGGCCUGAUAAUGGGGGAGAAUAUACCAGCAAUGCCUUCAAACACCACUUAGCAAAACAUGGGAUAAUUCAUCAAACAAGCUGUCCAUACACACCUCCACAAAAUGGAGUUGCUGAAAGGAAGAAUCGCCAUCUUAUAGAGGUUGCAAGAAGCAUGAUGUUCCACACCAAUGUCCCUAAGAGAUUUUGGGGAGAUGCUGUGGUAUCAGCAUGCUAUCUGAUCAACAGAAUCCCCACCAAAGUUCUUCAAUAUGCCUCUCCCUUUCAGGUACUAAACAAAAUAAAACCUCCAAUUGAUCAUUUGCGCGUGUUUGGGCGUGUUUGUUAUGUCUUGACACCAGGAGAAAUGAGAAACAAGCUAGAAGCCAAGAGUGUCAAGGGAAUGUUUAUUGGAUACUCCCACACACAGAAAUGUUAUAAGUGCUACAUUCCUGAUUCAAGAAAAGUUAUAGUCUCAAGGGAUGUUAAGUUUGUGGAAUCUAAGGGGUACUAUGAGGAAAAGAGUUGGGAAAGCCUUCAAGACCUCUCACAAGGACCUUCAGAUAGGGCAAACAACUUGAGAAUCAUUCUGGAGAGUCUUGGCAUCAGUCAGCCUCAGAGCAGUGAGGUGCCAAGGACUUUUCCCUCACCACCAUCUGCUGGAAACAAUGAAGAAGCAUCACCAGUUGUAGAAACAUCCCAUCCUGAUCCUUAAGGGGGCGGAGGGGGGCAGUGAACCUGAAUCACAACCGCAAGAAGGAGACGAUUCAGCAAGCACAUAUGAGCAAGAUGGAGAUGAAUCUGAUCAGUCUAGUGAAGAUCAGUGUAAUGGAGAUCAAGGACAAGAAGAGGCAGUGGUAGCAGGGCAACAGAUUCAACCAUUGAGAAGGAGUAUAAGAGUGAAGAAACCAUCCAAGUGGGUCGACACCAGAGUGUACUUCAACAACAAUGCAGUGGCUCACCCUAUCCAAGCAACCUGUUCUUUGGCAAGUUACCCUCAGGAGCAUGUAGUCUUCAUCAGCAAUAUGGAUCAAGAGUAUAUUCUAAAGACUUAUGAAGAAGCCAUGGAGUAUGAAGAGUGGAGAGAGUCAGUUGGAGAUGAAGUUAGUGCCAUGAUCAAAAAUGAUACUUGGUAUGAAACUGAGCUUUCUAAAGGAAAAAAAUCCGUUACAAGCCGCAUGCUCUUCACCAUCAAAUAUCUUGCCAAUGGAAAACCAGAAAGGAAGAAGACAAGUCUGGUUGCAAGAGGAUACACUCAAGUCUGUGGAGAAGACUAUUUGGAUACCUUUGCACCAGUAGCUAAACUCAACACCAUAAGCAUUCUUCUCUCCUUGGCAGUGAACCUAGAAUGGGAUCCUUGGCAGAUGGAUGUCAAGAAUGCUUUUCUUCAAGAAGAGCUACUGGAUGAGGUUUACAUGAGGCCACCUCCGGGUAUGGAAGAUAUGGUCAAGCCAGGGAAUGUCCUAAGAUUGAAGAAAGCAAUCUAUGGAUUAAAACAGUCACCAAGAGCUUGAUAUCACAAACUGAGUACAACUCUCAAUGGUAGAGGGUUUGUAAAAUCAGAAGCUGAUCAUACUCUCUUUACUCUCACAAGCAAGCAAGGAAUUAUGGUGAUACUGAUCUAUGUGGACGAUAAUAUAAUCACAGGAAGUGACAAGGAAAGUAUCAUCUCUACUAAAGCUUUUCUUAAAUCUACCUUUGAUAUUAAAAAUUUGGGUGAGCUAAAGUACUUUCUAGGGAUAGAAAUAUGCCGCUAUAAAGAGAGGGUUUUCUUAUCUCAAAGAAAGUACGCACUUGAUCUUUUAAAUGAGGCAGGGAAGCUUGGAGCAAAAGUAGCUAAACCACCACUUGAAGAAGGCUACAAAGUCUUGCGUGAGGGGGAGUUUGAAGACAAACCAUUUGGAAACUUCAAGCUCUAUAAGAUGAUGGUUGGGAAGUUGAUCUAUCUCACCAUUACAAGACCAGACAUCUGUUUUGCUGUGAACAAAGUCAGCCAGCAUAUGCAAGCACCGAAGGUUCAUCAUUGGAAUAUGGUGGAAGGGAUCAUGAGAUACAUAAGGGAGGCUCCGGGUCAAGGUGUUUGGAUGGGUUGCAACAAGAGCACAUAGAUUGUGGGAUAUUGUGAUGCAGAUUGGGCUGGUGAUAGAGUGGAUAGGAGGUCUACUACAGGUUAUUGCACCUUCAUCGGAGGAAAUCUAGUUACGUGGAAAAGCAAGAAACAAAAGCUGGUAUCAUGUUCAAGUGCUAAGGCAGAAUAUAGAGCAAUGAGGAAGCUGACAAGUGAGCUCAUUUGGAUCAGAAACUUGCUAAGAGAAUUGGGCAUAGAGACAUCAACACCAAAUACCAUGCACUGUGAUAACCAGGCGGCCAUUCAUAUAGCUUCAAACUCAGUGUUUCAUGAAAGGACAAAGCACAUUGAAGUGGACUGUCACAAGGUGAGACAAGUUGUGGAGCAGAAGAUCAUUCUACCUUGCUACACUAGAAGUGAAGACCAGCUAGCUGAUAUCUUCACCAAAGGAGCAAGUAAUAAAGUAUGUGAGUUCAUUCAUCCGAGAUUGGGACUCAUAGACCUGGAUAGAUCAUGAUCCCCUUAAGUCAUGAAACAUCUACUCUUUUUCCUUUGUGUGUUUUUGUCCCAUUGGGUUUUUCACACAAAAGGUUUUAAUGAGGGAUGUCUUCAUGAGUUCCAAGCUUAACCAUACCUUAUGGUAAAGCUUGAGGGAGAGUAUUGACAUGAAGAAAUAAACAGAAGAAGUUUUCAUCUAGCAAGGCUUGCCAAAGGAAAUCAAGCAAGGCCUGCUAGAAUGAACAGUAUCCCGCGGAACUACAGUAAAAACAGACUGAUAUUAUAUUUUAGCUUCCCAAGGAUGUUUGGCUACUAGAGUAAGUCUAUUAUAUUCUGCUUCUGUCUCUUGAUAACCAAUUAUAAGGAAAUUUUUUAGAUCUAAGGAAAUAAGAAAUCCUUCCUUACUCUCUCUCUCUCUCUCUCUCUCUCUCUCUCUCUCUCUCUCUCUCUCUCUCUCUCUCUCUCUCUCUCUCUCUCUCUCUCUCUCUCUCUCUCUCUCUCUCUCUCUCUCUCUCUCUCUCUCUCUCUCUCUCUCUCUCUCUCUCUCUCUCUCUCUCUCUCUCUCUCUCUCUCUCUCUCUCUCUCUCUCUCUCUCUCUCUCUCUCUCUCUCUCUCUCUCUCUCUCUCUCUCUCUCUCUCUCUCUCUCUCUCUCUCUCUCUCUCUCUCUCUCUCUCUCUCUCUCUCUCACAAUGUACAUUUAAAUAUUUCAAUCCUCAUGUGAUGUGUUUAUUUGGUUUGACAACAAAAGUAUAAUAUGCUAAUGUAAUUUUAUAGGUGGAUGUUUGUUCUCACAAUGUACAUUUAAAUAUUUCAAUCCUCAUGUGAUGUGUUUAUUUGGUUUGACAACAAAAGUAUAAUAUGCUAAUGUAAUUUUAUAGGUGGAUGUUUGUUCUCACAAUGUACAUUUAAAUAUUUCAAUCCUCAUGUGAUGUGUUUAUUUGGUUUGACAACAAAAGUAUAAUAUGCUAAUGUAAUUUUAUAGGUGGAUGUUUGUUCUCACAAUGUACAUUUAAAUAUUUCAAUCCUCAUGUGAUGUGUUUAUUUGGUUUGACAACAAAAGUAUAAUAUGCUAAUGUAAUUUUAUAGGUGGAUGUUUGUUCUCACAAUGUACAUUUAAAUAUUUCAAUCCUCAUGUGAUGUGUUUAUUUGGUUUGACAACAAAAGUAUAAUAUGCUAAUGUAAUUUUAUAGGUGGAUGUUUGUUCUCACAAUGUACAUUUAAAUAUUUCAAUCCUCAUGUGAUGUGUUUAUUUGGUUUGACAACAAAAGUAUAAUAUGCUAAUGUAAUUUUAUAGGUGGAUGUUUGUUCUCACAAUGUACAUUUAAAUAUUUCAAUCCUCAUGUGAUGUGUUUAUUUGGUUUGACAACAAAAGUAUAAUAUGCUAAUGUAAUUUUAUAGGUGGAUGUUUGUUCUCACAAUGUACAUUUAAAUAUUUCAAUCCUCAUGUGAUGUGUUUAUUUGGUUUGACAACAAAAGUAUAAUAUGCUAAUGUAAUUUUAUAGGUGGAUGUUUGUUCUCACAAUGUACAUUUAAAUAUUUCAAUCCUCAUGUGAUGUGUUUAUUUGGUUUGACAACAAAAGUAUAAUAUGCUAAUGUAAUUUUAUAGGUGGAUGUUUGUUCUCACAAUGUACAUUUAAAUAUUUCAAUCCUCAUGUGAUGUGUUUAUUUGGUUUGACAACAAAAGUAUAAUAUGCUAAUGUAAUUUUAUAGGUGGAUGUUUGUUCUCACAAUGUACAUUUAAAUAUUUCAAUCCUCAUGUGAUGUGUUUAUUUGGUUUGACAACAAAAGUAUAAUAUGCUAAUGUAAUUUUAUAGGUGGAUGUUUGUUCUCACAAUGUACAUUUAAAUAUUUCAAUCCUCAUGUGAUGUGUUUAUUUGGUUUGACAACAAAAGUAUAAUAUGCUAAUGUAAUUUUAUAGGUGGAUGUUUGUUCUCACAAUGUACAUUUAAAUAUUUCAAUCCUCAUGUGAUGUGUUUAUUUGGUUUGACAACAAAAGUAUAAUAUGCUAAUGUAAUUUUAUAGGUGGAUGUUUGUUCUCACAAUGUACAUUUAAAUAUUUCAAUCCUCAUGUGAUGUGUUUAUUUGGUUUGACAACAAAAGUAUAAUAUGCUAAUGUAAUUUUAUAGGUGGAUGUUUGUUCUCACAAUGUACAUUUAAAUAUUUCAAUCCUCAUGUGAUGUGUUUAUUUGGUUUGACAACAAAAGUAUAAUAUGCUAAUGUAAUUUUAUAGGUGGAUGUUUGUUCUCACAAUGUACAUUUAAAUAUUUCAAUCCUCAUGUGAUGUGUUUAUUUGGUUUGACAACAAAAGUAUAAUAUGCUAAUGUAAUUUUAUAGGUGGAUGUUUGUUCUCACAAUGUACAUUUAAAUAUUUCAAUCCUCAUGUGAUGUGUUUAUUUGGUUUGACAACAAAAGUAUAAUAUGCUAAUGUAAUUUUAUAGGUGGAUGUUUGUUCUCACAAUGUACAUUUAAAUAUUUCAAUCCUCAUGUGAUGUGUUUAUUUGGUUUGACAACAAAAGUAUAAUAUGCUAAUGUAAUUUUAUAGGUGGAUGUUUGUUCUCACAAUGUACAUUUAAAUAUUUCAAUCCUCAUGUGAUGUGUUUAUUUGGUUUGACAACAAAAGUAUAAUAUGCUAAUGUAAUUUUAUAGGUGGAUGUUUGUUCUCACAAUGUACAUUUAAAUAUUUCAAUCCUCAUGUGAUGUGUUUAUUUGGUUUGACAACAAAAGUAUAAUAUGCUAAUGUAAUUUUAUAGGUGGAUGUUUGUUCUCACAAUGUACAUUUAAAUAUUUCAAUCCUCAUGUGAUGUGUUUAUUUGGUUUGACAACAAAAGUAUAAUAUGCUAAUGUAAUUUUAUAGGUGGAUGUUUGUUCUCACAAUGUACAUUUAAAUAUUUCAAUCCUCAUGUGAUGUGUUUAUUUGGUUUGACAACAAAAGUAUAAUAUGCUAAUGUAAUUUUAUAGGUGGAUGUUUGUUCUCACAAUGUACAUUUAAAUAUUUCAAUCCUCAUGUGAUGUGUUUAUUUGGUUUGACAACAAAAGUAUAAUAUGCUAAUGUAAUUUUAUAGGUGGAUGUUUGUUCUCACAAUGUACAUUUAAAUAUUUCAAUCCUCAUGUGAUGUGUUUAUUUGGUUUGACAACAAAAGUAUAAUAUGCUAAUGUAAUUUUAUAGGUGGAUGUUUGUUCUCACAAUGUACAUUUAAAUAUUUCAAUCCUCAUGUGAUGUGUUUAUUUGGUUUGACAACAAAAGUAUAAUAUGCUAAUGUAAUUUUAUAGGUGGAUGUUUGUUCUCACAAUGUACAUUUAAAUAUUUCAAUCCUCAUGUGAUGUGUUUAUUUGGUUUGACAACAAAAGUAUAAUAUGCUAAUGUAAUUUUAUAGGUGGAUGUUUGUUCUCACAAUGUACAUUUAAAUAUUUCAAUCCUCAUGUGAUGUGUUUAUUUGGUUUGACAACAAAAGUAUAAUAUGCUAAUGUAAUUUUAUAGGUGGAUGUUUGUUCUCACAAUGUACAUUUAAAUAUUUCAAUCCUCAUGUGAUGUGUUUAUUUGGUUUGACAACAAAAGUAUAAUAUGCUAAUGUAAUUUUAUAGGUGGAUGUUUGUUCUCACAAUGUACAUUUAAAUAUUUCAAUCCUCAUGUGAUGUGUUUAUUUGGUUUGACAACAAAAGUAUAAUAUGCUAAUGUAAUUUUAUAGGUGGAUGUUUGUUCUCACAAUGUACAUUUAAAUAUUUCAAUCCUCAUGUGAUGUGUUUAUUUGGUUUGACAACAAAAGUAUAAUAUGCUAAUGUAAUUUUAUAGGUGGAUGUUUGUUCUCACAAUGUACAUUUAAAUAUUUCAAUCCUCAUGUGAUGUGUUUAUUUGGUUUGACAACAAAAGUAUAAUAUGCUAAUGUAAUUUUAUAGGUGGAUGUUUGUUCUCACAAUGUACAUUUAAAUAUUUCAAUCCUCAUGUGAUGUGUUUAUUUGGUUUGACAACAAAAGUAUAAUAUGCUAAUGUAAUUUUAUAGGUGGAUGUUUGUUCUCACAAUGUACAUUUAAAUAUUUCAAUCCUCAUGUGAUGUGUUUAUUUGGUUUGACAACAAAAGUAUAAUAUGCUAAUGUAAUUUUAUAGGUGGAUGUUUGUUCUCACAAUGUACAUUUAAAUAUUUCAAUCCUCAUGUGAUGUGUUUAUUUGGUUUGACAACAAAAGUAUAAUAUGCUAAUGUAAUUUUAUAGGUGGAUGUUUGUUCUCACAAUGUACAUUUAAAUAUUUCAAUCCUCAUGUGAUGUGUUUAUUUGGUUUGACAACAAAAGUAUAAUAUGCUAAUGUAAUUUUAUAGGUGGAUGUUUGUUCUCACAAUGUACAUUUAAAUAUUUCAAUCCUCAUGUGAUGUGUUUAUUUGGUUUGACAACAAAAGUAUAAUAUGCUAAUGUAAUUUUAUAGGUGGAUGUUUGUUCUCACAAUGUACAUUUAAAUAUUUCAAUCCUCAUGUGAUGUGUUUAUUUGGUUUGACAACAAAAGUAUAAUAUGCUAAUGUAAUUUUAUAGGUGGAUGUUUGUUCUCACAAUGUACAUUUAAAUAUUUCAAUCCUCAUGUGAUGUGUUUAUUUGGUUUGACAACAAAAGUAUAAUAUGCUAAUGUAAUUUUAUAGGUGGAUGUUUGUUCUCACAAUGUACAUUUAAAUAUUUCAAUCCUCAUGUGAUGUGUUUAUUUGGUUUGACAACAAAAGUAUAAUAUGCUAAUGUAAUUUUAUAGGUGGAUGUUUGUUCUCACAAUGUACAUUUAAAUAUUUCAAUCCUCAUGUGAUGUGUUUAUUUGGUUUGACAACAAAAGUAUAAUAUGCUAAUGUAAUUUUAUAGGUGGAUGUUUGUUCUCACAAUGUACAUUUAAAUAUUUCAAUCCUCAUGUGAUGUGUUUAUUUGGUUUGACAACAAAAGUAUAAUAUGCUAAUGUAAUUUUAUAGGUGGAUGUUUGUUCUCACAAUGUACAUUUAAAUAUUUCAAUCCUCAUGUGAUGUGUUUAUUUGGUUUGACAACAAAAGUAUAAUAUGCUAAUGUAAUUUUAUAGGUGGAUGUUUGUUCUCACAAUGUACAUUUAAAUAUUUCAAUCCUCAUGUGAUGUGUUUAUUUGGUUUGACAACAAAAGUAUAAUAUGCUAAUGUAAUUUUAUAGGUGGAUGUUUGUUCUCACAAUGUACAUUUAAAUAUUUCAAUCCUCAUGUGAUGUGUUUAUUUGGUUUGACAACAAAAGUAUAAUAUGCUAAUGUAAUUUUAUAGGUGGAUGUUUGUUCUCACAAUGUACAUUUAAAUAUUUCAAUCCUCAUGUGAUGUGUUUAUUUGGUUUGACAACAAAAGUAUAAUAUGCUAAUGUAAUUUUAUAGGUGGAUGUUUGUUCUCACAAUGUACAUUUAAAUAUUUCAAUCCUCAUGUGAUGUGUUUAUUUGGUUUGACAACAAAAGUAUAAUAUGCUAAUGUAAUUUUAUAGGUGGAUGUUUGUUCUCACAAUGUACAUUUAAAUAUUUCAAUCCUCAUGUGAUGUGUUUAUUUGGUUUGACAACAAAAGUAUAAUAUGCUAAUGUAAUUUUAUAGGUGGAUGUUUGUUCUCACAAUGUACAUUUAAAUAUUUCAAUCCUCAUGUGAUGUGUUUAUUUGGUUUGACAACAAAAGUAUAAUAUGCUAAUGUAAUUUUAUAGGUGGAUGUUUGUUCUCACAAUGUACAUUUAAAUAUUUCAAUCCUCAUGUGAUGUGUUUAUUUGGUUUGACAACAAAAGUAUAAUAUGCUAAUGUAAUUUUAUAGGUGGAUGUUUGUUCUCACAAUGUACAUUUAAAUAUUUCAAUCCUCAUGUGAUGUGUUUAUUUGGUUUGACAACAAAAGUAUAAUAUGCUAAUGUAAUUUUAUAGGUGGAUGUUUGUUCUCACAAUGUACAUUUAAAUAUUUCAAUCCUCAUGUGAUGUGUUUAUUUGGUUUGACAACAAAAGUAUAAUAUGCUAAUGUAAUUUUAUAGGUGGAUGUUUGUUCUCACAAUGUACAUUUAAAUAUUUCAAUCCUCAUGUGAUGUGUUUAUUUGGUUUGACAACAAAAGUAUAAUAUGCUAAUGUAAUUUUAUAGGUGGAUGUUUGUUCUCACAAUGUACAUUUAAAUAUUUCAAUCCUCAUGUGAUGUGUUUAUUUGGUUUGACAACAAAAGUAUAAUAUGCUAAUGUAAUUUUAUAGGUGGAUGUUUGUUCUCACAAUGUACAUUUAAAUAUUUCAAUCCUCAUGUGAUGUGUUUAUUUGGUUUGACAACAAAAGUAUAAUAUGCUAAUGUAAUUUUAUAGGUGGAUGUUUGUUCUCACAAUGUACAUUUAAAUAUUUCAAUCCUCAUGUGAUGUGUUUAUUUGGUUUGACAACAAAAGUAUAAUAUGCUAAUGUAAUUUUAUAGGUGGAUGUUUGUUCUCACAAUGUACAUUUAAAUAUUUCAAUCCUCAUGUGAUGUGUUUAUUUGGUUUGACAACAAAAGUAUAAUAUGCUAAUGUAAUUUUAUAGGUGGAUGUUUGUUCUCACAAUGUACAUUUAAAUAUUUCAAUCCUCAUGUGAUGUGUUUAUUUGGUUUGACAACAAAAGUAUAAUAUGCUAAUGUAAUUUUAUAGGUGGAUGUUUGUUCUCACAAUGUACAUUUAAAUAUUUCAAUCCUCAUGUGAUGUGUUUAUUUGGUUUGACAACAAAAGUAUAAUAUGCUAAUGUAAUUUUAUAGGUGGAUGUUUGUUCUCACAAUGUACAUUUAAAUAUUUCAAUCCUCAUGUGAUGUGUUUAUUUGGUUUGACAACAAAAGUAUAAUAUGCUAAUGUAAUUUUAUAGGUGGAUGUUUGUUCUCACAAUGUACAUUUAAAUAUUUCAAUCCUCAUGUGAUGUGUUUAUUUGGUUUGACAACAAAAGUAUAAUAUGCUAAUGUAAUUUUAUAGGUGGAUGUUUGUUCUCACAAUGUACAUUUAAAUAUUUCAAUCCUCAUGUGAUGUGUUUAUUUGGUUUGACAACAAAAGUAUAAUAUGCUAAUGUAAUUUUAUAGGUGGAUGUUUGUUCUCACAAUGUACAUUUAAAUAUUUCAAUCCUCAUGUGAUGUGUUUAUUUGGUUUGACAACAAAAGUAUAAUAUGCUAAUGUAAUUUUAUAGGUGGAUGUUUGUUCUCACAAUGUACAUUUAAAUAUUUCAAUCCUCAUGUGAUGUGUUUAUUUGGUUUGACAACAAAAGUAUAAUAUGCUAAUGUAAUUUUAUAGGUGGAUGUUUGUUCUCACAAUGUACAUUUAAAUAUUUCAAUCCUCAUGUGAUGUGUUUAUUUGGUUUGACAACAAAAGUAUAAUAUGCUAAUGUAAUUUUAUAGGUGGAUGUUUGUUCUCACAAUGUACAUUUAAAUAUUUCAAUCCUCAUGUGAUGUGUUUAUUUGGUUUGACAACAAAAGUAUAAUAUGCUAAUGUAAUUUUAUAGGUGGAUGUUUGUUCUCACAAUGUACAUUUAAAUAUUUCAAUCCUCAUGUGAUGUGUUUAUUUGGUUUGACAACAAAAGUAUAAUAUGCUAAUGUAAUUUUAUAGGUGGAUGUUUGUUCUCACAAUGUACAUUUAAAUAUUUCAAUCCUCAUGUGAUGUGUUUAUUUGGUUUGACAACAAAAGUAUAAUAUGCUAAUGUAAUUUUAUAGGUGGAUGUUUGUUCUCACAAUGUACAUUUAAAUAUUUCAAUCCUCAUGUGAUGUGUUUAUUUGGUUUGACAACAAAAGUAUAAUAUGCUAAUGUAAUUUUAUAGGUGGAUGUUUGUUCUCACAAUGUACAUUUAAAUAUUUCAAUCCUCAUGUGAUGUGUUUAUUUGGUUUGACAACAAAAGUAUAAUAUGCUAAUGUAAUUUUAUAGGUGGAUGUUUGUUCUCACAAUGUACAUUUAAAUAUUUCAAUCCUCAUGUGAUGUGUUUAUUUGGUUUGACAACAAAAGUAUAAUAUGCUAAUGUAAUUUUAUAGGUGGAUGUUUGUUCUCACAAUGUACAUUUAAAUAUUUCAAUCCUCAUGUGAUGUGUUUAUUUGGUUUGACAACAAAAGUAUAAUAUGCUAAUGUAAUUUUAUAGGUGGAUGUUUGUUCUCACAAUGUACAUUUAAAUAUUUCAAUCCUCAUGUGAUGUGUUUAUUUGGUUUGACAACAAAAGUAUAAUAUGCUAAUGUAAUUUUAUAGGUGGAUGUUUGUUCUCACAAUGUACAUUUAAAUAUUUCAAUCCUCAUGUGAUGUGUUUAUUUGGUUUGACAACAAAAGUAUAAUAUGCUAAUGUAAUUUUAUAGGUGGAUGUUUGUUCUCACAAUGUACAUUUAAAUAUUUCAAUCCUCAUGUGAUGUGUUUAUUUGGUUUGACAACAAAAGUAUAAUAUGCUAAUGUAAUUUUAUAGGUGGAUGUUUGUUCUCACAAUGUACAUUUAAAUAUUUCAAUCCUCAUGUGAUGUGUUUAUUUGGUUUGACAACAAAAGUAUAAUAUGCUAAUGUAAUUUUAUAGGUGGAUGUUUGUUCUCACAAUGUACAUUUAAAUAUUUCAAUCCUCAUGUGAUGUGUUUAUUUGGUUUGACAACAAAAGUAUAAUAUGCUAAUGUAAUUUUAUAGGUGGAUGUUUGUUCUCACAAUGUACAUUUAAAUAUUUCAAUCCUCAUGUGAUGUGUUUAUUUGGUUUGACAACAAAAGUAUAAUAUGCUAAUGUAAUUUUAUAGGUGGAUGUUUGUUCUCACAAUGUACAUUUAAAUAUUUCAAUCCUCAUGUGAUGUGUUUAUUUGGUUUGACAACAAAAGUAUAAUAUGCUAAUGUAAUUUUAUAGGUGGAUGUUUGUUCUCACAAUGUACAUUUAAAUAUUUCAAUCCUCAUGUGAUGUGUUUAUUUGGUUUGACAACAAAAGUAUAAUAUGCUAAUGUAAUUUUAUAGGUGGAUGUUUGUUCUCACAAUGUACAUUUAAAUAUUUCAAUCCUCAUGUGAUGUGUUUAUUUGGUUUGACAACAAAAGUAUAAUAUGCUAAUGUAAUUUUAUAGGUGGAUGUUUGUUCUCACAAUGUACAUUUAAAUAUUUCAAUCCUCAUGUGAUGUGUUUAUUUGGUUUGACAACAAAAGUAUAAUAUGCUAAUGUAAUUUUAUAGGUGGAUGUUUGUUCUCACAAUGUACAUUUAAAUAUUUCAAUCCUCAUGUGAUGUGUUUAUUUGGUUUGACAACAAAAGUAUAAUAUGCUAAUGUAAUUUUAUAGGUGGAUGUUUGUUCUCACAAUGUACAUUUAAAUAUUUCAAUCCUCAUGUGAUGUGUUUAUUUGGUUUGACAACAAAAGUAUAAUAUGCUAAUGUAAUUUUAUAGGUGGAUGUUUGUUCUCACAAUGUACAUUUAAAUAUUUCAAUCCUCAUGUGAUGUGUUUAUUUGGUUUGACAACAAAAGUAUAAUAUGCUAAUGUAAUUUUAUAGGUGGAUGUUUGUUCUCACAAUGUACAUUUAAAUAUUUCAAUCCUCAUGUGAUGUGUUUAUUUGGUUUGACAACAAAAGUAUAAUAUGCUAAUGUAAUUUUAUAGGUGGAUGUUUGUUCUCACAAUGUACAUUUAAAUAUUUCAAUCCUCAUGUGAUGUGUUUAUUUGGUUUGACAACAAAAGUAUAAUAUGCUAAUGUAAUUUUAUAGGUGGAUGUUUGUUCUCACAAUGUACAUUUAAAUAUUUCAAUCCUCAUGUGAUGUGUUUAUUUGGUUUGACAACAAAAGUAUAAUAUGCUAAUGUAAUUUUAUAGGUGGAUGUUUGUUCUCACAAUGUACAUUUAAAUAUUUCAAUCCUCAUGUGAUGUGUUUAUUUGGUUUGACAACAAAAGUAUAAUAUGCUAAUGUAAUUUUAUAGGUGGAUGUUUGUUCUCACAAUGUACAUUUAAAUAUUUCAAUCCUCAUGUGAUGUGUUUAUUUGGUUUGACAACAAAAGUAUAAUAUGCUAAUGUAAUUUUAUAGGUGGAUGUUUGUUCUCACAAUGUACAUUUAAAUAUUUCAAUCCUCAUGUGAUGUGUUUAUUUGGUUUGACAACAAAAGUAUAAUAUGCUAAUGUAAUUUUAUAGGUGGAUGUUUGUUCUCACAAUGUACAUUUAAAUAUUUCAAUCCUCAUGUGAUGUGUUUAUUUGGUUUGACAACAAAAGUAUAAUAUGCUAAUGUAAUUUUAUAGGUGGAUGUUUGUUCUCACAAUGUACAUUUAAAUAUUUCAAUCCUCAUGUGAUGUGUUUAUUUGGUUUGACAACAAAAGUAUAAUAUGCUAAUGUAAUUUUAUAGGUGGAUGUUUGUUCUCACAAUGUACAUUUAAAUAUUUCAAUCCUCAUGUGAUGUGUUUAUUUGGUUUGACAACAAAAGUAUAAUAUGCUAAUGUAAUUUUAUAGGUGGAUGUUUGUUCUCACAAUGUACAUUUAAAUAUUUCAAUCCUCAUGUGAUGUGUUUAUUUGGUUUGACAACAAAAGUAUAAUAUGCUAAUGUAAUUUUAUAGGUGGAUGUUUGUUCUCACAAUGUACAUUUAAAUAUUUCAAUCCUCAUGUGAUGUGUUUAUUUGGUUUGACAACAAAAGUAUAAUAUGCUAAUGUAAUUUUAUAGGUGGAUGUUUGUUCUCACAAUGUACAUUUAAAUAUUUCAAUCCUCAUGUGAUGUGUUUAUUUGGUUUGACAACAAAAGUAUAAUAUGCUAAUGUAAUUUUAUAGGUGGAUGUUUGUUCUCACAAUGUACAUUUAAAUAUUUCAAUCCUCAUGUGAUGUGUUUAUUUGGUUUGACAACAAAAGUAUAAUAUGCUAAUGUAAUUUUAUAGGUGGAUGUUUGUUCUCACAAUGUACAUUUAAAUAUUUCAAUCCUCAUGUGAUGUGUUUAUUUGGUUUGACAACAAAAGUAUAAUAUGCUAAUGUAAUUUUAUAGGUGGAUGUUUGUUCUCACAAUGUACAUUUAAAUAUUUCAAUCCUCAUGUGAUGUGUUUAUUUGGUUUGACAACAAAAGUAUAAUAUGCUAAUGUAAUUUUAUAGGUGGAUGUUUGUUCUCACAAUGUACAUUUAAAUAUUUCAAUCCUCAUGUGAUGUGUUUAUUUGGUUUGACAACAAAAGUAUAAUAUGCUAAUGUAAUUUUAUAGGUGGAUGUUUGUUCUCACAAUGUACAUUUAAAUAUUUCAAUCCUCAUGUGAUGUGUUUAUUUGGUUUGACAACAAAAGUAUAAUAUGCUAAUGUAAUUUUAUAGGUGGAUGUUUGUUCUCACAAUGUACAUUUAAAUAUUUCAAUCCUCAUGUGAUGUGUUUAUUUGGUUUGACAACAAAAGUAUAAUAUGCUAAUGUAAUUUUAUAGGUGGAUGUUUGUUCUCACAAUGUACAUUUAAAUAUUUCAAUCCUCAUGUGAUGUGUUUAUUUGGUUUGACAACAAAAGUAUAAUAUGCUAAUGUAAUUUUAUAGGUGGAUGUUUGUUCUCACAAUGUACAUUUAAAUAUUUCAAUCCUCAUGUGAUGUGUUUAUUUGGUUUGACAACAAAAGUAUAAUAUGCUAAUGUAAUUUUAUAGGUGGAUGUUUGUUCUCACAAUGUACAUUUAAAUAUUUCAAUCCUCAUGUGAUGUGUUUAUUUGGUUUGACAACAAAAGUAUAAUAUGCUAAUGUAAUUUUAUAGGUGGAUGUUUGUUCUCACAAUGUACAUUUAAAUAUUUCAAUCCUCAUGUGAUGUGUUUAUUUGGUUUGACAACAAAAGUAUAAUAUGCUAAUGUAAUUUUAUAGGUGGAUGUUUGUUCUCACAAUGUACAUUUAAAUAUUUCAAUCCUCAUGUGAUGUGUUUAUUUGGUUUGACAACAAAAGUAUAAUAUGCUAAUGUAAUUUUAUAGGUGGAUGUUUGUUCUCACAAUGUACAUUUAAAUAUUUCAAUCCUCAUGUGAUGUGUUUAUUUGGUUUGACAACAAAAGUAUAAUAUGCUAAUGUAAUUUUAUAGGUGGAUGUUUGUUCUCACAAUGUACAUUUAAAUAUUUCAAUCCUCAUGUGAUGUGUUUAUUUGGUUUGACAACAAAAGUAUAAUAUGCUAAUGUAAUUUUAUAGGUGGAUGUUUGUUCUCACAAUGUACAUUUAAAUAUUUCAAUCCUCAUGUGAUGUGUUUAUUUGGUUUGACAACAAAAGUAUAAUAUGCUAAUGUAAUUUUAUAGGUGGAUGUUUGUUCUCACAAUGUACAUUUAAAUAUUUCAAUCCUCAUGUGAUGUGUUUAUUUGGUUUGACAACAAAAGUAUAAUAUGCUAAUGUAAUUUUAUAGGUGGAUGUUUGUUCUCACAAUGUACAUUUAAAUAUUUCAAUCCUCAUGUGAUGUGUUUAUUUGGUUUGACAACAAAAGUAUAAUAUGCUAAUGUAAUUUUAUAGGUGGAUGUUUGUUCUCACAAUGUACAUUUAAAUAUUUCAAUCCUCAUGUGAUGUGUUUAUUUGGUUUGACAACAAAAGUAUAAUAUGCUAAUGUAAUUUUAUAGGUGGAUGUUUGUUCUCACAAUGUACAUUUAAAUAUUUCAAUCCUCAUGUGAUGUGUUUAUUUGGUUUGACAACAAAAGUAUAAUAUGCUAAUGUAAUUUUAUAGGUGGAUGUUUGUUCUCACAAUGUACAUUUAAAUAUUUCAAUCCUCAUGUGAUGUGUUUAUUUGGUUUGACAACAAAAGUAUAAUAUGCUAAUGUAAUUUUAUAGGUGGAUGUUUGUUCUCACAAUGUACAUUUAAAUAUUUCAAUCCUCAUGUGAUGUGUUUAUUUGGUUUGACAACAAAAGUAUAAUAUGCUAAUGUAAUUUUAUAGGUGGAUGUUUGUUCUCACAAUGUACAUUUAAAUAUUUCAAUCCUCAUGUGAUGUGUUUAUUUGGUUUGACAACAAAAGUAUAAUAUGCUAAUGUAAUUUUAUAGGUGGAUGUUUGUUCUCACAAUGUACAUUUAAAUAUUUCAAUCCUCAUGUGAUGUGUUUAUUUGGUUUGACAACAAAAGUAUAAUAUGCUAAUGUAAUUUUAUAGGUGGAUGUUUGUUCUCACAAUGUACAUUUAAAUAUUUCAAUCCUCAUGUGAUGUGUUUAUUUGGUUUGACAACAAAAGUAUAAUAUGCUAAUGUAAUUUUAUAGGUGGAUGUUUGUUCUCACAAUGUACAUUUAAAUAUUUCAAUCCUCAUGUGAUGUGUUUAUUUGGUUUGACAACAAAAGUAUAAUAUGCUAAUGUAGUUGAAUUUGUACAGUAUGUGGGAGGUACAGAGACUCUCGUUGAACAUGUUAAAGCAAGUCAAUAAUAAACCAUAUUCAUGAGUUUAUGAAGUAGCCAAACGUUUUACGUCUUGUGUGCGAGGAUAUUAUUUAUUUGGUUUAACGCUUUCAUGUUUAUUUAAAUCUAUUUUGGUUUUUAUUUACCUUGUAUUUAUGACAUUAUACUAUUAUUAUUAAUGUUAUUCAUUUGCGUUGGUAUUUUAUAAAAGAAACAAAUCAUUAUCUUUAUUUGACCAUUUUUAUAUAUCUUCUACACUAUUAAAGAAAAAUCCAUUAUAAGAUUUUGUCCUUAAUUUUGUGAAAUAAUUAUAAUAAAAUAAUUAUAAUGAAAUGUCACUCAUAUUUUUAUGCAUAUCAUAAUUAAUUAAUCUGAACUAAACAAUUAAUUUAGAAAAAUUCCAAAACUAAAAAACAGUAGUUAAAUCAUGUAUACACAGCUUAAAUUUAUAACCAUGCUGCAAGCUAAACAUAGCUUCUUUAAGCUACUUCAGAUCUCAGACAUCAUUUGAACCGAUUUUGGUUUCAUUGUUACUCUCCUUAAACAACUGCAUUAUUCUCUCAUUUACUUGAUCUUUAAGAUUCAUAAAUGGGCUCUGAAAUAGUAGUGGGCCGUAAGCCCAAUCAAAACAGAUAUGACCAAAUAAAGUGUUUAACAUGCCUUCUUCUUCUUCUCCAAUUUCAGAUUUGAUCCAAUCUGUAGCCUAAGGGGAAACGAAAAGGGGAAACUGCGACAAAUCAAAGGUAUGAUUAGAACCCAAAGAGACUCAUGAAAACACUUCAAUUCUCUGAAAUUGAUUGAAGUUUGUGCAGUUUUUUUCUUUCUGAUCGUAUCUUUGAUUGUGAAAAACCUCAGGUGGAUCCAUGGGUGAUGUACAACUAAAGAAAAGAGGAUACAUCUGGGCAAUCUCUGCUGGGUUCAAUGCAGCUCUUGCUGCCAUCUCUGCAAAGUUCUUCUCAUCUCUCGUAAUAAUAAUAACAUUUUCUUAGCUUCAUUUUUUUUUUUUUCCUUAGAGCAUUUUGAUUAAUUUAAUUUUGGAAUUUUUUAAUGUUUAACAGGUGCUAAAAUAUGGAUUGGUUGUAUUAUGCAAUGUGGUAAUGUGGGGAUGUUAUGUAAACAGCUUAAGAGCUCUCUCUUCUCUACAAGCUACCGUCACUAACUUUGCUGCUAAUUUCCUCUCUUCCGGUUUUGCUGGCCUCUUUCUGUUUCACGAGUCCUUAUCAUUCCGUGUAAGUUUUUUAUUUAAAUCUUGAAAACAAUGUUUCUUAUGCUAUGCUUUUCUUGGAUGUCAAAGCCUAUUACUAUUGCAGAUUCCAUAACUUGUACUUGUUUUUAAGGUUUGCGUGUAUUUAGGACACCAAUUGUUAUGUUGAAAUGGUAGUUUUGGAGUUGUAACAUGAGUUUGGCUGAUACAUUUUCCGAUAAAUAAUGCAGUGGUUUGCGGGAGCUUUAUCGAUCACCAUUGGAGUUGUAAUCCUCAGUAAGUCAAGUGUUGAUAAGAAGGUCAGUACGGAUUAGUACAAGAACCAAUAUAAUAGCUUUCCUUCUUGAGAAGGCUGGUUUUGCGUACAAGGAGUUAAGAGCUGGAGAUUAAGUUGUUUGAAGUUUUAGAUUUUAUUCUGUUAAGAGGACCAAACUUGUAAUACCUACGAUUGAUUUUCAUGAUUUUAUUGAAGUAGUUAAGACUGUUAAUACUAAAAUAAUGUUUGUUCUUUUUUUUUUUGGGUUUGUCAUGUCAAACCGCAACAAUCUACUGCACGGGUCUUCUUCUUCUGCAUCUUGAUUAAAAUCGAGAGGCAGUGGCAAGAAACUAAGAAACUAAUGCGUAGCUACGAUAAUAUGUGCCAAAAAUAUGUUUGAAACUUUCUAAUCACAAAAUAUACGGUUAGAUCAAAGAACCAGCCAUGUCGUGGGGCUUACGUCACAUAUUUUUUCAAUAGAAAUAUGGACAAUUCUGUUUUACUUUAUGUGAAGUGAACAUGCCCUUACUCAUUACUUGAUUUUCAAGCUACAAUGUCUUCUCUUAACGUUUCCAUCUCGGGAGUAAUAGGCAAAUUACUAGAGAUGUGAACAAUUCUCCACUUCUUAAACGAAACAUUUCGAUUUUUUUGGAGUUCUUUUUCUUUUGCAUUCACUUUUUUUAGGUUAACCACCGUAUACAUUGUAUAGUUUUGCAUCUGUGAAUAAAGGAAAAUAUACAAAGAUUUUUCUUCUACUUUCAAAAGCUAUUUUCAAUAUUUUGUAGACUCACAAGAUAAUUCUCAAGAAUCCACCAAACCCUGCUAUAAUCGUAUCAAAACAACAAUGAAAUAGUGGUUUUGUAGGAUACGACAUUACGGAAAAACAACAAUUGAAUCAAUCAUCGUGAUGAUGAGUGGUAGAACAACUGAAAAUUUGCAAAACAAUAAGGAAGUAAGACAAUGUAUGCAAAUAUAUCUUGAGAUCUAAUGACAUUGUUACAACAUUAAAUAUUAUUUUGAGGAAGGUUGAAGUACCAAGAAACAUUCAUUAGAUCUCGGAAAGACGACGUUCUAGGGUCACUACUGGGAUAAUAGAACUGUUAGAGAUCUAUAUGCAGAAGCGCGUUAAACCGAAAACAUACUAUUCUAGUUUAGCGAUGAACAUUGCUUGAUACAAUCUGGAAUUGGAUGCAAGAAUCAGAAAGAAAUCACAGAUGGAAAUCAACCACAUGUCCCCAUUCAAGUACCUUUCUAGUUGAUUCAUUGAAGCUUCUUCUCUCUAAAACUUUUUACUCACUCUUUAGAAAUAUAUUUGUUAUAAAUAUAUUAUUACAAUUGGUUCUCUUCUAUUUGCAAUGUCUAUAUAUAUAGACAGUCAAGAGACAUUUUGUGAGGAGUCACAUAUGUUCAAGGAAGAGACAUGUAUUUUCAGCAAAGAGACGCAUCUUUUAAAUGAAGAGUCACAUAUCUUCAUUUAAGGAGUUAUGCGAAUAAUUUCCUAAAACUAGGGGUUAACCAAACCGGUUUGUUAUGCUGCCUAAUCAUGGAUGCAAACCGACCAUAAAUUAAUAUCUCCCACUCACACAUGAUUGGGAGCAUGUCAAGUACUAGAGAAGUCUUAAAGAUCAAGCGCGAGAAUCCUAACUCAGAAAUCAUAGGGAAAAUGAACCGUGCGACCCUUACAAGUACACUAACACUUGGGAGUUAAAUUAUGCACCUGUUAGGAAUACAUACAAGUUACAACCCUAGAAAAUUAUUUUAGAUGUUUAAUAAUAUCUUAGUGUAUUUUGGAUACAUAUUAGGAACUACAAUCAUGUUUGGUACAAGUUUUUUUGGGAUUUUGAAGGUUUCGGGUUCUAUUGGGUAUCCAUUUAGGUUUGGGUUUGGAUAAUACUCAUAACCCAAAAUACCAUAAAACCAGAUCCAUUCGGUAUUUAUGUCAGGUUUGGAUCGGUUCGGAUUCAUUUUAAUUGGAGCGGGUUCGGUUUGGUUUAUCGGAUUCGGUUUAUUUUCCCAGUCCUAGUAAGUGAGAUGAGCUUAUACACUAGGCAUGAAUCCUCAUAUGUCUAAUUGGGUUUGUUUCGAGUCAUUUCGAUUUGGAAUUUUGAGAGCACAUUAAUACCAUUCGGAUAUUAUAAAAUUUUGGUUCAUUUUGGUUAGGUUUAAUCAUGUUUAGUCUGGAUUUAGUAAAUCACGUGAACACUAGAUGUACCAAGAAAUUUUUCAAAUUCAGUUCUAAACCUUAUUAAGUAAUCUGAGACAUUCAUUUCUACAUUAAAUAUACUCAAUUAACUUGAACGAGUGACUUUAUGACUUUGUUGAUGACUGAAAUCAUUAAGGUAAAACAAGGAUUUGAUUGUGGAAAACUUUUAAAAACCAAUCAUAUUUUUUGAUGAUAAAUCAUAUAUAAAAAUAUUAUGCUAACAACAAAGAAGAAUAAACCUCAUACGUAAAGAUAAUAAUUCUAACGCAAAAAAAAAGCUCACAUAUAUUCAUAACAGGUAAUCAUAACUCGUAUACAAAACAUUGUGCUAACGACAAAUUAAGAAAAACAAAUUUGAGUACAUGAAUUCGAGUAGUGAGACUAACUGAGCUAACAAAAAAAUAUAUGAAAAUUGCAAAAUAAACUUGAAAAUUUUGUGCUAAAAACAAAAUAGCAUAUGCGAGAAAGUAAAAAUCAUUGUCUACCAAAUCGAACCCAGUAAACCCUGAAAAGAUUGGGUUUUCAUGAUAUUAUGUAUAUAUCCAGUGCAAAGAAAAUUACUAAUACUUGUGAAUGAUCCUUGAAGUCUCUUUAGGAAGAGAUUUUUGGAAGUGACGAUUUUAUGUUUCCAUUUGGAAGAAUUGAAGAAACAAUACAAGAUUAUGAAUUUAGGGUUUCAGGUUUGUAAAUAGCCAAAGGCAUAAAAGAAAUCAGAGUAAAUAUACGAGAAUAAAAUUUAUGAAAAGUAUUGAUAUGAAAAAAUAAACAGAAAAAGUUUUCAUCUAGCAAGGCUUGCCAAAGGAAAUCAAGCAAAGCCAGCUAGAAUGAACAGUACCCGCGAAACUACGGUAAAAGCAGACUGAUAGUAUAUUUUAGAUUCCCUGGUAAGCCAAGGGUGUUUGGCUACUAGAGUAAGCCUAUUCUAUUCUGCUUCUGUCUCUUGAUAACCAAUUGUAAUGACAUUUUUAGAUCUAAGGAAAUAAAAAAUACUUCCUUACUCUUUCUCUUUCUUGUUCUUCACUCUGUUCUUCAAUUUCUUACAUGGUAUCAGAGCCUUUAAGCUCUUGAGUACCUAUUUCUCUUCCGCAAUCUUACUCUGAUACUCUUUCUCUAUUGAUUCACCGGUUUACUUUCGCAAUUUUCUCUUCAGAUUUCUUUUAUCUAGUGGAUAAUAAAUAUGUGUUUUUGAGAGAAGAUAGAGCAGCACAAGCCAAUAAUGAUUCCAGUCACCCUAAAGGGUUCUAACUACAUUACCUGGUCGAGAUUGGCUAGGACAGCUCUUGGGGAAAGAGGUCUAUGGGAGCACAUCACCACCAGUGAGGCACCAAGAAAAAUCACCCAAGGAGAAGAUGGCAAGGAGAUUGUAGUGGUAGAUGAAGGCAAAUGAGGUCAGGAGGAUCUCAUGGUGCUGUCUAUCUUGCAAGGCUCACUUGAUACUCCUAUCAUGGAGUCUUACUCACACUGUGAGAGUGCAGAGAAGCUAUGGGAUACCUUACACAAGGUGUAUGGCAACAGUUCAAAUCUCACCAGAAUCUUUGAGGUUAAGAGGGCAAUCAACAACUUGCAGCAAGAAGAGAUGGACUUCACCAAGCACCUUGGGAAGUACAGCCAGCUGUGGUCUGAACUUGAGAUGCUGAGGCCAAGCACCACUGAUCCUAGUACACUAGAAGAGAGGCAUGAACAAGACAAGGUCUUUGGAUUGUUUCUCACACUCAACCCAAGCUUCAAUGAUGUACUUAAACACAUAUUGAGAGCUAAGGAGCUUCCAAGCUAUGAUGAUGUGUCUGCUCAACUUCAAAAGGAGCUAGGCUCAGAUGGUCUCUUUGGUGGAUUAGGGAAGCUGUCUAUGGUAAACAAGGCUGAGAAGGUGGAGAGUGCUUCAGUCAACAAAGCACACUUCAAACCAGGAGGAGGAGACAAGUCUAUGACUUGUGAGCAUUGCAAGAAGCUAGGCCACUCCAAAACCAAUUGUUGGAUCCUCCAUCCUCACCUCAGACCGGCGUCAACCAACAGAUACAAUUAGACCAGAGCACAUGAAGCAUGAGCUCAAGAGGCCUCAGUACCAAGCUUCAUGCGCAUGGGAGAAUAUGGAAGACCCAUGAUCUCAACCACCCACACUGGUGGAUCCACAUCCCAUGACAUGUCUCAGCCAUCUCCUGAUGAUACUUUCAUCCGCAAGUCAGACAUUGAAGCCCUUAUCAAGGCUAUCAAUGCAAACUCUGGUAACAUAAGUAUCAAUGCUUUAAAUUCUAUCAUAGUACAUCUCAUACUACUAGACCUUUGAUCAUUGAUUCAGGAGCCUCUCAUCAUAUGAUUAGGGAUGCUAGACUGAUUAGUGAUGUUAAACCUGCUCUAGGGAGUGUAGUGAUUGCUAAUGGUGAUAGAAUUCCAAUUGAAGGAGUAGGAAACCUGAAACUGUUUGAUAAGAAGUCUCAAGCUCUUUAUAUGCCUACUUUCACAUCCAACUUAUUAUCUGUUAAGAGAGCAACUAAUGAUUUAAAUUGCAAUGUUAUUUUUAGUCCUAAUGAUGUUUGCUUUCAGGAUAUUAAGACUAGUAAGAUGCUGGGAAAAUGUGUGAGCAAGGGAGAGCUAUAUUUUUUUGAAGACACCAAAGUUUCAGAUUUAUCGUGUGCUUUUAAUUUUGCUUCUGUUUUAGCUAGUGAGGUGUUAUGGCAUGCUAGAUUAGGUCACCCUCAUUCUCGUGCCUUAGGUCUGAUGUUACCUAAUCUAUCUUUUAAGAAUGAAAGUUGUGAGGCUUGUAUUCUUGGUAAACAUCAGAAAUCUGUUUUUCCUAAAUCAAUGACUAUUUAUGAGAAUUGCUUUGAUCUUGUUCACUCUGAUGUUUGGACUGCACCUUGUGUGUCUAGGGAGAACCAUAAGUAUUUUGUUACAUUCAUAGAUGAAAAAUCAAAAUAUACUUGGUUCACCCUGAUUCAAACUAAAGAUAGAGUUUUAGAAGCUUUUGUUAACUUCCAAAACUAUAUAUCUAACCAUUUCAAUUCCAAUAUCAAAAUUCUCAGGCCUGAUAAUGGGGGAGAAUAUACCAGCAAUGCCUUCAAACACCACUUAGCAAAACAUGGGAUAAUUCAUCAAACAAGCUGUCCAUACACACCUCCACAAAAUGGAGUUGCUGAAAGGAAGAAUCGCCAUCUUAUAGAGGUUGCAAGAAGCAUGAUGUUCCACACCAAUGUCCCUAAGAGAUUUUGGGGAGAUGCUGUGGUAUCAGCAUGCUAUCUGAUCAACAGAAUCCCCACCAAAGUUCUUCAAUAUGCCUCUCCCUUUCAGGUACUAAACAAAAUAAAACCUCCAAUUGAUCAUUUGCGCGUGUUUGGGCGUGUUUGUUAUGUCUUGACACCAGGAGAAAUGAGAAACAAGCUAGAAGCCAAGAGUGUCAAGGGAAUGUUUAUUGGAUACUCCCACACACAGAAAUGUUAUAAGUGCUACAUUCCUGAUUCAAGAAAAGUUAUAGUCUCAAGGGAUGUUAAGUUUGUGGAAUCUAAGGGGUACUAUGAGGAAAAGAGUUGGGAAAGCCUUCAAGACCUCUCACAAGGACCUUCAGAUAGGGCAAACAACUUGAGAAUCAUUCUGGAGAGUCUUGGCAUCAGUCAGCCUCAGAGCAGUGAGGUGCCAAGGACUUUUCCCUCACCACCAUCUGCUGGAAACAAUGAAGAAGCAUCACCAGUUGUAGAAACAUCCCAUCCUGAUCCUUAAGGGGGCGGAGGGGGGCAGUGAACCUGAAUCACAACCGCAAGAAGGAGACGAUUCAGCAAGCACAUAUGAGCAAGAUGGAGAUGAAUCUGAUCAGUCUAGUGAAGAUCAGUGUAAUGGAGAUCAAGGACAAGAAGAGGCAGUGGUAGCAGGGCAACAGAUUCAACCAUUGAGAAGGAGUAUAAGAGUGAAGAAACCAUCCAAGUGGGUCGACACCAGAGUGUACUUCAACAACAAUGCAGUGGCUCACCCUAUCCAAGCAACCUGUUCUUUGGCAAGUUACCCUCAGGAGCAUGUAGUCUUCAUCAGCAAUAUGGAUCAAGAGUAUAUUCUAAAGACUUAUGAAGAAGCCAUGGAGUAUGAAGAGUGGAGAGAGUCAGUUGGAGAUGAAGUUAGUGCCAUGAUCAAAAAUGAUACUUGGUAUGAAACUGAGCUUUCUAAAGGAAAAAAAUCCGUUACAAGCCGCAUGCUCUUCACCAUCAAAUAUCUUGCCAAUGGAAAACCAGAAAGGAAGAAGACAAGUCUGGUUGCAAGAGGAUACACUCAAGUCUGUGGAGAAGACUAUUUGGAUACCUUUGCACCAGUAGCUAAACUCAACACCAUAAGCAUUCUUCUCUCCUUGGCAGUGAACCUAGAAUGGGAUCCUUGGCAGAUGGAUGUCAAGAAUGCUUUUCUUCAAGAAGAGCUACUGGAUGAGGUUUACAUGAGGCCACCUCCGGGUAUGGAAGAUAUGGUCAAGCCAGGGAAUGUCCUAAGAUUGAAGAAAGCAAUCUAUGGAUUAAAACAGUCACCAAGAGCUUGAUAUCACAAACUGAGUACAACUCUCAAUGGUAGAGGGUUUGUAAAAUCAGAAGCUGAUCAUACUCUCUUUACUCUCACAAGCAAGCAAGGAAUUAUGGUGAUACUGAUCUAUGUGGACGAUAAUAUAAUCACAGGAAGUGACAAGGAAAGUAUCAUCUCUACUAAAGCUUUUCUUAAAUCUACCUUUGAUAUUAAAAAUUUGGGUGAGCUAAAGUACUUUCUAGGGAUAGAAAUAUGCCGCUAUAAAGAGAGGGUUUUCUUAUCUCAAAGAAAGUACGCACUUGAUCUUUUAAAUGAGGCAGGGAAGCUUGGAGCAAAAGUAGCUAAACCACCACUUGAAGAAGGCUACAAAGUCUUGCGUGAGGGGGAGUUUGAAGACAAACCAUUUGGAAACUUCAAGCUCUAUAAGAUGAUGGUUGGGAAGUUGAUCUAUCUCACCAUUACAAGACCAGACAUCUGUUUUGCUGUGAACAAAGUCAGCCAGCAUAUGCAAGCACCGAAGGUUCAUCAUUGGAAUAUGGUGGAAGGGAUCAUGAGAUACAUAAGGGAGGCUCCGGGUCAAGGUGUUUGGAUGGGUUGCAACAAGAGCACAUAGAUUGUGGGAUAUUGUGAUGCAGAUUGGGCUGGUGAUAGAGUGGAUAGGAGGUCUACUACAGGUUAUUGCACCUUCAUCGGAGGAAAUCUAGUUACGUGGAAAAGCAAGAAACAAAAGCUGGUAUCAUGUUCAAGUGCUAAGGCAGAAUAUAGAGCAAUGAGGAAGCUGACAAGUGAGCUCAUUUGGAUCAGAAACUUGCUAAGAGAAUUGGGCAUAGAGACAUCAACACCAAAUACCAUGCACUGUGAUAACCAGGCGGCCAUUCAUAUAGCUUCAAACUCAGUGUUUCAUGAAAGGACAAAGCACAUUGAAGUGGACUGUCACAAGGUGAGACAAGUUGUGGAGCAGAAGAUCAUUCUACCUUGCUACACUAGAAGUGAAGACCAGCUAGCUGAUAUCUUCACCAAAGGAGCAAGUAAUAAAGUAUGUGAGUUCAUUCAUCCGAGAUUGGGACUCAUAGACCUGGAUAGAUCAUGAUCCCCUUAAGUCAUGAAACAUCUACUCUUUUUCCUUUGUGUGUUUUUGUCCCAUUGGGUUUUUCACACAAAAGGUUUUAAUGAGGGAUGUCUUCAUGAGUUCCAAGCUUAACCAUACCUUAUGGUAAAGCUUGAGGGAGAGUAUUGACAUGAAGAAAUAAACAGAAGAAGUUUUCAUCUAGCAAGGCUUGCCAAAGGAAAUCAAGCAAGGCCUGCUAGAAUGAACAGUAUCCCGCGGAACUACAGUAAAAACAGACUGAUAUUAUAUUUUAGCUUCCCAAGGAUGUUUGGCUACUAGAGUAAGUCUAUUAUAUUCUGCUUCUGUCUCUUGAUAACCAAUUAUAAGGAAAUUUUUUAGAUCUAAGGAAAUAAGAAAUCCUUCCUUACUCUCUCUCUCUCUCUCUCUCUCUCUCUCUCUCUCUCUCUCUCUCUCUCUCUCUCUCUCUCUCUCUCUCUCUCUCUCUCUCUCUCUCUCUCUCUCUCUCUCUCUCUCUCUCUCUCUCUCUCUCUCUCUCUCUCUCUCUCUCUCUCUCUCUCUCUCUCUCUCUCUCUCUCUCUCUCUCUCUCUCUCUCUCUCUCUCUCUCUCUCUCUCUCUCUCUCUCUCUCUCUCUCUCUCUCUCUCUCUCUCUCUCUCUCUCUCUCUCUCUCUCUCUCUCUCUCUCUCAUAUCAUAAUUAAUUAAUCUGAACUAAACAAUUAAUUUAGAAAAAUUCCAAAACUAAAAAACAGUAGUUAAAUCAUGUAUACACAGCUUAAAUUUAUAACCAUGCUGCAAGCUAAACAUAGCUUCUUUAAGCUACUUCAGAUCUCAGACAUCAUUUGAACCGAUUUUGGUUUCAUUGUUACUCUCCUUAAACAACUGCAUUAUUCUCUCAUUUACUUGAUCUUUAAGAUUCAUAAAUGGGCUCUGAAAUAGUAGUGGGCCGUAAGCCCAAUCAAAACAGAUAUGACCAAAUAAAGUGUUUAACAUGCCUUCUUCUUCUUCUCCAAUUUCAGAUUUGAUCCAAUCUGUAGCCUAAGGGGAAACGAAAAGGGGAAACUGCGACAAAUCAAAGGUAUGAUUAGAACCCAAAGAGACUCAUGAAAACACUUCAAUUCUCUGAAAUUGAUUGAAGUUUGUGCAGUUUUUUUCUUUCUGAUCGUAUCUUUGAUUGUGAAAAACCUCAGGUGGAUCCAUGGGUGAUGUACAACUAAAGAAAAGAGGAUACAUCUGGGCAAUCUCUGCUGGGUUCAAUGCAGCUCUUGCUGCCAUCUCUGCAAAGUUCUUCUCAUCUCUCGUAAUAAUAAUAACAUUUUCUUAGCUUCAUUUUUUUUUUUUUCCUUAGAGCAUUUUGAUUAAUUUAAUUUUGGAAUUUUUUAAUGUUUAACAGGUGCUAAAAUAUGGAUUGGUUGUAUUAUGCAAUGUGGUAAUGUGGGGAUGUUAUGUAAACAGCUUAAGAGCUCUCUCUUCUCUACAAGCUACCGUCACUAACUUUGCUGCUAAUUUCCUCUCUUCCGGUUUUGCUGGCCUCUUUCUGUUUCACGAGUCCUUAUCAUUCCGUGUAAGUUUUUUAUUUAAAUCUUGAAAACAAUGUUUCUUAUGCUAUGCUUUUCUUGGAUGUCAAAGCCUAUUACUAUUGCAGAUUCCAUAACUUGUACUUGUUUUUAAGGUUUGCGUGUAUUUAGGACACCAAUUGUUAUGUUGAAAUGGUAGUUUUGGAGUUGUAACAUGAGUUUGGCUGAUACAUUUUCCGAUAAAUAAUGCAGUGGUUUGCGGGAGCUUUAUCGAUCACCAUUGGAGUUGUAAUCCUCAGUAAGUCAAGUGUUGAUAAGAAGGUCAGUACGGAUUAGUACAAGAACCAAUAUAAUAGCUUUCCUUCUUGAGAAGGCUGGUUUUGCGUACAAGGAGUUAAGAGCUGGAGAUUAAGUUGUUUGAAGUUUUAGAUUUUAUUCUGUUAAGAGGACCAAACUUGUAAUACCUACGAUUGAUUUUCAUGAUUUUAUUGAAGUAGUUAAGACUGUUAAUACUAAAAUAAUGUUUGUUCUUUUUUUUUUUGGGUUUGUCAUGUCAAACCGCAACAAUCUACUGCACGGGUCUUCUUCUUCUGCAUCUUGAUUAAAAUCGAGAGGCAGUGGCAAGAAACUAAGAAACUAAUGCGUAGCUACGAUAAUAUGUGCCAAAAAUAUGUUUGAAACUUUCUAAUCACAAAAUAUACGGUUAGAUCAAAGAACCAGCCAUGUCGUGGGGCUUACGUCACAUAUUUUUUCAAUAGAAAUAUGGACAAUUCUGUUUUACUUUAUGUGAAGUGAACAUGCCCUUACUCAUUACUUGAUUUUCAAGCUACAAUGUCUUCUCUUAACGUUUCCAUCUCGGGAGUAAUAGGCAAAUUACUAGAGAUGUGAACAAUUCUCCACUUCUUAAACGAAACAUUUCGAUUUUUUUGGAGUUCUUUUUCUUUUGCAUUCACUUUUUUUAGGUUAACCACCGUAUACAUUGUAUAGUUUUGCAUCUGUGAAUAAAGGAAAAUAUACAAAGAUUUUUCUUCUACUUUCAAAAGCUAUUUUCAAUAUUUUGUAGACUCACAAGAUAAUUCUCAAGAAUCCACCAAACCCUGCUAUAAUCGUAUCAAAACAACAAUGAAAUAGUGGUUUUGUAGGAUACGACAUUACGGAAAAACAACAAUUGAAUCAAUCAUCGUGAUGAUGAGUGGUAGAACAACUGAAAAUUUGCAAAACAAUAAGGAAGUAAGACAAUGUAUGCAAAUAUAUCUUGAGAUCUAAUGACAUUGUUACAACAUUAAAUAUUAUUUUGAGGAAGGUUGAAGUACCAAGAAACAUUCAUUAGAUCUCGGAAAGACGACGUUCUAGGGUCACUACUGGGAUAAUAGAACUGUUAGAGAUCUAUAUGCAGAAGCGCGUUAAACCGAAAACAUACUAUUCUAGUUUAGCGAUGAACAUUGCUUGAUACAAUCUGGAAUUGGAUGCAAGAAUCAGAAAGAAAUCACAGAUGGAAAUCAACCACAUGUCCCCAUUCAAGUACCUUUCUAGUUGAUUCAUUGAAGCUUCUUCUCUCUAAAACUUUUUACUCACUCUUUAGAAAUAUAUUUGUUAUAAAUAUAUUAUUACAAUUGGUUCUCUUCUAUUUGCAAUGUCUAUAUAUAUAGACAGUCAAGAGACAUUUUGUGAGGAGUCACAUAUGUUCAAGGAAGAGACAUGUAUUUUCAGCAAAGAGACGCAUCUUUUAAAUGAAGAGUCACAUAUCUUCAUUUAAGGAGUUAUGCGAAUAAUUUCCUAAAACUAGGGGUUAACCAAACCGGUUUGUUAUGCUGCCUAAUCAUGGAUGCAAACCGACCAUAAAUUAAUAUCUCCCACUCACACAUGAUUGGGAGCAUGUCAAGUACUAGAGAAGUCUUAAAGAUCAAGCGCGAGAAUCCUAACUCAGAAAUCAUAGGGAAAAUGAACCGUGCGACCCUUACAAGUACACUAACACUUGGGAGUUAAAUUAUGCACCUGUUAGGAAUACAUACAAGUUACAACCCUAGAAAAUUAUUUUAGAUGUUUAAUAAUAUCUUAGUGUAUUUUGGAUACAUAUUAGGAACUACAAUCAUGUUUGGUACAAGUUUUUUUGGGAUUUUGAAGGUUUCGGGUUCUAUUGGGUAUCCAUUUAGGUUUGGGUUUGGAUAAUACUCAUAACCCAAAAUACCAUAAAACCAGAUCCAUUCGGUAUUUAUGUCAGGUUUGGAUCGGUUCGGAUUCAUUUUAAUUGGAGCGGGUUCGGUUUGGUUUAUCGGAUUCGGUUUAUUUUCCCAGUCCUAGUAAGUGAGAUGAGCUUAUACACUAGGCAUGAAUCCUCAUAUGUCUAAUUGGGUUUGUUUCGAGUCAUUUCGAUUUGGAAUUUUGAGAGCACAUUAAUACCAUUCGGAUAUUAUAAAAUUUUGGUUCAUUUUGGUUAGGUUUAAUCAUGUUUAGUCUGGAUUUAGUAAAUCACGUGAACACUAGAUGUACCAAGAAAUUUUUCAAAUUCAGUUCUAAACCUUAUUAAGUAAUCUGAGACAUUCAUUUCUACAUUAAAUAUACUCAAUUAACUUGAACGAGUGACUUUAUGACUUUGUUGAUGACUGAAAUCAUUAAGGUAAAACAAGGAUUUGAUUGUGGAAAACUUUUAAAAACCAAUCAUAUUUUUUGAUGAUAAAUCAUAUAUAAAAAUAUUAUGCUAACAACAAAGAAGAAUAAACCUCAUACGUAAAGAUAAUAAUUCUAACGCAAAAAAAAAGCUCACAUAUAUUCAUAACAGGUAAUCAUAACUCGUAUACAAAACAUUGUGCUAACGACAAAUUAAGAAAAACAAAUUUGAGUACAUGAAUUCGAGUAGUGAGACUAACUGAGCUAACAAAAAAAUAUAUGAAAAUUGCAAAAUAAACUUGAAAAUUUUGUGCUAAAAACAAAAUAGCAUAUGCGAGAAAGUAAAAAUCAUUGUCUACCAAAUCGAACCCAGUAAACCCUGAAAAGAUUGGGUUUUCAUGAUAUUAUGUAUAUAUCCAGUGCAAAGAAAAUUACUAAUACUUGUGAAUGAUCCUUGAAGUCUCUUUAGGAAGAGAUUUUUGGAAGUGACGAUUUUAUGUUUCCAUUUGGAAGAAUUGAAGAAACAAUACAAGAUUAUGAAUUUAGGGUUUCAGGUUUGUAAAUAGCCAAAGGCAUAAAAGAAAUCAGAGUAAAUAUACGAGAAUAAAAUUUAUGAAAAGUAUUGAUAUGAAAAAAUAAACAGAAAAAGUUUUCAUCUAGCAAGGCUUGCCAAAGGAAAUCAAGCAAAGCCAGCUAGAAUGAACAGUACCCGCGAAACUACGGUAAAAGCAGACUGAUAGUAUAUUUUAGAUUCCCUGGUAAGCCAAGGGUGUUUGGCUACUAGAGUAAGCCUAUUCUAUUCUGCUUCUGUCUCUUGAUAACCAAUUGUAAUGACAUUUUUAGAUCUAAGGAAAUAAAAAAUACUUCCUUACUCUUUCUCUUUCUUGUUCUUCACUCUGUUCUUCAAUUUCUUACAUGGUAUCAGAGCCUUUAAGCUCUUGAGUACCUAUUUCUCUUCCGCAAUCUUACUCUGAUACUCUUUCUCUAUUGAUUCACCGGUUUACUUUCGCAAUUUUCUCUUCAGAUUUCUUUUAUCUAGUGGAUAAUAAAUAUGUGUUUUUGAGAGAAGAUAGAGCAGCACAAGCCAAUAAUGAUUCCAGUCACCCUAAAGGGUUCUAACUACAUUACCUGGUCGAGAUUGGCUAGGACAGCUCUUGGGGAAAGAGGUCUAUGGGAGCACAUCACCACCAGUGAGGCACCAAGAAAAAUCACCCAAGGAGAAGAUGGCAAGGAGAUUGUAGUGGUAGAUGAAGGCAAAUGAGGUCAGGAGGAUCUCAUGGUGCUGUCUAUCUUGCAAGGCUCACUUGAUACUCCUAUCAUGGAGUCUUACUCACACUGUGAGAGUGCAGAGAAGCUAUGGGAUACCUUACACAAGGUGUAUGGCAACAGUUCAAAUCUCACCAGAAUCUUUGAGGUUAAGAGGGCAAUCAACAACUUGCAGCAAGAAGAGAUGGACUUCACCAAGCACCUUGGGAAGUACAGCCAGCUGUGGUCUGAACUUGAGAUGCUGAGGCCAAGCACCACUGAUCCUAGUACACUAGAAGAGAGGCAUGAACAAGACAAGGUCUUUGGAUUGUUUCUCACACUCAACCCAAGCUUCAAUGAUGUACUUAAACACAUAUUGAGAGCUAAGGAGCUUCCAAGCUAUGAUGAUGUGUCUGCUCAACUUCAAAAGGAGCUAGGCUCAGAUGGUCUCUUUGGUGGAUUAGGGAAGCUGUCUAUGGUAAACAAGGCUGAGAAGGUGGAGAGUGCUUCAGUCAACAAAGCACACUUCAAACCAGGAGGAGGAGACAAGUCUAUGACUUGUGAGCAUUGCAAGAAGCUAGGCCACUCCAAAACCAAUUGUUGGAUCCUCCAUCCUCACCUCAGACCGGCGUCAACCAACAGAUACAAUUAGACCAGAGCACAUGAAGCAUGAGCUCAAGAGGCCUCAGUACCAAGCUUCAUGCGCAUGGGAGAAUAUGGAAGACCCAUGAUCUCAACCACCCACACUGGUGGAUCCACAUCCCAUGACAUGUCUCAGCCAUCUCCUGAUGAUACUUUCAUCCGCAAGUCAGACAUUGAAGCCCUUAUCAAGGCUAUCAAUGCAAACUCUGGUAACAUAAGUAUCAAUGCUUUAAAUUCUAUCAUAGUACAUCUCAUACUACUAGACCUUUGAUCAUUGAUUCAGGAGCCUCUCAUCAUAUGAUUAGGGAUGCUAGACUGAUUAGUGAUGUUAAACCUGCUCUAGGGAGUGUAGUGAUUGCUAAUGGUGAUAGAAUUCCAAUUGAAGGAGUAGGAAACCUGAAACUGUUUGAUAAGAAGUCUCAAGCUCUUUAUAUGCCUACUUUCACAUCCAACUUAUUAUCUGUUAAGAGAGCAACUAAUGAUUUAAAUUGCAAUGUUAUUUUUAGUCCUAAUGAUGUUUGCUUUCAGGAUAUUAAGACUAGUAAGAUGCUGGGAAAAUGUGUGAGCAAGGGAGAGCUAUAUUUUUUUGAAGACACCAAAGUUUCAGAUUUAUCGUGUGCUUUUAAUUUUGCUUCUGUUUUAGCUAGUGAGGUGUUAUGGCAUGCUAGAUUAGGUCACCCUCAUUCUCGUGCCUUAGGUCUGAUGUUACCUAAUCUAUCUUUUAAGAAUGAAAGUUGUGAGGCUUGUAUUCUUGGUAAACAUCAGAAAUCUGUUUUUCCUAAAUCAAUGACUAUUUAUGAGAAUUGCUUUGAUCUUGUUCACUCUGAUGUUUGGACUGCACCUUGUGUGUCUAGGGAGAACCAUAAGUAUUUUGUUACAUUCAUAGAUGAAAAAUCAAAAUAUACUUGGUUCACCCUGAUUCAAACUAAAGAUAGAGUUUUAGAAGCUUUUGUUAACUUCCAAAACUAUAUAUCUAACCAUUUCAAUUCCAAUAUCAAAAUUCUCAGGCCUGAUAAUGGGGGAGAAUAUACCAGCAAUGCCUUCAAACACCACUUAGCAAAACAUGGGAUAAUUCAUCAAACAAGCUGUCCAUACACACCUCCACAAAAUGGAGUUGCUGAAAGGAAGAAUCGCCAUCUUAUAGAGGUUGCAAGAAGCAUGAUGUUCCACACCAAUGUCCCUAAGAGAUUUUGGGGAGAUGCUGUGGUAUCAGCAUGCUAUCUGAUCAACAGAAUCCCCACCAAAGUUCUUCAAUAUGCCUCUCCCUUUCAGGUACUAAACAAAAUAAAACCUCCAAUUGAUCAUUUGCGCGUGUUUGGGCGUGUUUGUUAUGUCUUGACACCAGGAGAAAUGAGAAACAAGCUAGAAGCCAAGAGUGUCAAGGGAAUGUUUAUUGGAUACUCCCACACACAGAAAUGUUAUAAGUGCUACAUUCCUGAUUCAAGAAAAGUUAUAGUCUCAAGGGAUGUUAAGUUUGUGGAAUCUAAGGGGUACUAUGAGGAAAAGAGUUGGGAAAGCCUUCAAGACCUCUCACAAGGACCUUCAGAUAGGGCAAACAACUUGAGAAUCAUUCUGGAGAGUCUUGGCAUCAGUCAGCCUCAGAGCAGUGAGGUGCCAAGGACUUUUCCCUCACCACCAUCUGCUGGAAACAAUGAAGAAGCAUCACCAGUUGUAGAAACAUCCCAUCCUGAUCCUUAAGGGGGCGGAGGGGGGCAGUGAACCUGAAUCACAACCGCAAGAAGGAGACGAUUCAGCAAGCACAUAUGAGCAAGAUGGAGAUGAAUCUGAUCAGUCUAGUGAAGAUCAGUGUAAUGGAGAUCAAGGACAAGAAGAGGCAGUGGUAGCAGGGCAACAGAUUCAACCAUUGAGAAGGAGUAUAAGAGUGAAGAAACCAUCCAAGUGGGUCGACACCAGAGUGUACUUCAACAACAAUGCAGUGGCUCACCCUAUCCAAGCAACCUGUUCUUUGGCAAGUUACCCUCAGGAGCAUGUAGUCUUCAUCAGCAAUAUGGAUCAAGAGUAUAUUCUAAAGACUUAUGAAGAAGCCAUGGAGUAUGAAGAGUGGAGAGAGUCAGUUGGAGAUGAAGUUAGUGCCAUGAUCAAAAAUGAUACUUGGUAUGAAACUGAGCUUUCUAAAGGAAAAAAAUCCGUUACAAGCCGCAUGCUCUUCACCAUCAAAUAUCUUGCCAAUGGAAAACCAGAAAGGAAGAAGACAAGUCUGGUUGCAAGAGGAUACACUCAAGUCUGUGGAGAAGACUAUUUGGAUACCUUUGCACCAGUAGCUAAACUCAACACCAUAAGCAUUCUUCUCUCCUUGGCAGUGAACCUAGAAUGGGAUCCUUGGCAGAUGGAUGUCAAGAAUGCUUUUCUUCAAGAAGAGCUACUGGAUGAGGUUUACAUGAGGCCACCUCCGGGUAUGGAAGAUAUGGUCAAGCCAGGGAAUGUCCUAAGAUUGAAGAAAGCAAUCUAUGGAUUAAAACAGUCACCAAGAGCUUGAUAUCACAAACUGAGUACAACUCUCAAUGGUAGAGGGUUUGUAAAAUCAGAAGCUGAUCAUACUCUCUUUACUCUCACAAGCAAGCAAGGAAUUAUGGUGAUACUGAUCUAUGUGGACGAUAAUAUAAUCACAGGAAGUGACAAGGAAAGUAUCAUCUCUACUAAAGCUUUUCUUAAAUCUACCUUUGAUAUUAAAAAUUUGGGUGAGCUAAAGUACUUUCUAGGGAUAGAAAUAUGCCGCUAUAAAGAGAGGGUUUUCUUAUCUCAAAGAAAGUACGCACUUGAUCUUUUAAAUGAGGCAGGGAAGCUUGGAGCAAAAGUAGCUAAACCACCACUUGAAGAAGGCUACAAAGUCUUGCGUGAGGGGGAGUUUGAAGACAAACCAUUUGGAAACUUCAAGCUCUAUAAGAUGAUGGUUGGGAAGUUGAUCUAUCUCACCAUUACAAGACCAGACAUCUGUUUUGCUGUGAACAAAGUCAGCCAGCAUAUGCAAGCACCGAAGGUUCAUCAUUGGAAUAUGGUGGAAGGGAUCAUGAGAUACAUAAGGGAGGCUCCGGGUCAAGGUGUUUGGAUGGGUUGCAACAAGAGCACAUAGAUUGUGGGAUAUUGUGAUGCAGAUUGGGCUGGUGAUAGAGUGGAUAGGAGGUCUACUACAGGUUAUUGCACCUUCAUCGGAGGAAAUCUAGUUACGUGGAAAAGCAAGAAACAAAAGCUGGUAUCAUGUUCAAGUGCUAAGGCAGAAUAUAGAGCAAUGAGGAAGCUGACAAGUGAGCUCAUUUGGAUCAGAAACUUGCUAAGAGAAUUGGGCAUAGAGACAUCAACACCAAAUACCAUGCACUGUGAUAACCAGGCGGCCAUUCAUAUAGCUUCAAACUCAGUGUUUCAUGAAAGGACAAAGCACAUUGAAGUGGACUGUCACAAGGUGAGACAAGUUGUGGAGCAGAAGAUCAUUCUACCUUGCUACACUAGAAGUGAAGACCAGCUAGCUGAUAUCUUCACCAAAGGAGCAAGUAAUAAAGUAUGUGAGUUCAUUCAUCCGAGAUUGGGACUCAUAGACCUGGAUAGAUCAUGAUCCCCUUAAGUCAUGAAACAUCUACUCUUUUUCCUUUGUGUGUUUUUGUCCCAUUGGGUUUUUCACACAAAAGGUUUUAAUGAGGGAUGUCUUCAUGAGUUCCAAGCUUAACCAUACCUUAUGGUAAAGCUUGAGGGAGAGUAUUGACAUGAAUAAAUAAACAGAACAAGUUUUCAUCUAGCAAGGCUUGCCAAAGGAAAUCAAGCAAGGCCUGCUAGAAUGAACAGUAUCCCGCGGAACUACAGUAAAAACAGACUGAUAUUAUAUUUUAGCUUCCCAAGGAUGUUUGGCUACUAGAGUAAGUCUAUUAUAUUCUGCUUCUGUCUCUUGAUAACCAAUUAUAAGGAAAUUUUUUAGAUCUAAGGAAAUAAGAAAUCCUUCCUUACUCUCUCUCUCUCUCUCUCUCUCUCUUCUUCACUCUGUUCUUCAAUUUCUUUCAUUAUUCACAUGGCUGUUGUUGGUUCAUGUUUGAAACGUUUUGUUUCUCUCUCUCUCUCUCUCUCUCUCUUGUUCUUCACUAUGUUCUUCAAUUUCUUACAAAAAGAUAUAUGGAGAGACAUCACUAUUUGUGUAGAUUUGAUGCUUGAUCGAGUUAAGAAAAGGAAAAUGUAAGAUUUGACAAACAUAUGAAUUCGGGUUGUGAAUAAUAUCGUCUAUUCGAUCAGGUUUCAGAUAUACAUACUGAUCUGAGCAUCCAUUAUAAAAAAUGAUGAAUCCUAAAAUUCACUCAAAAAUAAGGUUAGGGUUUACAGGUUGAUUGUAGAACAAGGAAGUCUUUGCUAGGUUCCUUGACCUCCAUUCCACAUUGAUUAACCCAUUUCCUUGUAAUGAAGGAUCCCUUGAACUUUGUGCCAUAUUGAUUGCGUUAUAUCUUCAAGAUAAGGAGUCUCCAAUUUCCGUCCAAUGAGCAAUAUUCUAUGCGCUCGCCAUUGAUGAGGUGAGCUAUAUUAUGAGUUGUGCAUUUAGAAAAGGCUGCCUACGCAUCCUUUCAGGAUCAAGCCUACGUAGUUCUCAGGUAAUAUCUUGUGUGUGGUAUAUUGUGUGCCUGUCCGAGGGAACUCCUUGUUUAGCUGGUCAUCUUAGUCUCUCUUCUAGAUAGGAAACUAGAAGAGAGGUCUCUUCUUUAGGUAAGUUUUUAGAUAUUUCUUAUAGCUAGGCAUCUAGGAGAGAUAACUCUUCCUGAGAUAGGCUUUUAGAUCUCUCUUGCAACUAGGCAGCUAGUAAAGAGAUCUCCUCUUAAGAUAAGCUUCUAGAUCUCUCUUAUAGCUAGGAAUCUAGGAGAGAGAUAUCUCUUAUAGGUAGGUAGUUAUAAGAGAGAGAUAUUCUUGAGAUAGGCUUCUAGAUCUCUCUUAUAGCUAGGAAGCUUGGCGAGAGAUCUCAUAUUGAGGUAGGCUUCUGGAUAUCUCUUAUAGCUACGCAGCUAGGAGAGGGAUCUAUUUUUGAGAUAUGCGAUUAUAUUUCCAGCUCUCCAGGUCGUCGUAUCUUCAUGUCGUUGGAUCAUCAGGUCAUCUAGGCGGUCUGACAGCUAGGCAGUUAGGCAGCUGAGAGCUGGGCAGCUAGAAGCUAGGAAGCAACGAGUUAGGCAGCAAAUAACUAAAUAAUAGCAAACAUAGAUAAAAAGAUAUAGAAAUAUGUGAAAAAAUCAAUAGAUGACUUCCUUUUGAUGAUAAAUAUGUGGAUCUUAUGUGAGAAUAGAUGAUGAAUGUGUGAAAUCUUCUUUAUCUAUUUCUUCUCUUCUCCGUUGAAUAUGUUUCCUCUCAUGGAAUGUCUCCGUUAGCUAGAUAGUUAUCCUCCUUUUAUAUAUGAUUUUUAGGCGAAGACAAUGUCAUUUAUAGUCAUUAAUUAAAAUAAAUGAUCGUAGUAAUGAUCAUUCAAGACCAUUGACCAAAACUUUUGAUGAAGAUUUGGUCAAAGUUUUGACUUGACUUUUCAUGGGCUCCAUGGGAUGUGGGCCUUUCGUCUUUUAUGGGCUUCUAGUUGGCGCCAAGUUUUGUAUAGUCGGGUCGGACUUGCAGUUCAAACUGGGUGUGAAACCGGACUCCAACACAAUGCCCCCACCGAAUUCUGCGAGCGAAUCACUAUGCUCGGAGAAUUGUUGAUAUUUCUCUGUGUGUGUUAUUGAGCUCGGGAAACCGGACUCCUUCAUUUGUGUUUUAAUCCUAGUUUAAUCAGUGCUUGAUAUCUACGUCGUCCGCAUAUGUGAGCAUAGCUUAGAUUUGAUGAGAUCUUUUGAAAAUAUUUAUCUGUGAAUUUAAAUUGUACCAAGGCUAACAUAAAUUUCAGUGACAUAGGGUGCACAAAGUGUUGACUUAUUCCAUAUGUGUUACGGUAAAAAACUGCCUAUAAGUACGAAAUCAAUUUUUGUUUUAUCCUGUUUAUAUGUGGUUUUUUUUUUUUUUUGUAACUUAAAGGGUUAAAUCCGGGUCUAUUAAAAACACAGACCUAACCCCCGGAUGGGAGGUGCAACCCACGGAUGGAUCCUCUCCCGGGUAUUCAAAUGGACCAUAAGCAUGGGCCCAUAUCCGCGUGGCCACAUGUGGAGCUAAUAAUUUCGCACUAGAGGGGAGUCGAUCCCUGGCCUAGACCAACAGGGCAAUUCCUCCUCUAGUGGAAACCACCACGAUGUGGUUGUUUAUAUGUGGUUUUAGGUGCGGUAAUGUGUCCGUCUUAUCGUGUACCUACUUGAGCGUUUUAGGAUGUUUGGUGUUUUCCGUGUUUUUGAAGUGUUUGCGGAUAUGAUACCCGACUGUCUUUUUUUAUAAGCGUGCAUACGUUCACGCGGGGCACGGUGAGUGAACUCAAUGGAUGCACCUCACGGUGAGGGUGUCGUUUCACCAAGACACUUAUUAGAAAUGCUGAAAGAAACCGGUUAUGCCUGGCCAGGCGCUGAUAUAUAUCUUGUUGUAAUCAAAAGAAUAUCUCGUGGAGCGUGUAGUUGGGAAAUAGAGUUACAAUUUUAGUUCAUAUAGCGAAAGUUUGAAAAAAUUAAGCUCAGCGAGCAUGUGCUAAAUUGAGAGCAUGAGCUUGAUGCAUGUUAGCUCUAGUGAGCAUGGACUCGGACACGAGCGAGAGCUCGAUGAGUGUAAUUUCAAGUGAGUGUGUGCUCAUGUGAUAUAAACAGAUUGAGAGCGUAAACUCGUUGAUCGUGAGGCUGAUUUGAGAGUGGGAGCUUGGUGAACACGGUAUCGGCGUGAACCAAGUGAGCUUGGUGAAUAUGUUGCUCGGACUCUAUUUUCUAGUCUUGAUUAGGGAUUGUUGUUGUAUUUUUGUCGACCAAAAAUAGUGUCUCAGCUUCAUGACAAACCCAUGAAUGUUCCUUCAUUUAAUAUGAAUCCGAGGUGAUAUGAUCCAGGUGGUGAUAUGAUCUAAGGUGCUGGCAUUAUGACCUCGAUAUGCGGCCUGAUGAAUUCGAUUAAUAGAGAGCAUCUAAUAUUUCUGGCAACGAUGCUUUCUGUCGUUAUACUCCACUGUCGGAUUCAUGCUCGAAACUCUUCUUCAGGUUCAUGUUCUUGUUAUGCCUUUGGCUUCUUGUACUUUGUAGUCGUAUGGCUUUGAUGAAUCGUUAUGUUAGAAAACGAAGGAUUUGCUCAAAAGUGUUCCAAACCUUCCGAGUCCUAUUCUUAAUAAAGUUACUUCUUUUCCACAAUUUUGAUGUUUUGAUUCAUGUGUUACUUUAGAACCCUCUACUCCUGCCAAUGGUUAGGCUGCUUCCAUGUUGUAUGUGAGCGUCAGAUUUAGCACGAAUGAAUGUCUCUGACUUUCUCUUAUGAAUAUUCUUUAGAAUGACUGCUUUUUAUUUUAGUGGAGCAUGGCUUGUAGGAAUUUAUGGACGAGCUGUUAUAUGUGGCGAGUGAGCUGAGAGCUCGGGGAAUUCUGAAUUGGCAAGAGAGAUUACUUCUACGGUUUCCUUGGUGUGGAAUGAUUUACCAUAAUCAUUAAUGAAGAACUUCAAGAUGUGAUUUUGGUGAUGUCAUUGCUGUUGACGAACAAAGAGGAUGGUGAUUUGAGAUUUUAUUUAGACCUCGGUAAAUGGAUUCUUUGUCGUGUUGCCGGGUUUUUUCUUACCUCCACGUCAUUGAGCUCUUGUGAAAUGUUGGGCAAGAUAUGGGCUUUUGUUUUAAAUAACAAACGGGCUUCCUUGACUUCAGUGUGAUUUUUGCUUGUUUAUGACAACAAGAUUGACGAGCUUGAUAAUCUUGAUGACCAUCAAAGUCUUGGUUUGAGUGCUGGUCGUCAACAUCCAAUUUUCUGUUUCUUCCAAUGUCUCCCUCUCCAGACGUGUUUUUGUUUCAGUCAUUGUCAUGUGCGUAUUUGUGUUUCACAUAGGAUCUUUAGAGGGAUAUUUUUUGAAUAUAUUCUUUCUUCUAGCGCCAAAUGAUGAAUCAUAAAAUUCACAGAAAUAAGGUUAGGAUUUUUGGUUGAUUGUAUGACAAAAAAGCCUCGCUAGGUUCCUUGACCUCCAUUCUGCACUGAUUAUUCUAUUUCCUUGUAAUGAGAGGUCCCUUGAACUUCAUGACAUAUUGAUUGCGUUGUGUCUUCAAGAUAAAAGGUCUAUAAUCUCCCUCCAAGGAAAAAUAUUAUAUGAGCCGGUCAUUGAUGAGGUGAGAUAUAUUAUGAGAUGUGCCUUUGGAAAAGGCUGCGUACGUAUCCUUAUCUGGAUCAAGCCUACGUACGUAGUUCUUAGGUAAAUUUUUAUGUGUGGUACCAGGUGUGACUGUCCGAGGGAGCUCCUUGUUUAGCUAGUCAUCUUAGUCUCUCUUCUAGCUAGGAGCUAUAAGAAACGUCUCUUAUUUAGGUAGGGUUUUAGAUCUCUUUAGUAGCUAGGCAGCUAGGAGAAAGACUUCUUCUUGAGAUAGAAUUUUAGAUCUCUCUUGUAGCUAGACAUCUAGGAAAGAGAUCUCUUCUUGAAAUAGGCCUCUAGAUCUCUAUUGUAGCUAGGAGAAAGAUAUUUUCUUGAGAUAGACUUCUAAAAAUCAAUUAUAUCUAGGCAGCUAGGAGAGAGAUUUCUUCUUGAGAUAGAAUUUUAGAUCUCUCUUAUAUCUAGACAGUUAGGAGAUAUAUCUUUUUGAGAUAGGCUUCUAGAUCUCUCUUAUAGCUAGGCAUUCAAUUAGAUUUCAGUAUUUCAGGUUAUUGUGUUAUCAGGUCGUCGGAUCGUCAGAUCUCCAAGGUGUCAAGUCAGCUAGGCGGUUUAACAGCUAGGCAGUUUCGUAACUAGUUAACUAGGCAGCUUAACAACUAGGAGCUCAGAGUUGGAAGCCUAUGAAUUAGGGAACAAUAAGCUAAAUAAUUACAAUCAUAGAUAAAAGAUAUAGAAAGAUGUGAAGAAUUAAUAUAUGACUUCACUUUGAUGAUACGUAUGUGGAUCUUAUGUUGGAAUAUAAGAUAAAAGAGUUGAAUUUUCUUCGUAUAUUUAUUUUCUUCUUUUUUGAAUAUGUUUUCCUUGUUAUAAAUCAAUUGAUGGAUGUCUAUAACCGGCCUGGUCCAUAACCGGCUCAUACAAUUUGAGAGAGAGACGGCCCAACCCUAGAGAGAGAGAGGCGGCUUAUGCUUUGGAGAAAAGGAAACUCUAUUUCUUUUUCUAUGUAUUAGUAGUUUUCCUUAUCUUAAUUGAUUUAGGUUUUGGAUACUUUCCUUUUUACUUAUCUUGUAAUCCCCUAUAUAAAGGGAACACUUAUUCAUUAAUGAAACACAGAAACAUUCAGCUCUAAGUCUAGUGUUUUACAACACGUUAUCAGCACGAGUCUCUAAACUCCCUGAGAAAAUCAAAAACCCCUUAAACCUAAAACCUAGCCGGCGACCUUGAACCCUAACCCGACGAAUCCUAAUCUGUUCUUGCAAGCGUUCCAGCUUGUGUUCAUCCGAUCAGCUCCAGCCCUAAGGUGUUUCUGAUACAAGACGAACACAGCCUCAGCUCCAUCCAUUCUCAGCUUGCAUCUCGGACAGCUACAGCUCGCGUUCCCCGAUCAGCCAGCUCGCGACCCAACAGAGAUCAGCUCGCGCGACUUCAACUCUAGCUCGUUCCAGCUCGCGUCCGUUCGAGGUUCUCUUGGUGGUCCGGUUUCUACAAUCUGCAUGAGAGUUAGGUUGAUAGAUUACUCUGAUUCUGAAACCCUAAAAUAUAGCUGCAUAUUACCAACCUUGAAAUUGGUAAACCCUAAUUGAUAUGCAACUGAAUGAUAAGAUUGAAUGCAUCUAAAUUGAUUAUCCUUGUUUGCAUUAUAUUCUGUUGUGGUCGUGUGAUUUUGCUAUGAACCAUACCGAACGGUCGUGUGGCCUAACCAUUCCGAUGCAUUGUUCAUACUCGCGGCCUUGUUCCCUUGAUAGAUCACAUUGUUUGCAUCAUGUGAUUGAAAGCCGUGUGGCUUAAUGCAUCAUAGCUUGGCCGUGUGGCCUUGAGAGACACCAUAUCUGAAUGGUCGUGUGACCUUGCUUGCAUAUCUCAUGAACCGAUCUCUAGGAUCGUUGUAUCACAUUACAUGGCCGUGUGGCCUAAGCAUCACAUAUAGACCUAGCAUUCUCGACUUGUUUCGCACCAUGAUCGAGUAGUAAAGUGUUUUGGUCGAGAGACUUAUGAAAUCAUAUGCACUGAUUAUUUUGAAUUGGUUGCAUCCUAAAUCAUGAAUUGAUUGAUAAUAUGGUUUCAGAUGCCGAAAUAUGAGCCUUUGGAUUAUGCCAUUCUAAAUCCCUCUGGAGAAAAUUAUCUAGAAUGGGCAAUGAACACUUCAGUUGUCCUGAAAUCAAGAGGACUCGGAAGGAGUAUCAUUCAGGGUAACUAUGCAACUGGAAGUGAAAAGUAUAGGGCCAUAACAAUUAUGCGCCAUCAUCUCACUGAGGAUCUAAGAAAUCAGUACCUAAAUAUUGAGAAUCCUCGUGACCUUUGGACAAAAUUAAAAUCCAGAUACACAAUGGUGUUAUUACCAAAGGUCAGACAUGAAUGGAUGAGUCUCAGAUUCCAGGACUUUGAGUCUGUGGAUGAAUAUCAUUUUGCUUUGUCCAAAAUCGUUUACAAACUGAGACUAUGUGGUGAAGUGGUAACAGAGGAGGAUUUACUGGAAAAGACCUUCCUCACAGCCGAUCCAAGAGAUCUAUUGUUACAACAUAUCUAGAGAGAAAAAGGUUUCACCACCUAUAAUGAUCUGCUCUCAUGCCUAACUGAGCAGAGUAAUCAGUUGCUAAAAAGAAAUAGUGAGAUGAGAUAUUCUGAAGCAAAUAAGACUGAUGUGGAUCAGGAUGAAUCCAAGGCAGCCGUGUCCAAUGUAACUGAUGGUGUGGCCGGCAUGUCUAUUGAAUAAAGAAAGAUCUUGACAUGCUAAUUGUGUUUUAAGUAUUUGAUUUGUGUUUUGCUUUAAACCUAAUUGUCAUUCACGAUUUUAUAUAUAAUAAUAGAAUUGAUUUUAGUUCAUUACUAUUAUAUCUUGUCUGAUCUUACUUGAUAAUGUGAAUGAUUGAUAAAGAAAUCGCCUAAAAGGCAUUAUGAUACGGUAUAGUAGCCUAGUAAGAAAUCUAUGGCUAAGGCAUUGCCUAAAGGGCAUUAUAUACACCCAAGAAUAUAUGACCCAUUGAGUUAAUAUGGUUUCCAAAUAGAAACAAUGGGCAAAAGGAAACAAGUUCCUUCAGAUUUAAGAAAGAAAGAAAAUGCCUAAGACCCUUUAAGAAAGUGGUCAAGACUAUACCUAUGUAAUCUACUGAUCAAAACUAUGCUACAGAUCAGUAUAAUAAGAGACAAGAGCUGUGGGGAUCAUACUGAUAUAUCCCACGAAAAUUAUACACUUUAUGGCAAGACCGGAUUAGCCAUCCUAGUCUAAACUUGAUGCAAAGAUUGAUAUUGAGAAGGCACAAAGAGUUAUCUCAUAAGAUCUCACGUUGUGAAACAUGUACACAAAGGAAAACUCAUUAGGCUUUAUUGUCCUAAGCAUCACGAAAUUAUAGUAUGUUCAUGAGGGGGAGAGAGGAUAAACCCGUGAUACAUGAUCAAUACUACAAAUUCGUGAACCAUGGUCUAUGACCAUGAUAUAAACGGCUUGGCCGUGCAGUCCAUUACCUAUAAGGAUCGGACAUCCAUCCUAAAGCUUAGGGACAUCAUGGAUUUACAUGUAUAUAAAGUAAAAAUAUAUCAGGCCAUAUAAGUGAGCAUAGAUAUUCUCAUCUCAGAUUGAAUACGGGUCGUAAACCAGACAUACACCAUCUUAAGAGACUUUGAAUAAACCACCACAGACAUAUGUGCCGUCUAAGAUGGAACCUCAGAAGAGGAUUGGGAAUAUAUGUUGGAUAAGAGUAUGACUUUCUCCCACGACUUCUAAGAGACCUUGAGCCAAAUAUGGGUGAUCAGAAAGUGGCCAGGUACACGGAUUGCAUGAUCAAUGAAUCCGACUAUCCAACAUUAAAAGGAGAAAGCUAUAAGCUGGUAAAGAGUAAAGAAUGAUAAGAAACAGAAUGGUAUCAACCAUCAUUGUCUUGGCAAAGAUCCUCGGAUUAGAAUUAUAGACGUCCAAAGAAAGAAAAGAUUAUACAUAGCUAGCUAAUCGAGAUGCCAGACACUGACCCGAAAAGAAAAGAAAAGAAUGACUAAGUCAUAACCAGCUUAGCACCAAACGAAAUCUGAUGUCCUAGAAAGAGACACAGUCAAGUUGCUACAGAGUCUAUACAAGAUAGACCAAAGUGUUCCAUAAGAUAAGGAACCUCGGAAAGAAAAAGAGAAAGGUGCAUAGAAUACAAAUCCGAGGUCAUAAGGAAACCAGACCAGACAUUGAGAAAAGGCUGCGCAGCUAAACAUCUAAGGUACCAAACCAUGUAGUUUGGGACGCCAAGCUACUAGGUAACAAAGGUCCUGGAUAAUGAAAUCUCAAAUCGAUUAGAUCAUGUCUGGAACACAAUGGAACCAUAUAUAAGUGUCGACACAUAAAGAUAUAUUUGUACAUAAGAGAGUAGCACUUGAACAUAAAGAUAUAAACGAGGAUCAGAACCCACGAAAGAGUACUCAUAAAGAAUAAAGAUUAGAUUGAAAAGAUAAACGUGGGGUUUAAAGUAUCUAUAGAGAAAGAUAGGCGUAUUGGCCACAUACAUAUAUACAGAAACGCCAUCUGAUAUAAACCAGUGAAAUAGAUGGGUCUUGUGAGGGAAAAGAAACCGUGAGAUAUGGUACAUGAUCACGAGGUCUAAAGGUGUUCAUGUUUCCUACUAACAGCAUUCGAUCAUAGCUUGUUACACAAGGAUACUCACAGAGACCAUGGAACAGAUUAUAAGGAGAUAAACUCCUAUGUGGUGGAUGCUGCUACACAAUUUCGAAAUUGACAAAGGUCUGGUCAUAAGAAAGAAAUUAGAUUGACAUAUAAAGAUGUAGUAAGCAGCAUAUGGAUCACUGGAUAAAGGACAUCAUUGUUCCUAAGCUGUUCAUGGACUGAAACAAAGCAGCUGCAUAUAGUAUAUAAUACUAGUAAAGGAGUUCUAUAAGAACGAUCAAAUUCAGUCCAUAUGUAAACUAAUAAAGAAAUUCGAAUUCCUUGUGUUUAUACUAAACCAACCUAAAGAGAGGUUAAAAGGUUUAUACAGAUCUGUGACACUAGCAUGGACCGACUAGAUUGUAGUACGGGCUAGUGGAAAAGAAAGAUCAGCCCAAAGAAAGGUAAUUCGGAUUGCCUCAGCUUGCUACCUCGGAUAGCAUGUUCUCCGGAUAGACCAAUCCAACAUCAGAUCCCUUAGAUAAGGAUCCGGCAUAGCAGAACAGUCUGCUGCUGCUGUGAGGCUGAGAGGAGACAUUUAAUCUAUCCUUCUCGAUCGGAUACCAAUAGGUUGCAGUCCAUAAGAAUGUGUGAUCGAAGUCCAUGACCUAAUAUAUAUUCAUUGUGUGAUAUGAUCCACAGCAACAGAGGUCAUGAGACGACAUCAAUAUAAGGAUAAGACUGCAAUGAAAAACGAAUAUGGCAUUGCCUAAGGCAAUAGAGAUCGAUGACCACAUGUGAGAUUCAUGAGUGUAUUUGGCCAUAGUGCCAUAGUUAGAUAAGAUUGUAAAAUUCAUUACAACAAAGAUCAUUGAUCAAGUCAUGAUCUUGGACACUCAUGAGAUAAGUUAUGAACAUGUAUAAAAGAAGUCUAUGACUCAACAUGGAUCGAUCAGAUUAGUGCAUAGUCGAUGGUAGUAUAGAGAAAACUCAAACAAUCCGUUACCUAUCAAUCAACAUUUUAACAUCUUCAUAGGCGGCUAAUAGCCAAAGAGAGUAUCCGUGAGGAUGUUUUUGGUCGAGGACCAUAGUCCUACAUGUCUGACCAAAGUAUAGAGUGGUCGACAGCAAAGGUUCACUUCUUGACCAUGUACACACGAUGUCAGAAGACAUGAGAAAAGACCGGAAAGAUCAAAAUGGUCCAAUUACGGUUCAGUAAUAAACUUGGCCGAUUUGAUUACUCCCUUCCUUCACGUCCAGGAAAGAUCACGCAUCAGAUGCGUAGACUACAGAACCUACACUGAGGUUCACAUAAGGGGGAGCAGUACGUGUUGUACUCUUUUUCCUUCAUCAUGGUUUUGUCCCACUGAGUUUUUCAUGAUAAGGUUUUAAUGAGGCAACAUUAAGCGUAUUACAAUCCCUGAAUGGUUAUGACAUCCAAGGGGGAGUGUUAUAAAUCAAUUGAUGGAUGUCCAUAACUGUCCCGAUCCAUAACCGGCCCAUACACUUAGAGAGAGAGAGACGGCCCAACCCUAGAGAGAGAGAGAGAGGCGGUCGUGACCUUAGGGGAGAGAGAGAGAGACGGCUUAUGCUUUGGAGAAAAGAAAACUCUAUUUCCUUUUCCUUGUAAUUGUUAUCUUUCCAUUAUUAUGUAUUAGUAGUUUUCCUAAUUCUAGUUGGUUUAGAUUUUGGAUACUUUCCUUUUUACUUAUCUUGUAAUCCCCUAUAUAAAGGGAACACUUAUUCAUUAAUGAAACACAGAAGCAGCUCUAAAUUUAGUGUUUUACAACAUUACUUUCAUAAAAUAUCACACUCUACCUAGGUAGUUAUCCUCAUUUUAUAUAUAAUUUUAGGUGAAAACAAAAUCAUUUAUAGCCAUUAAAUAUAAUAAAUGAUUGUAUUAAUGAUCAUUAAAGAUUAUUGACCAAGAGCAUUGAGCCAUUGACCAUUGACAAAGACUCUUGACUAAAAUUUGGUCAAGGUUUUGACUUGACUUUUCAUGGACUCUAUGUGGUAUGUGUCCUUUGUUUUUAAUGGGCUUCUGGAAAUCGCUAAAUUUUGGAUAGUCGGAUCAGAUUACAUUUUAGACUGGGGAUGGAGAUGAAACCGAACUCCAGCACAAAAUCUAAAGAUUUACUCGGUUGAUCCAAACCCAAUCCAUACCGCUUUUCCGAGACUGGGUUUCGUUCAAUUUAUUGGAUUAUGUCGAUUUGCCCAUACUAGUUUUUACACAUCCGAAUAACUAAUGUAAAAUUGUAUUUUUCUUGAAUUAUAAGAAUCACAAAGGUUAUAUCAUAUGGACAACACUAAUAAAAAAACCUUCGAUAAUUUUGUUGCCUACUCUUUAGGCCUAAACCUCGGAAGCCGUAUUUUAACAUAGUUUGAUAAUUGAUAGUAACGCCCCAAUAGCCAAUACAUCACAUUAACUAACUGAAAUAGUUUAGUUGACUGAUAAUAUAAAAUGAAUAUAUGCAGUAAUUUCUUUAAAUCAAAAUUAACAUAUUGGUCACCAUAUAUACACAUAUGAGUGAGUGUUUACGUGGUUAGACACUGAUACCAUUCCUCUACCAAAACGUCUUCACCUUUUCAACUCUUCAUCUUCAUCUUCAUCUUCUUUCUCUUCUCAUUCGAAAUAACAUCUACAAAUUAAAUAAACAAAUAAUAUCAAAACACAAAGAGAGAAAAAUGAGUGAUGUUCGAGUAAACGCAGAUCAACAAGAAGAAGGAGAACAACAACAAAACCUGGUCAAAGCACCGGUCAAGCGACCCCUCGGCCUCCUCAUCACCACUUACGGCUGCCUCUUCGUCGGCUCCAUCGCCUCGAGCCUCCUCGCGAAAUACUACUUCGUCCACGGUGGCUCGAGCCGGUGGGUCUCCACGUGGGUCCAAUCCGCCGGAUUCCCACUCCUCCUCGGGCUUAUCUACUUCCCUCGCUUCGUCUUCAAAACAACUAAGCGCCGUCCCUUCACGCGCUUCACACACCGCCAUCUCCUCUUCUCCGUCGUAAUCGGACUCAUCCUCGGUUUCAACAACUUCCUCUUCUCAUGGGGUACCUCGUACCUCCCAGUGUCCACAUCAUCACUUCUCCUCUCGACACAACUCAUCUUCACUCUGAUCUUGUCCGUGAUCAUAGUGAAACAGAAAGUCACUUUCUCAAAUCUCAAUUGUGUUGUUCUCUUAACGUUAAGCUCUGUUUUAUUAGCUCUCGGUUCGAGCCAAGAUAAACCGGCCGGUUUAACUAAAACCAAAUAUUUCAUCGGGUUUUUAUCCACGAUCGGAGCCGGUUUACUCUUCGCGCUCUACCUGCCCGUGACGGAGAGGGUCUACAGGUCCGUUUAUUGCUACGCGAUGGUCAUGGAGAUGCAACUGGUUAUGGAAUUUUCUGCCACGGUUUUCGCCACAAUCGGUAUGGCUUUCGACGGCGGGUUUAAAGAAAUGGUUAAGGAAGCGAAC